Molecule: long non-coding RNA, 93498 nt
Filed under: Citrus maxima (pomelo)
Lineage: Eukaryota; Viridiplantae; Streptophyta; Magnoliopsida; Sapindales; Rutaceae
Description: long non-coding RNA (CMAX_LNC000735)
Rfam family: Small nucleolar RNA Z247 (bases 17860-17998)
Source: RNAcentral
CUGCAGCUGAAUCUUUCUGCAGCUGAAAGGGAUAGAGCUUUAUUGUCAAUCGGAACUGAUCGUGCCUCUAUAAAUCCAAAUGUAUUGCUUGAUGAAUCUUACAUGGGAAGACUGUGUCGAGUAGCAACCACUCUUGCAUUACUUGGCCAAACUUCCCUAGAAGACAAAAUUGUUGGUGCAAUUGGCCUUGAGAAUAGUGAUGAUAGUGUUUUAGACUUCUGGAAUAUUACUAGAAUCGGAGAGAGUUGUUCUGGUGGCUGGUGGCGGGUGCAAGGUUCGUGCAGAAACUAAGGUGCCUGCUCUUGCUUCCUCAACUGCAACAUCUGUUGGAGCUUCACAAUCCCCUUUGUUGUGUUCUCAAUGUGAAAGAAAAGUUUGCAAAGUUUGUUGUGCAGGAAGAGGAGCUCUACUGUUUUCAAAUUAUAAAUCAAGGGAUGUGACCAACUACAAUGGCUUCUCAAGUCAGAGUGGAUCAAGCCAUGGAAGCCAAGUUGAUGUACCUACCAGUCGUUCACUAACACUGGAUGGCGUUGUCUGUAAACACUGCUGCCAUGAGAUUGUGCUUGAUGCAUUGAUGUUGGACCAUGUUAGGGUCUUGAUUAGCUUGCGAAGAAGUUCCCGUGCAGACAACACAGCAUACAAUGCUUUGAAUGAGGUUGUUGGAUCCUGCUUAAAGGAUAGUCUUUCUGAAAGGAUUCAGUCUUCCGAUAACGUGCAAGCUGCUGAAGUCCUUCACCAAUUAUGUGGUGGACAGGAAUCAGUUGCUGAAUUUCCAUUUGCUAGCUUUUUGCACUAGGUAUGUUCUUGGUUUGUAUUCAGUUCUCAUCAUGUUAUGUUUUCCUUUUAAAUUUCUUUUCUUGAUUAAAAUUUUUAGAAAUAUGUUUUAGUAUUUGUUCUUAUGAUAUAUGCCCAGAACAUUCAUCCCACUUAUCCAUGAGAAUCCUUGUCUGGUUUGAUUUUCAAUUGAGACAUUUUUGGGAACCCUGAGCAGGUUCCAUAUGCUAAUAAUCUUUGAGGUAAGGUGUUGUAGGAUGCCUUGAGAAGCUAAAAACCAAUUACAAGGAAAAGCUCUUGCAUUGUUUUGUGCAAUCUGUGUGCUAGCAAGUCAUGUCUCUAAUAAUUUCAUAGUUCGCUUGAUUGGAAUUUUUUAUCUUGAUAUGGAUUGUUUAUUCUAGAUUCCUUGGUGCCACUGUAGGUUGAAACAGCAAAAGAUUCAGCACCGAUUUUGUCACUGCUUGCUCCAUUAAAUUCUGGAUCAAGGCACUCAUAUUGGAGAGCUCCACCUAGUACUACUUCUGUUGAAUUUGUUAUUGUUCUCGGUUCUGUUUCUGAUGUCAGUGGGGUUAUCUUGCUUGUUAGUCCUUGCGGCUAUCUGUGGCUGACACUCCGAUGGUAAGUGCCAUAUUUAUUCCCUUAUUUCCUUGUUGUUCAAUAAAUUUGGUGAUAAGCCAAGUGGCCUUAAUAAUGAAGCCCAGUACCAGGGGUGGUGGGUAAUCGAUAUUCAACUUGUGAAUAUUCCUAAGCAAGCACGGAAUCAACAUAGACGUCGGCAAAAAUUCUCCAUGCUAUUAUAACGAAAGUCAUAUUUUGAAAUGAUUAAAAGAGUCCCUUUGUAGUGCCAUUGCCAAAGAAAUUGCAGCUGGGGGUUUAGUUUCAUGUAGGUUAGUUUCCGAUAAUAAACUUUCCAUUUCAUUAAUUGCUGAUGAAAAAACCAAGUAAGAACAGUUUCGUUGCUCGUCAUUUAUGUAUAUUUUGGUAAACUGUAAUUUUAAAUUCUCAACGAUCUUCCCUUGGUAGGUAAGAAGAUGGUCCACUCACUUUAUAUUUAUGAUUGUAGAUCAGGUUUCUAUUGGUUUGCCUUUAUCAUUGGGAACCCAAGUUUGAUAUUAACAGAGAUCACGUCAAUAAUAUCCUAUUUGGGUAGAUGUGGGUGAGGAUUUAAAAUCAAAUUUGAAAUUGGGGGAAAGAAGAGAAAAGGAACCACAAUAAUUAAACAAAAUAUUAGGAACUAUUCUGAUGAGUUUUAAUCUCGAGAGGAACAAUUUUCAAAUGCAAAUUUAACUGCUAGAGAAAUUGUAGCUUUUUGUCAUUAGUUAAGAGGAAAGAGAAUAAGAACUAUCCAGCCCUUUCCUUCAUGAAUGUGUGUUGAGGUUGCUGUAUUAUUUAGUCAGUAUUUGUAAUUUUCUUCCCUGCAGUGCUCUCUGCCUCCUGAAUUUGCUACUGAGUCCAUAUUUUUCUUUGAGCUGUUGCUUCCUAUUGCUGUUACAAGUACAAAUCUGGGCAAGCAAUAAGAUACACCGGGAGGAAAGGUCAUCAAUGGGAAAAUGGGAUGUCCAAUCCCUCAUCACAUCUUCUUCAGACUUGUAUGGUCCAGAAAAGACAGCUAGUGUUGAAAAAUUACCUAGGCAUGUAAAAUUUACUUUUAAGAAUCCUGUUAGGUGCCGCAUUGUUUGGAUCACAUUACGUCUUCAGAGACCUGGUUCGGCUUCAGUUAAUUUCGGGAAGGACUUCAGUCUUUUGUCUCUUGAUGAAGAUGAAAACCCCUUUGCGCAAGUAGACAGACGUGCUUCAUUUGGAGGAGCAGUUGAAAAUGAACCAUGUAUUCAUGCCAAAAGAAUUCUUGUAGUCGGAAGCCCAGUAAAAAGGGAGGGGCUUACCUCAUCACAGAGCUCUGAGCAGCUAAGUAUUAGAAACUGGUUGGAUAGAGCUCCACAAAUGAGUAGAUUCAAGGUAUUAGUUGCUUUCACUCUUUGUUCAUUCAUAAUUCCAGCUUUCUGCUUGAUGCCCUGCCUCUGAUAAACCUCUUUUUUUCUCUUCAGGUCCCAAUUGAGGCCAAGAGAUUGAUGGACUACGAUCUCGUCUUGGAACAAUAUCUACCUCCAGCGUCACCUUUGCUUGCCGGAUUCCAUCUAGACGCUUUCAGUGCAAUAAAACCUAGGGUUACCCAUUCACCUUCCUCAGAUUCAGAUAUCUGGGACAAAUCAGUAACAUUUUUAGAAGACAGGUACAUCUCUCAAGCUGUGUUGUAUUUACAAGUAUCCGCACUCCAGGAACCACAUAACAUGGUAACUAUUGCGGAAUAUCGACUGCCGGAGGCUAGAGCCGGAACGCCAAUGUACUUUGAUUUCCCAUGACCGAUACAGUCCCGACGAGUUUCAUUCAAGCUUCUUGGAGAUGUUACAGCAUUUGCAGAUGAACCUUCAGAACAAGAUGAUUCAGGAUUGAGAGCUCCACUUGUGGCCACAGGUUUGUCUUUGUCAAACAGAAUCAAGUUAUAUUAUUAUUGUGAUCCUUAUGAGCUCGGAAAAUGGGCAAGCCUUUCUGGAGUUUGAUCGUUAUUUAUAUGUCAGAGAAAGGGUUUUGGGUUUGAUUUUGAUUUUGAUUUGUAAUUUUUGUCAGUUUAUUGAAAUUUUUUGUUGUAUAAAAGCAGAAUGUAAAGGUAUAAAAAUUCAUUGAUGCUGCAAUGUCUGUGCUUUUGAGAAAGAAGAAUUAAUUGUCUUUUCUAUGCCAUUGGAGUUUCCCACUGCUUGUAUACUUGGGCUGUCGAAUGCUCUGUGAACCUUAAGGGCUAUAAAGUAAUUUUCAAGACUGAAGGAUUUAUUAAUCGAGUUCAAAAGAUUGUAAGUUGGUGACUGGUGAGCGUUGGCAUUUAAAAAUCAAUUGUUAUUCUCUCAAUAAUCUCUCUCUUCUCCUCGUGAAGUGUUUUCUUUUUCGAGUGAAGGUGGUUUUCCACUUGCAUACGUCGGGGGUCUUAUGAUAUGUAAUGUGUGAAAUUUCUUUCUCAUUUUACCAUAAAGAAAAAUGUUGUAAUAAUCUAAAGCUCGAGUCUUAAAUUAUCUUAAAUUUAUAUUUAGAGUGGAGCUAUUCGCAACCCUAUAUUAAAAUUACAAUUAAAAACAAUUGAAAAUUAAACACUUAUAGAUUCUUUUUACAGCAAAUUACUUAAUUCAUAAUCAAUCCUUUAAAAAAAAAAUACAUAUGUUAUUUCUUAUCUAACUAAAAUAAAUUGUACAAAUUUAGAAUAAUCUAUUGUUCUCUUUUGAUUUCUUAUUAUUUAAAUAUUUUUAUACAUAAAGUUACUUUGAAAUUAUAAUUUGAAAUAUGUGUUAUUUCAGCCAAUGAUUAACACUAAAAAAUUUAUCACCCAUAUAACUUUUUAAUUUGUGUGUAGGGUAAUAAUAAAAUCGAAAAUAAUUAAAAAAAUAGUACAAUAAUGAUUUUUAACAAUAAAACAAAUCAAAUGAAAAUUGAAAAUUUAGAAAAGUGUAUCUAAAAAAAGGAACGUUUUCAAAAAUAAAAUGAAUAUAACUAAAAAGAGAUUUUAUGAGGAGAUCACUGGGGUGCCAAUAGUCCAACUUGUAAUUAAGAAUCUCCCAUUAUAUUGUCAACCAAAAAGACACUUGAAUAAGAAGAAGAAUUUAUCAGUUUGAUUUUAUUUGUAGAUCCAACAUUUCUCAUAUCCUGAACGCCUUUUCGUAUCAAAUUAAAACAGUAGUAGCAAAAUCGUAGUAUUAAAAUCGUAGUGCACAUUCAAUUAACCAACUAAUAGUCUUUGGUAUAAGAUUUUAUAUUAGGUAGCCAAGUAGGUUGUCCAUCCCACUCAGACAUGCACGAAAGCUAAAUUCAUCAAAUGAAUUACUUAAGAAGUAUUUGAUAAUUUUGAAAUUAUCAAAAGGUGUUAUACUAUUAAAUAUUUUUAUACUUAAAAUUGUUUUGAAAUUAUAAGUUCAAAUUAAAAUAAUAGUAGCAAAAUCGUAGUGCACAUUCAAUUAACCAACUAAUAGUCUAAGAAGCAAAGAGAGGAUUACAAGUUCACAACACCAUUACAAAGGAUUCAAAAUUCCCACACGAAUACAUCAAUGUACAGAUUAUAAACAAUCCGAAUUGGACACAAGAAAAACCCUUCAAUAGAUUGCUUGCCUUCCCAAUGCUAUAUACUGUGCAAACUGCGCAUUGGCCAAGAAAAUGUUUUCAAUUUAGUGUAUUUUCAAAAUGCUUAUUUUCUCAUAGUAUAAAAAAUAAAAAAAAUAAGAAAGAAUUCUCACAUGUUUCAUCAGCAUGAUUAAAAUCAAAGAAGAAAGCGAGACAUAAUGUCUCUGACAUAAUAAAAUUACAAAAAUUUCAAGGAAAAAAAAAGGUUAAAACAUGUAAUCUUCAGAAGCAUAUAAUAAAAGAACACUUCCACAAAUUACUACAAUUUCAUGCAGUAGAGAUUGAAGAGUUGAAUUCCACUAAUUUUAAUAAUGAAAACAACAACAGAGGAUUAACUGAUGCUUUGACUUAUUAGUUCUGCAGAGCAUCUCCAAAAGCCUAUAUAAAUUUUACUCUUCAAAUACUUAUUUGCUUACCUAUGUGGCAAAUAAAAGGGUGAAAAAAUAUGAUAUUCUCCAAAAGACUCUUCAAAUAGAAAAAAGUUAAUAUUAUUUUAAUCAUAUAAUUAAUUUUUUAAAGAAAAAGUCAAUAGCAAUUAAAGCACUUCUCUCUCUUUCUUCAAUGAAAAGUAAUAAAAUAUAAAUUGAAGAGGGAGAAAUUAACUCUCCAAAUUUGAAGAGAGAGAAUUAAUUCUUAUUUAAAGAAUCUUAAUUGAAGUGUCUUUUGGAGCUUUAAAUAUUGAUGUGGCUCUUCAAAUAAGUAAUAAAAUCUUAUUUGAAGAGCCUUUAAAUAAGGUGCUUUCAAAAGCAAAAUGGAAUACAUAGAUAAAAACAUCAUCUUAAACAAAUCACAAUCUAGAAUUAGAGCAUUUUCGACAUACCUAAGGAAAACGAAUACGUGAAAACGGGUGAUUCAUUUGUUAAGGAGUGUUGAUUUGGUCGUCUCUGCAAAUUCUUUAGGGACUCGGUUCCAAUUCCUCAUCAUCAAAACUGUAAUAUAAUUCCCCUUCAUCAGAACUCGAAUCGAUGCAAUAUAAUUCCCCUUCAUCAGAACUCGAAUCAAAUUCACUUGCAGCAGUUCCACUCGCGCUUGGCAAAUCAUCCAAUUUCCAAACUUCGGUAGCAAAAUUGAGAGUAAAAGUGUUGGCUUUGAUCUCGCUGGGAUUUGCAUAUACUGGACAUACUCCGCAACGUUUUAUCUUCUGACCCUUUUGGACCUUUAUUAUGUUUCGGUAACGCUCAUUGAAGAACUUAAGUGAGACAGUUGUAUGAUGGUAACCAUCAGGAAAGCCAACAUUCAAGCAAGGUUUAAAACCAAGUAUGACAUGAUCUGAAUCAUGGGGGUCUUUAAUAGAGUCCCAAUAGAAACUCAGAUCAACAUGUUUGGUUUCAGAGAGAGUCUUUAUUUCUAAGUCGGAUCGACAGUAAACGUAAAAAUAACGAGAACGAUCAGAAUAAAGUUGCUUAAAAUCAAGAACAGCACAAAAAGCAAACCCGAUUAAGUUUCUGCAAAAAGAGUGCGGUGGCAGUUGAAUACGUAUCGAAGAUCCUGAACUUUGAUUGCUGAACCAGUCAGGAAUUUCGCUCCCAGGUAAAACAAUUUGGGAUUCCCUGAGUUCAGAAAGUUUCUGUGAAACGACAUUUAAAAAAAGAAAAUUGUAAAAUGAAAACCAUGAUUUCAGAUAUAACAAAGAGGGACAGAGUAAACAAGAGAGGGAAUUUGAUACCUCGUUGUAUGCAUUUUCAUAGCCCAGUCUCAGUGAUGCUGCAAUUGCCAUACGUAGUGAAUCUGCCAAAAUCUUGUUGUUUGCUUUUCCAUCAAGUUUCAAGCAGUUAGUAAACCCAAAAUAAAUUGGUUGUGGCGUCACAUAUUCCGGAUGCCAUUGACGAAGGUCAGGAGAGGGUUUGGAUAGCUUUUCGAGUACGGAUGCAUCUAGUUCUUGUACACAUGACGGAAUCUCUGGCAAAGAUUGAAGCCGGUUGCAGUUCAUUGCAAUUAGUGACUGUAGACACAAUGGAAGUUCAGGUAAUGACCGAAGCAUGUUACAAUCCUCCAAGUGAAGAGUUUCUAAACCCAAUGGAAGUGCUGGUAAUGACUGAAGCAUGUUACAACGCCACAAGUGAAGAGUUUCUAGACCCAAUGGAAGUUCUGGUAAUGACUGAAGUAUCUUACAAUCCCUCAAUUCAAGAAAUUUUAGGCCCAAUGGAAGUUCUGGUAAUGACUGAAGCAUAUUACAAUCCUCCAAGUAAAGAUAACUUAGCCACGACAGUUGCUUGAUACUUGCAGGUAAACUCUCAAAGUUAUUUCCAUUUAAAUUGCCAAUGUUAUCCGGCAACUUAUCAAGUACAGAGCAACCACUUACGGACAAAAGUACAAGCCCCGUUUGCAAUGCCUCAAAUCCAACUUUUCAAGAUCAGUUAGGCACUCUACUGAUGAUGGAACUUCUUCUAUUGCAGUCUGGCCCAAGUUUAGCGAUGUUACUUUCCCAGAAAUCUGUGGAAACUCUAUGAGAUUAACACAAUAGGAGAAAUCAAUAGUUACUGGACAAACAAAAUGAAGAUUGCUAGGAAAAGACCUAAGACUUUUGCAGCCCAUAAAAUCCAACCUACUGAGAUACUUGAAAUUCUGGAUAUAUGAGGGAACACAAGCCAAGUUUGUAUAAUCCAAAAGAUAUGUUUCAACAUUUGGGGUUUCUAAUGGGCCUGGCAUCUUAAUGAAAUGUCGAGAAUGGCUGAGGUUAAUAGAUUUUAACUUGAAAGCUUCCUGCAAUAACAGAUAUAUAAAGACUAUAUUAAUUAAAAAGCAACAUUGAAUUCAACAAUUAAUUGCACGUAUAUUUAAAGAAAGAAAAAAUUAAUGUUUUAGUUUUAGUACAGAACUUACCUUUUCUCCUUCCCAAAGUUGCUCAACUUUACUAAAACGCAAAUUCAGUUCAACAAGGUUCUUUGGCUUGAAAUUUGAUGGCAGUGUCCUUAAGGGAUAUGUGUCCCAAUGAAGAUAUCUCAAUUUUUUAGGAAGAUAAUCUAGGCCAUUUGGAAGCUGCACUUUAGAGUAUGAAAGUUGCUCUUCAAUGCUCAUACUUAGAAACUUUUCAAUCUCAGGUACAUAAAAUUUGAGCAAUCUUAGAUUAGACAUUUUUGUGAAGGCUCCAGGGUCUAAAUUGAUGCCUUUUAUUUUGGACAAAUCCAGAAAUAUGCCUUCAAUUGCAUCGGUCCCCUUAUUAAAAAAAAAAACAAAGAAUGAGUAACCCUAAAACAGAAAAGAAACAUUCGCAAACUUUAUUAACUAAGAACUCCUUAAACAAAAACAAAUUCUGCAAUCUUUGAUUUUAUUUUUUAAAAAUAUUAAAUAUCUAUAUAUGAGAAAAGAAAAUUUUGGGGACCAUUGCAAAAUUAAACUAACCAAAAAAAAAAUUCAAAAUUUCUCUAAUUUACAAACCUGUUAUCUUAAUAUCUAGAAGUUGAGAAGACAAGGCGUAUUUGAUUGGUAUAAGAUUUCGAUUUUUUUUUUAGUCCAUAGAAUCCAAAAUGUUUGUUCAAAAUCAGGGAAAAAAACGAAAGUUAUUUUUUUUUCCACUAGCUGUAAUUGUAUCCAAGUCAAAUUGAGAUACGACCCUUUUCGAAAGGAUUUAAUCAUCUUAUAGCCUCCUUAAGAUACAUUUAAGCUAAAAGGAGUGAUUGGAGGCAGAACUUAGUGGGCCAAUCAGUUCAUUUUAUUAGCGACUGUUGCUUAAAAAAAAUUAUACUCUAAAACACACUUACUUUUUUGAAAAAAAAUAUAAUUAUAUUUAAGUAGAACCAGGUGGGCCAAUCCUCAUGGCACUCACUUUGUUCUGACACUCUUCACUAAAUUUGAAGAAAAAUAAAAUUAUACUCUUCACACUCUUAUUCAACAUUCCAAAAUUGAUAAAAUCUGGAGUUUUCUUUAAAAUUUUAAAAUUUGAAGACUUGUUCUCUUGACACCCUCAGUCAUUAAUUUUACCUAAUUAUGGUUUUGGUUGUUUUGUUCAUAAAAAUGCUUUUACUAAAGGAUGUUCUGGUAAUGAAAAAAUUUAUAAAAAAACAAACAUGGGUGUGCUGAUAUAGUUGGAAAAAUAUGAGUGCAUAACUCCAAACAAAUAAAAGAUACAUAAAAAAAAAAAAGGAGGAUUCUUACCAUAUUAUGCUUUAGUACGCGGCGGAUUUCCUUAGGAUCCCACAACCUACUGCGUCUGCCUGGCUCUUCCUCAGAUUCUUGGCGAACAAUCUCUCGGCCCAUUUCUUGCAAUAAAUCAUGCAUUUGCAAGCAGUUAUCUGACACUGUUAUAAGUGACUUGUCCACGAGGACAUCCAGUCUGUGAGACCCAGAAUCAUCAAGUAUCCUUAACACAAAAUCUUUAUCCUCUCCCUCAAGGAAACACGCAAUAUCUAGAAACAUACUCUUCACCCUGGGCGUUAAUUCUUUAAAACUAAUCUUUAAUGUAUCAUAAAUACCAUGAAUAUCAGAUUCACAAAUCCGAUUUAAGUCGUCCAAUACAUUUUCCCAAUGGCUUUUCCCCUUGAGAUACAGGGAGGAACCCAACACUUUAAGAACUAAUGGAUUGCCAUCGGCAUACCAUACAACCCUCCAUGAGUGCCGGUAGAGAUCUUCAGGACAAUGAUUUUCUUUAACAGCGAAGUUACAAAAAUGCUCGAAAGCCUCAUCAAAUUUCAAUCCAUUGACCCUAUAUAUUUUCUCCACUCCAAAUUUUUCGAGGACUCGUUUAUCCCUGGUGGUUACAACAAUUCUACUUCCUGGACCAUAUUGAUCAAGCCCUCCAAUCAAACCCUCUAAUUGUUCAUCUUUAUUCACAUCAUCGAGUACAAUCAACACCUUCAUGCGUCGGACCCUCCCUUUAGUAAAUUGUGGAAUAUUGGGACCAGCUACUUCAAGUUUUUCACUUAAUAUUGUCGAAAGCAUUUCCUUUUGUAGGUCUUCUAGGCCACCCUCUGUUUCUGAUUUUCUCCUAACAUUUUUUGCAAAGUAUUUACCAUCAAACUCACCAGAGAAUUGAUCGAAAAUAGCUUCAGCAAGGGUAGUUUUGCCUAUACCACCCGUGCCCCAAAUUCCAACAAUAUGGACAGUAUCCCACAAAUCCAUACACAGAAAUGGUUUAAUCUGCUCAAUUCGUGAAUUUAAUCCAACUAGGCCAUUGGAUGAGUCCGUUGAGACUGUUAUUUUUUCCAACUUCUUCAAAACAUCAUCGACAAUUUUGUUUACAAGUUCCGCAUCGUGCCUAAUAUAAAGGUGCAAAGAUGCAAAAACAUUGAGUCAAAUCGGGCCAAGACAGAAACAGAGAAAAGAUGAAUUAGGAAAGAGAGUUACCUGAAUUUCGUGGAUUCAUGGCCGGCUAGAUGGGAUGUUUCUGUCAGUGCAUCCCUCCACUUCUGAACCAUUUCUGGUUUAUCUUCGAACUGUUUUUUGAGCUCAUCAAAACGGUCUCCAAAUGUUCCGUUUUGAUGCCGCACAUCAGAUGGACUUACUCCAUAGAAGACUGGAAUAAUAAUUUGGCCGUUUGUGUUCUUGCAUUCAAGAAUCUUGACAAGUUCAUUCAGGCACCAUUUUGAAGAAGCGUAGUCCUUUGAGAAAAUGACCACCGAAAUUUUUGAACCUUGGAUUGCGUUCAAAAGGGCGGGUGAAAUCUCAUCUCCUCGCCUAAGCUCUUCAUCAUCAAUAAAUGUUUUGAUUUUUUUUCCUUCAUACAAUUUAUCAUAAAGAUAGCAAGUAAAGCUCUUACGAGUGUCCUCCCCUCUAAAGUUGAGGAAGACUUCAUAAUUGCAAGAAGAAGAAGAGGAAGCCAUGAAGGAAAUUCUAGAAAUUUGAAAGUAGAUUUAGGGAAUUAUAAAAAGCUGAAGGAAAUUGGAAUUUUGUACAGUUUCUCCAGCGAGGAACUUUCACCUCCGCACUAGAUUCUUAAGUUUUGAAAAUUAUGAGACCUUUAUAUUGGAAGAUAUUAUAAUCGAAUCAAAACUUAAAAUUUUAAUAUUGUUAAUCUUUAAUCUUUAAAAAAAAAUUACCUCGCCGUUACAGUUUGGAUUAAGAUUUGAGCAAGCAUUUACCUAAAUUUUAUCUCCGCCUGUAAAUUCUUAUGUUUUAAAAAUUAUGAGACCUUUAUAUUGGGAGAUAUUAUAAUCGAAUCAAAAUUUUGAAUUUCAAUAUUAUUAUUCUUUUAAAAAAAAAAUUGAGAUAACAGAGUGAUUGAUAAUAUAGGAGAACUUGUCUAGGCAAGCACAUGCAUACACAGAAAUGUGAUGGAUUCAAAAAGAAAUUAAAGUGAUAAUGUACGUGGAUCCUUAAAAUAAAAAGCGAAAUCGCUUGGUGGCCCAGUAAAAUUAGAGAACAAAGAAGAAUUAGUUAUUGAUAUACAAAAGAGAAACACUCCAAAAUUUCAAGCAAAAAUAGUUUCAUAUACCAUUUCAAUUUUGUAAGGGGUGAGGUUUUGAAUUUCAAUAGUUUCCUCUAAAAUCAAAAGGCAACAAUUAAGUUAGAAAGAGCAAAGAAGACUUAUUAGUACCUUAUUAAAGGUAACAUUAUGGAACUUUCAAUUUCAUUACCUCACUCUUCAAUUUUUAUUGAGAUUUGUGCAAGAAUUUACCUAAAUAUUACCUAAAAUUGAGAUAUCAGAGUAAUAUCAAAUAGAAAAACUUGCCACGGUAAGCCAAAAGUCUAGUCAACCACAUGCAUAAAGCUAAAUAGAACAACUAACAAGAGAACAGAGAAACGCGUGGGUCCCUAAAAGAAAAGGCAAGCACAUAGAUGAAAAAGCCAUUACAUUUCGAUUUUACAUGUCAUUAAUUUCUGUAACACGGUGUGUGGCAGCAUAUGCACAAUCAAGUGAGGCAAAAGGGAUUCGAUUAUCGUGGCAGAACAUGAACGAGGACGCGUGAUGAAUAAUUCCUUCGAUAAAACGAAAAACAAACGCAGAGAAAAGAAUUUCUUAUAUGACAAGAAAUCAAAGAAAUCAAAGUAAUGUUUCAUUUUCCCUUCCCUACCUUUUUUUUGUUUUAUUUUUAUAGCAAAGAAUUAUAUCAUGAAAAGAAUCAAUUUAAUCACCUUUUCUAGCAGCACAAUUUUUCUUUUAUAAAAUUUGACCAGGGAGACAAAGAAUAAUUAUUCAUACCUUCAUCACUAAGGAAAUACUUUUCGGUAUGGCUAAGGUGAGAAAAGGCUUUCCACAAAAACUUGUACUUUGUAUUCCUGUAAAUUUUCUUUAAAGUCAAUAAAAACCAUAAGUUCUUUACAAUAACCAUCUCUUUGAUAAAAAAGUGCCGUAUUCCUUUAGAAUUUAAAACCGGCAAAACUGAAUCAGUGUCUUUGAAGAGACAUAAUGGUCGUAAUUCUUUAAAUGAGUUGGCUAUGGAAAUCGUUAUCCAAGAUUCUUUUACGCCAUAUUCUUUCGUAAACCAAAAUUCAUUUUGGAAUACUCUGUUGAGAAUGUCAAAUAAAACGGCAUUGAAGGAAGUUUUCAAAGGCAGAAUCUGCACUUGUCAGAUGGAUGAUCUGCACUUGUCAAAGACACAAUCCGCGUCGAACGAAUCGACACAUUUCCUUUCGUAUUCACAUAUGCAAUUUUUGAAAAAAUGUAGCUUUUACAUCUAUAAAUAACACUCAGUGUAUAAUGUUUUAUUCAAGAAAAGAAAACAAGUUUCUUCAUGGUAUCAGAGCCAUGAAUACGCUCAAGUUUCUUCAAGUUUCGCUGCUCUGUUUGUAACAAAAACAGAGAAAACCAAAAUCUUCCCACAACCAUUUUUUCCACCAUUUUCUUCCUUAAAAUCAUUCCUACCAUUAUAGAAAUCCAUGCCGAUCAAAAAACAAGCCACCCAUACGUAAAAAACUUGAGUUUACAAAUUUAUCAACAAUCUCAUAAAUUAGAUACAAAACAACGUGAUGUUAAAUCUCCAGAACUGCAGCAGUCUUAAAACGACAUGUCGUUUCUAUUCCAUCAGAACCGACAUAUCAUUUCUUUAAGCAGAGGCCAAACGACUUGUCGUUUUUUUUUUUAUCUAAAAAAGUUAUUUUUUCUUAUUUCAAUCUAGACGCCAAAAAAAAAACAAAAAAAUGGAGAAAACUCCAACUGAAUCUGAUCCUGUUGUCAUUCAAUCUGUUCAAUCUGAUGAGUAUUUAAUGUUGGAAUUAUCUUCACUGAGACAAACUACGAUAUUUGGUCUUAAAUAAUGGAGUUGCAUCUCGCAGAAAGAGAAAAACUCUCAUAUAUUUGUAGCAACACAAAGUCAUCUGAGGAAUCUUCAAAGGAAUAUGAGAAAUGGUAUAGUGAGAAUGAAAAGGUAAAAAAAUGGUUACUCAUAUCCAUGUCUCUGGAUAUCAUGAAGUGAUAUUUACGAAUUCCUACAGCCUACGAAAUAUGGGAUGCAUUAUCAAAAGCCUUCUAUGAUGGAAUCGAUGAAUUACAAGUUUUCACUCUAAACCAGAAGGCGUCUCUACCAAGAAAAAUUGACAGCCACUAUCUAAAUUCUACGGAGAAUUGAUCGAAAUAUUUUGAGAACUUGAUCACCGAGAUAAAGUGAUCAUGAAGGAUCCAGAAGAUGUUGUAAUAUACAAAAGGUCUGUUGAAAGAUUGAGAGUUCACAUUUUUCUUGUUGGGCUAGAUGAAGAAUUUAACCAAGUUCGUGGAGAAAUUCUAUGAAAAGAUAUUAUCCCAGACUUAGAAGAAUGUUAUUCUUUGAUCUGAAGAGAAGAUGUACGGCAAAACAAACUAAACAAGAAGGUCGACUCAGAAACGUUUGCUAUGAUAGCACGACAACAGCCUCAAAGGAAGCUUGUUGACAAGUCAUCACUCCAUUGCACUCAUUGUAGGAAGAAGGGUCAUAUGAAAGCACAAUAUUUUGAAAUCAUUUGAUAUCCUGACUGGUGGGAUACUUGAAAGAAAAACAUCAAGCAGGGAUAAAAAACUGCAGUAGCUGAAUCCACAUCCACUACAGAUCUUAGAAAAGAAUCUUCAGUGCAAAUCGCAACCUCUGUUAGUCCAGGUAAGGCCCUUAAAACUCUUAUACUUGUUAUUAAUAGUACAUGGAUAAUUGAUUCUGGGGCAACUGAUCAUAUGACUUUUGAUUCUCGACAAGUUUCUCAAUUGAUACCAUCUUCACAAAAACAUGUUUCCACUCCAAAUGGAACCACAACCUUAGUUAUUGGGGAAGGAUCUUUACGACUCACAUAUAAAUUAAAUUUAGACUCUGUGUUAAUUGUUCCAUCUUUAGAUUAUAAUCUUUUAUCUGUGUCUCAAUUAACCACUUACUUAUCAUGUGUUGUAAUUUUUUGGCCUGAUCAUUGUGUGUUUAAAGACAUCCAAACGAAGCAAACGAUUGGUUAUGGUAUUAGACGGGGCCACUUGUACUAUUUGGAGAUGACAUCAACAAACACUGGAAAGCUAAGCCCUGCACUAGUCGCAGAUAGUUCCAUAAAAAAAAGGAAAUCAGAAAUUUGGUUAUGGCAUAGACGUUUAGGGCAUGUGUCAUUUGGUUACUUAAAAAAAUUAUUUCCUAGUUUAUUUCUGAAAUUUGAUAUUUGUAACUUUAAAUGUGAUGUUUGUGAACUUUUAAAAAGUCAUCGAACUACUUUUCCAUUGUCCUUAAAUAAGAAUCAAGUUCCUUUUAUGGUAGUACAUUCUGAUGUAUGGGGGCCAUCGAAAGUUUCUACAAUUGGAGGUGCUCGUUGGUUUGUUACAUUUAUUGAUGAUUGUAGCAGAAUGACAUAGAUUUUUCUGAUGAAAUCGAAAGACGAAGUAAACUCUUUAUUUUAAAGAUUUCAUAAGAUGGUGACGACUCAAUUUCAGACACAAAUUCGAGUUCUACAUACUGAUAAUGGAGGCGAGUAUAUGAGCACAACAAUUCAACAGUUUCUGAAAUCACAAGGAACUGUCCAUCAAACCACUUGUGUGGGGACACCCCAACAAAAUGGCAUUGUUGAACGAAAAAACAGACAUUUACUAGAAGUUGUUCGAGCAUCACUAAUCCAGGCCCACAUGCCACUAUCUUAUUAGGGAGAAGCACUGGCAUCCGCAGCAUACUUGAUCAAUCGAACACCUUCAAGCUCCCUUGGAUUCCAGACUCUUUUCCAGGUUCUAAAUGAUGCAAUUAUGUCACCAAAUGUGCCGAAUUUACCCCCACAUGUGUUUGGCUGUGUUGCCUUCGUUCAUUUGCCGCAACAAGACAAAUUAUCUCCUCGAGCACUACGUUGUGUGUUUGUAGGGUAUGCCUUACAGCAAAAGGGAUACCGAUGAUAUGAUCCACCAUCAAGAAAAAUAUACAUCACCAUGGAUGUCGUCUUUCAUGAAGAUAUCAUAUACUACUUGUCAAAGCCUGAAUUUCAGGGGGAGUAUAAUGAAGAGGAAAUUCAUAAUCUUAUAUAUCUUCCACCUAAAGAAGAUCAAUCUUCCAUUGAGGUUGUAAACCUUCAAGAUACUGGAAAAGAAAAUGGUGGUGAUUCUCAGGCUGAGAUAAGUGAAGACACAUUUGGGGAGCAAAAUAACUUAGACACAACUGCAAUCGAGAAUGAGUCACAUGAAGAAAUACCUAACUAAUCGUCUGCAGAGGAUGUUCCUACCACAAGUCCUAGUCUAGUCAGAAGAAUUCUUCCUCAGCGUCAAAAUAGAGGUAUCCCUAAACCCACAUAUGAGCCCGACCUUUCUAGUAGAGUCAAAUACCCUAUGAUUUAUUUUGUGUCUAACCAUCGCUUGUCAGAAUCAAAUCAGUCAUUUGUGAAUCAAUUAUCUACUGUAUCUAUUCCUAAUAGUGUGCAGGAAGCCUUAAAAGACCCAAAGUGGAAAGCGACUAUGAAUGACGAAAUGUGAUCUCUUCAAAAAAAUCAAACAUGGGAACUAGUUGAUCUUCCACCUGGAAAGAAACCAGUGGGUUUCCGAUGGAUCUACACUAUAAAGUACAAAGCAGAUGGCUCUAUUGAACGAUACAAAGCAAGGCUCGUAGCUAAGGGUUACACCCAAACCUACGGGAUAGAUUAUGCCAAUAUGUUUGCACCGGUAGCAAAAAUUAAUACUAUUCGUAUCUUAUUAUCAUUAGCAGUCAACUUGGAUUGGCCAGUGUAACAGUUCGAUGUAAAGAAUGCUUUCCUCCAUGGAGACCUGUCUGAAAAAAUUUAUAUGGAUAUGCCACCAGGAUGUAGUGGACCAGAACGACUCAAUCAGAAAGUAUGCAAAUUGAAGAAAUCAUUGUAUGGGUUGAAGCAACCCCUAAGAGCAUGGUUCGGGAAAUUCACAAAGGCUAUGGUUCUUUUUGGGUAUAACCAAAGCAAUUCAGAUCAUACCUUGUUCAUUAAAAAAUGACAAGGUAAAAUCACUGCCCUCAUUUUCUAUGUGGAUGAUAUGGUAGUCAUAGGUAACGACGGGGAAGCAAGAGAGGCUCUUCAGAAGUACUUGUCGAGAGAGUUUGAGAUGAAGGAUUUAUGAGCCUUAAAAUACUUUCUUGGAAUUGAGGUUUCUCGAUCUAAGGGAGGAAUUUUCCUGUCUCAAAGGAAAUAUGCUUUAGAUCUAUUAAACGAAACGUGAAUGACAGCUUGUCAGCCUAUUGACACCCCAAUAGAAGAAGGACUGAAGUUUUGUAUUACCUCAGACUAAGUUCCAGUAGACAAAGGAAGAUAUCAAAGGCUGAUUGGAAGAUUGAUGUACUUGUCCCACACAAGGCCAGCUCUUGCUUAUGCAUUGAGUGUUGUAAGUCAGCUUAUUCAUAAUCCCGGAGAACAACACAUGAAAGCAGUAAUGCGGAUCCUAAGGUACCUGAAGUCAAAUCCAGGAAAAGGAAUCCUAUGUUCCAAAAAUGGAGAUUACAGCAACAUAGAAGUUUAUACUGAUGCAGAUUGGGCCCGGUCAGUUAGUGAUAGACGCUCUACCUCAGGAUACUUUACCUUAGUGGGAGGCAACCUUGUCACAUGCUGCUUCACUUGCUGCCAAUCCAGUUCAUCAUUCAAGAACAAAACAUAUAGAGAUUGAUGUUCACUUUGUGAGAGAUAUAAUUUCCAACGGCGGAGUGGAAGUAAGAUAUGUCCCUACUGAAUAUCAGCCUGCAAACAUCUUCACAAAAGCUCUUCCUGCUGAUAUGUUUCAACAGUUGCGAGACAAGCUACAUAUUCUUCCUAGAACAUUGCGCUUGAGGGGGCAUUAUGAAAAUAUUGUAGCAGAGCUACCAAACUUGAGUAAUACGAAUUCAAAGUUGUUAGAUGACAUGGCAGCACACUUGGCAUUCAUUGGUGUUUUGGAAAGUUAAAGUGAUCAACCUUAUCUCUUAGCUUAUCAUUAAUUCAAGCUGCACUUUUGUAUUUAUCAAGAUCAAGAUAAAGAUAACAAUUGUGCUAGGCUUGAUCUUAUUCUUGGCAUUAUCGUGUUUCCUGUAGAGCAUUAUAAAUGUAAUGAUUAUGAGAUGAAUAAAAUAACGAAAAUGUGUUUUGUUUCUUCUUUAAGCUCAUCUUUAUAAUUUAAGUUGGUAUCAGAGCAUGGCGAGCUCCAAUUCUGCGAAAUUAGUCAAUAUGAAUACUGUAAACCAAACACCACAAAUUUCUAAUUUUUUGACUCCUGUCAAAUUGGAUAGGCAAAAUUUUAUGAUAUGGAAGUCUCAAGUGCUACCUUCCAUUCGUGGUAACAAUCUUGAAAGCUUGAUCAAUGGAGCAAAACUUGUACCCACUAAAUUCUUGGUGCAAGUAGAAGAGGAUCAAACAGUAACGACUGUGGAAAAUCCAGAAUAUAUACAAUGGCUGAGACAAGAUCAGCUUUUACUUAGUUGGCUUUUGUCCACUAUGACUGAAUCAGUUUUAAGCAUAGUGGUGCAGUAUACAACCUCUUUUGAGGUUUGGAAUGCCUUGAAGACAUUGUUUGCAUCUCAGUCAAAGGCUAGAAUUUUGUAGCUCAAGAUGCAACUCCAAACCACGAAAAAGAAUGCUAUGACCAUGAGUGACUAUGUCAACAAAAUGAAAAAUUUAGCUAAUAGCCUGGCAAUGGCUGGAAAAUAUGUUACUGAAGAUGAUUUAAUUUCUUAUAUUCUUGCAGGUUUAGGAACUAAAUACGACCCUGUGGUUGUAAAUAUUACAGCAAGAACAAAUGAUUUAUCUCUGCCUGAAGUAUCCUCUCUUUUGCUCAAUCAUGAAAGUCGAAUGGAACAACUCUCAGCUGCUGCAAAUCUUGAGUCUAAAGGCAGUUUUAAUGCAAAUUUUGCAGGAGCUUCUUUUCACAAAAGGAAAGUUAUAAGAAAAGGCUUUAUGUCAGGAAGUUUAUGAGGCAAUGAACGUGGUAGAGGCAAAGGAAGAACCAAUUUUAGCCGUGGUGGAAAUAGGCCAACCUGUCAGAUAUGUGGCAAAUAUGGACAUUCAGGAUAUCAAUGUUUCUUCCGCUUUGAUCGGGGGUUCUCUGCAAGACAAGAGGCAACACAAGCAGGUCAAGCCUCUGCCUAUAUGGCACUCCCUGCUGAAGAAAUAGAUAAUGGAUGGUAUUUGGACAGCGGAGCAACACACCAUGUUACAAAUGAUUUAAACAAUCUGCAGAUUAAGUUAGAAUUUAAGGGAGGUGAGAAGCUGGUAGUAGGUAAUGGUAAAACUUUAGCAAUAUCUCACAUUGGCAGUGCACUUAUUUAUAUUCCAAACCAUGAACCAUUGUUGCUUAAUGACAUUUUAUAUGUGCCCAAAAUCACCAAGAACUUAAUUAGCAUUUCAAAAUUACUUUCUGAUAAUAAACUAAUGCUUGAUUUCUGUGACAAUGUUUGUACUCUUAAGGACAAAGUUCUGGGGAAGAAGCUGCUGCAGCGAAAAAUUGAAAGAGGCUUAUAUCGGCUACCAGUGCUUUCAAGACAAGCCAUUCUAUCUGAUUCAAAAAUUAUUUCCAAUAAAUCUUAUUAGUCUUCUCUUCCAUUUAGCUGUUUCAAUUCUAGCUCAACAAUAAGUUCUGUAAAUGAACAAGAAUUUAUUUCCAAUUCCAAGCCUAGCAGUUUUAUAAAUCUUUUGCACAGAAGGAUGAGACAUCAUCAUCUUGCUGUACUAAAACAAAUUCUACCUUUGUGUAACAAAACAAGUCAGUUAAAUAAAAAUCUCAUUCCUCAAUUCUGUGAUGCAUGUCAACAAGGAAAAAGUCAUAGGCAAACUAUCAAAGCAUCAAAUAGUAGAGCUUCAGAACCUUUAGAAUUAUUGCAUCUUGACUUGUGGGGGCCUGCACCUUUAAUGUCUAGAAAUGGCUACAAAUAUUAUUUGAGUAUUGUAGAUGACAACACACGUUUUACAUGGAUAUUUCCACUUAAAGUUAAAUUACAAGCGUUUGAAGCUUUUAAGUAUUUCAAAGUUCAAGCCGAAAAACAAUUAGGAAAGAAAAUCAAAAGUUUACAAACUGACGGUGGAGGAGAGUUUCAAGCAUUUACAAUUUUUUAAAAGAACAGGGUAUUAUUCACUGACUUUCUUGCCCACACACGCAUCAUCAAAAUGGUAGAGUGGAGCGAAAACACCAACAAAUUGUAGACACUGGUUUAACACUUUUGGCAUAGGCUGGCAUGCCACUCACUUUUUGGUGGGAUGCUUUUCAAACAUCUGUUUAUUUAAUUAAUAGAAUGCCUACUUCCAUCUUAGAAAACAAAUCACCAUUUCAAAUACUUUAUGAUGAAGAAUAGGAAUCAAUAUUAUACUAGGAUUAGUUUCCUUAUUAACUAAAGUUUAAGACUUUUAAAUUCCUUUCUAAUUUAGAAUUUUGUUUCCCUUUCAAUUUAGGAUUUUGUUUUACUUCAUGAAUUAGGAUAAUUAUUACUACUAUAAAUAGCUCCCUCUUGUAGCCUUUAAAGGCAGAGAAUUUUGAGUUUAAUAAUAUUUCAAUUUUCAAAUCUCUUUGUGAGUAUUUGAACAGUUAAUUCUCGGUAUUCUGCGAAAUCAACGAGUCUUAAAUCCCUAAGUUCGCGGUAUUCUUUUGAAUCAACAUGAAUUUAGUUGUUCUUUUAUUCUGGUAUUCUCUAGAAUCAACGGAAUAUUUUGAAUAUUAAACUUCCACUGCAUCACUUUACAAGAAAAUACCUGAUUAUUCUUUUCUAAAAGUUUUUGGAUGUGCUGUAUUUCCUCAUCUUCGAGAUUACAACAAACAUAAAUUAGAUUUUUGAUCAGAUAAAUGUAUAUUUUUAGGCUAUAGUACAGCUCAUAACGGGUAUAAGUGUCUCCACAAGUCAGGAAAAAUUUUUGUAAUGCGACAUGUUGUCUUUAAUGAAUAUGAUUUUCCUUUUAAAAGUGAUCCCUCCUUCAAAAUCUCAAAGAGUUAUCCAAAUCAUGAUUCUAGUACUCUCUUUCAGUCUCCUAUGUUUGCAGGUUUUGAAAGUCCUAGAGCCUAUAAGACUCUCUCGGUUAUUCAUGCAACAGACUCUCUACUAGAGUUGGUUCAUAACACAAUAGUUAUAGAUCAGGCAUCAAGUCAAGAUGAGGAAACCAAUUUUGAAUCCAACACCAAAAGCCCACCUGGAAAAGCCAACCUUGAAUCAAGCACUGAAAUCCAAGCAACUGAAAACACCACACAAUCUUUAUCUAUCCCCGCGUUUAUCAAUCAAGAAGCCGAUCACACAAUCUCUCAACCACCUAGUUCAACUCCUCAUUCUCAACAGCCAACACAUACACAAUCCACUCAUCCAAUGAUCACUCGUGCCAAGGCCGGCAUCUUUAAACCCAAACCUAGACUUUACCUAACAACCUCUCAUACCAAAAUAAGUGUACAUGCCAGUGUUAGUGAAGCUUUGGAAGAUCACAAUUGGCGUAAUGCUAUGACAGAAGAAAUGAAUGCUUUGGCUAGGAAUAACACACGGUGUUUAGUUCAACCUACUUCUGACAUGAAGAUUGUGGGAAAUAAAUGGGUUUUUCGGAUAAAACAAAAGGCUGAUGGUUAGAUAGAGCGAUAUAAGGCUCGGUUGGUUGCAAAAGGAUUUCAUCAGACCCCAGGAAUCGAUUUCAACGAGACUUUUAGUCCUGUUGUUAAAGUUGCAACAAUUCGAUUGGUGUUAAGUAUUGCUGUGAUGAAAAAUUAGGGUGUAAUACAACUGGAUGUGAACAACGCCUUUUUAAAUGGAGACUUAGUAGAAGAUGUUUACAUGAUGCAGCCUGAAGGCUUUAUCAACAAAGCACAACCAAAUCAUGUGUGUAAAUUGAGAAAAGCAUUGUAUGGGCUUAAGCAGGCUCCAAGAGCUUGGUUUGAAAAACUCAAGAGAGCAUUGAGUGACUGGGGUUUCACAAAUUCUAAAUUAGACACAUCACUAUUUAUUUUGCAGCAAGGAAGGGAUAUAAUAUUUGUCCUUAUUUAUGUGGACGAUAUUUUAAUAACAGGAAGUAAAGAAAGUUUGGUGCAAGAAGUUAUUGAACGACUUAAUUGUCAGUUUGCUUUAAAAGUGCUCGGACCAUUAAGCUAUUUCCUUGGUCUUGAAGCUCAUCGCACAGAGAAUGGCCUACAUCUUAGCCAACACAAAUAUAUUUGUGAUCUCUUGAAGCGCACAGAUAUGGAUGGCUGCAAGGAAACAUCUACUCCUAUGAGUGUAGUACCGAAACUUUCAGCUGAAGGUGGUAAGCAAUUUUCUGAUCCUACACUUUAUCGUAGCAUCGUUGGAGCCUUAUUAUACGUAACUAUUACUCGGCCUGAAAUUUCUUAUGCUGUUCAUCGUUUAAGUCAGUAUAUGCAAAAUCCUUUACAGCCGCAUUGGCUUGGGUGUAAAAGAAUCCUUAGAUAUUUACAAGGAACAGCUGAUUAUGGAAUUUAUUAUACUACCAAAGGAAGAAUGACGCUCACAGGCUAUACAGAUGCAGAUUGGGCAAACAAUAUUGAUGAUAGAAAAUCAACUGGAGGCUACUGUAUUUAUCUUGGCAAUAACUUAAUCUCAUGGAGUUCAAAGAAACAAAAUGCAGUAGCAAGGUCUUCAACUGAGUCAGAGUAUCAAGCACUUGCAAAUACCACAGCAGAAAUUUUAUGGCUUCAAUCUGUGCUUAAAGAGUUGCAGGUGCCACUAACUGAAAUUCCAAUUAUUUGGUGUGACAACACUGAAGCUGCUUCACUUGCUGCCAAUCCAGUUCAUCAUUCAAGAACAAAACAUAUAGAGAUUGAUGUUCACUUUGUGAGAGAUAUAAUUUCCAAAGGUGGAGUGGAAGUGAGAUAUGUCCCUACUGAAUAUCAGCCUGCAGACAUCUUCACAAAAGCUCUUCCUGGUGAUAGGUUUCAACAGUUGCGAGACAAGCUACAUAUUCUUCCCAGAACAUUGCGCUUGAGGGGGCAUCAUGAAAAUAUUGUAGUAGAGCUACCAAACUUGAGUAAUACGAAUUCAAAGUUGUUAGAUGACAUGGCAGUACACUUGGUAUUCAUUGGUGUUUUGGAAAGUUAAAGUGAUCAACCUUAUCUCUUAGCUUAUCAUUAAUUCAAGCUGCACUUUUGUAUUUAUCAAGAUCAAGAUAAAGAUUACAAUUGUGCUAGGCUUGAUCUUAUUCUUGGCAUUAUCGUGUUUCCUGUAGAGCACUAUAAAUGUAAUGAUUAUGAGAUGAAUAAAAUAACGAAAAGGUGUUUUGUUUCUUCUUUAAGCUCAUCUUUAUAAUUUAAGUAAAGGGACUUUUGCAUAGCCUCUGGUGUGUGUGUGAUUUCUCUUUCGUUUCCUCAUCAAAUUCUGUAAUUCUUGCUUCGAUAAAAAGCUUUUAAUCUCUUCUGUAGUGUGUGAUCAGUGCGUAAUCAUUUUGAGCAAUAACAGCUUGUGGGUUUUUCCUUCAAACAGUGUCGUUUUGGUCAGUUUGUUAGUUUCUGUGUUCGUCUGAUUCCAUUGCUCUUGUUCUCUGUUCUUGAUCUGUUCGUGGAAUUUUUCUUUGGUUAUUUGUUCUCAAAUUUCAACUGUAUAUAAAGUUUGAACUCUGAUUGCUUAUAAUGUAUUGAUUAAGAAUAAUCCUAAGAGUUCCCGAUUGAAAUUUUUAAUGACUAUUUUUAUUGUUUUGGAUAUACAAAUUGAAUUAAGAAAAAAUAUUGUCAAAUUCAGAGGAUAAGGGGAAAUAAUUAUGCUUCAAAAGGCCAGAGAUUAGAGAAUAAAGAAGCAUUCAUUACUCUAUCAAAAAAAAAAAAAAAAAAAAAGCAUUCAUUACUGAUAUACAAACUGCUUUUAUUUGGAUUUUGGAAGGGGUGAAGUUUUGAACUUCAGUUGUUCCUCUAAAAUCAAAAGCAGCAAUUAAGCGUUCUCAAUUAGAAAGAGCUAAGAAGACUUAUUGGUACCUUACUGAAGCUAACAUUAUGGCACAGUUGUUCAUAUAUAAUGGCUGCUCUGUUAUGCUAGCUUCUCUGUUUUUGCUUCUAUUUUUGCUUACAGUUUUGAACAUAAAUUCUUGCUCAAAUAACCCAUAAUUAAAUAACACUAAUAUGGCUCGUGAAAUCCCAUAAUAGCUAAUUACGCAACUUUCUCCUCCUCCUCAAUUCUGUCUUCCCCUGCUCGUACACUAAAUUCAAAAUUCAAUGCCCCGAAAAACAACACAAGAAAUCUUUGAGUUAAUUCGCGACCAGUUUAUAUAUAGUAGCAAUUGAAAAAGGAAAAAGAAUAAAAGAGUUCAUUAUUAUUCAGACCUUCACUUAUUAGGAAGUUUGUUCUGCUGUUGGGUGAGAUCAAGCUCUCAGCAUAUACUUCCACAUUAUACUUUCUAACAUUUUCUUGAAAGCCAUCAAUCAUAAAAUCUUCAUACUUUUUUCCAUCCUUUGGAUCAAUAAGUACAAAUUUCUCAUCUAAAACAGACAAAAUAAAAUCACUGUCCUUCAUGGAACAUAAUGGCUGCAAUGCCUGAACUGAAUUGGCUAAUGAAAUUUGAGUCCAGGAUUCUCUCAGCCCAUAUUCUUUCAUAAUCCAAAAUUCUUUUCUUUCUCGACAUGGAACAUAGUCUUCUUUUCUUUCUGGACAUAUGUCUCUGUACUUUUCUCUCUCUACUGAUCCACACUUUUUCAUACUUCUAACUAUCAUUUUGUUUUUUUUUUGUUAAGUUGUGAUUUAUUCAAUUAUUUUGUAUUUUUAAUGAAAAUUAUUUAAUAUUUAGUUAGUUUUGAUAUUGAUUAGUGAUUGAAAGUGUAUUUUAGAAGACUUCCGGUCUCUUGGAAAAAGGAAAAAUGGAGACGAAGAAGAAGUGUUCUUGAUUUUUUUGUAGGCAUUAAAGUUAAACGGUUUGAAAUGAUAUUUUGUUUUAAUUUCACUCAUUAAUCUCAUUCAGGAUAAAAUUAUAAAUGCAAAUAAAUGGGGUUUCAUGAGUUUUUUUUAAUAGUGUUAAAAGGUCUACUCACUAAAUAAAUAUGUUUAACCCAAACCAAUGCGAUUAGUAAGUUAUUGGGUUGGGUUGAUCAGGUUAAAAAUUAAAAUUAAAAAUUAAAUAAUUAAAAAAGGCAUAAAAACUAUCUGUUACUUGAAAAUAAAAAGAAUUUCUAAUAGUUAGUUCUAAUGUCCCAUAUCCAAAACAUCCAUAUUAAAUAAAUAUUAUAAGUUAGAAAUACAAUAUCCAAGAAAGAAUGAAUGAAAUACCAUAUUUUUGUUGAGAAUUAAGAGUGUGAUUUUAAUUUUGAUAUUGGAGUCUAAAGUGCCACGUUUAAAUAAUCUCUUUUAUAAAAUAAUAAAAAGAGAUUAAAAAUUAGGUUAGCCAUUUAGGCAUUCAGGGUUUAGCAAUUAAGGAUGAACAUAUUAUUGUUGUUGUUUUUUGUUGUUGUUGUUGUUGUUGUUGUUGUUAUUAUUAUUAUUUAUAUGUUUACUAAUCCAAUUUACGUAUAAGUACAAAAGUUUCAAAUAUUGUCUAUUAUUUUUUUAACAUGCCUAUUCCUUGUGGAUAAUUCUGUCUCAUCACUAAUGUUGUUUCUUGCUUACAAUUUGUAUAGCGUCUCAAAAUAGACAAUAGGGGGAUUUUGAAUUUUUUAAGUCUCAAUAUAGUCUCUUAUCUUGUGAGACAGAUUUUCUUUCAAUAAUUUGGAGGUAAACAUAACAUAACUUUUUGGACUAAAGCCUAGCUCUGCUAAUUAGUAAUUGGUGGUAUCCUUUUCAAGACCUGAGUCUUUAAAUUCGAGUUUUAUAUAGUGCGCAUGUGUAUUUAAUUAAUAUUUUUUUAAAAAAAUUACAUCAAAUACUAAUAUUCAUGACAUAAUUUAGUUCAUAAUGUUUUUUUAAAUACAUCGAAAAUAUAAUUUUUUAACAACUUAUAGGCAUGACAAAUUUCAAGAUAUAAAUAUCAGUCAAAAUAAGUGAAAGAAAUAAUGGUGCCAAUUCUAAUUUCUUAACUAAAUUAAUUACUGCAUGAGCCCCCAAUACGGCACGAGAGUUUGAUGGGCUAACUUGGCACAAGAACAAUAGUUAAUUGAUUUAAGAAAUAAUUCAAUGAAAAAUAUAAUUGAUAAGAAUUUAGUAUUGAAAUGAGUUUUUUUCGAAACACUGAAUUAAUGAUUAUUAAGCAAGAACAAUAAAAAAAAUAAAAUAAAAAAUAAAGAUUAACCAUUGAUAAGCUUCAACAAGAACUUAACACAACCCUCAAUCCUAAUUCAAAUUAUAAAUGUCAUUCAUAUAUUCAUUAUAAAUCAAUAACAAAGGUUAUAAAUGUUUAGAAAUUCUAGAGGGAAGGAAGCUAUCGCCGGGCAAUCAACAACUAAAUUUGAUGUAAUUGUGGCACAAGAUGGAAUAUGAAAACUACACCAUAAUUUCAAAUGCCGCCAUAGACAUUGACUUAUCUACAGUAACAAUGAUCUAAUUAAAAUUAAAAUAAAGUUUAUGGGCAUUUAUUAUAUUUGCCAUUCCUCAUUUGCAAAUAGGGAUAUAAUUAUAAUUUUACUUAGUCAAAGCAAUCAGUAAUUUUUAGGGGUGUUCAAAAUUCAAUCCGAUCCGCUCAAUCCGUCUGAUCCGUAGAAAUCCGAUCCGUAAAAAUCUGAUCUGUGGAUUGGUAGAUUGGAUUGAAUUGAAAAUUUGAUAAUCCGCAAUCGGUGGAUUGGGUAUGGAUCUACUUCUGUAAAUUCGUAAAAAUCCGUGAAUCGGCAAAAAAUAAAAAGUAUUUAUUUAUUAAAAAAUAAAACUUGUAAAUAUGGCAAUAGUACUUACUAGUAAAUAAAUAAGUUAAAAUAUAGUUACAUUAACACUAUAUUAUAUCUUAUCCGAUAAUAAUAAAAAAUAAAAAAUAAUUAAAUAAACAAAUAUAACUUUCUAAAUAGUUAAUUUUCAUGUACUGAUCUAAACGAAUGAGAUUUUUUUUUUUUCAUUUUGGUGUGUUAUGUUUUGAACUUUAAAUGUAAUUUUUAGUUUUAUUUAAACAAGUAAUUUAUUUAAAUCUUAUUUAAUUUUAAAUUUGAUCGGCAAUAAAAUUAUUUAUAUUAAUUUUUUUUUAUUUAGUUAGUUCGUAGAUUGGACAGUAUUAAAAAUUUUCAGUCCGUAAACCAAUUCGCAAAAUGGUGGAUUGGAUAUGGAUUGGGUCAAAUCCGCAUCCAAUCCGCAGAUGUAUGAAUUGAAUUUCACCAAUCCAUGAAUUGGAUUGGAUUAAAAAUUUAUAAUCCGCAAAAUCGUGGAUCAGAUAUGGAUUGAGGUCCAAUCCGUAAAAUUUGAUCCGGAAACACCCCUAGUAAUUUUCUUCAUUAUAGGAGUGAAGUAAAAACAUUUAGAUUUUAAUGUAUGUACGGAAAAAUUUAUCUUUAAAAAUACUUUCUUAAUGUGUGUAUAUAUAUUGAAAUACUCAAACCAAUUUUGGUUAUUAUAUAAUUAAACAAAUUUUAAAAUAUGAAAAAUAUAAUGUAGUUAUAGUGGAUAAACAAUAAGUGAGCGCAAUAUAAUUAAUCAAAUAUCAUGCCAUCAAAAGUUAAUUUUAGAAAUUCCAAAUCCAACAGCCAACACAAUUCUUUUAAAAAAAAGCUGACACAAUUAAUAAAAUUAGUGACAUGAAUUUCACACCAUUGAUAAUAAGCAAUUAGUAUUACUUUCUAAACUUGCUUCAACUGGUCGUUGAUGUCCGGGGUCACCAAAAGUAUAAGCAAUAAUAAGGGGCAUUGGGCAAGAGUGAUGAAUGUUUAGUCGGUGCAUUUGAUUGCUAGAUAUAUAAAGGGCCGAAACUUGAGAUUAUAUUACUUUUACAAAUUUUAAUCCAAUCACAUAUUUAAUGAAAACAAAAUGAGUUAGGAUACUUUAUUUAGAACCCACAUUUUAAUAAGGCUUCAUUUGAUGUAGUUUUUUAAACAGUGAUUAUUUAAGUAAAUUUUCCUCAAUAGAGUUUUUAUCAAACAAAUUUAUUUAUUUAGUUGUCGAUAAGAGUUUUUAUUAAAAAUUAUAAAAUUAUUUAAAUAAACAUGUUUUUUAAAAUUACAUUAUAAAAAUAAUUAAAUAAAAUUAUAAAAGUAAAAUAUAUUUUAGAUAUUUUAAUAUUUAAGAAAAAUUUUCAAUCUCUACUUUCAAAAGCUCAAAUUUUUAGCUUUUAGUUGUAGAGACAAAAUAUUUUAUUUAAUCUUUAAAAGUUAUGCUAAAAACAAUCAAAUAACUACAAAAAUUUUAAUAAGAGUAUAUAAAAUUAAAUGGUAAUUUUUAAAAACCUCCCCUGAGGUUUGGGCUUGUUGCAAGUAGAUGGCGAGAAUCCAUUUAUUUGUAACAAACCCCCUACCGUCAGUUAAUUUUUGCAUUAACCGUUAGUUGACUGUGCAAAGACAAUAUUGUCCCUAAUGACAGUUUGUAGACUGACAUAGCUAAAAAAAAUGCUGAGAUUGUCGGCACGAAAAUCACAAAUAAUUUUUUUUUGACAAUUUUGUCCUUGUUAAUUCCAAGAUUUACAAUGUCAUAAGUAAGGAUUAUGACUAUUUUACCCUCUUAAAAUUAUUGAUAAUUCCUUAAAAUUUCUACAAAAAAGAUAAAAUUAAAAACUUGAAGAAAAAUAAAGUUCUCAAGCCGGCUAACCAAACACAUAGAAUAAAAAAUCCAUCGUUUGACAACAAAAACAACUUUCCAUAAACCCAAACAAAAAUAAACAAGUCCCCAUUACUCUAAUUGGCUUUGCUUGGAGCUGUUACUAUUGUGCAUACAUUUCUAGGCAAAGCAAAAUGACCCCAUGAUAUAAACCUUAUAAAACAUGCCUCCACUAUUCUUAAUUUUGGUAUAAUAAUAAUAAUAAUCACAAAAAAUUAAUUGAAAACUUGACUAAUUAUCUUUGGUGGAGAAUUUUAAACCGAAACCGAUUCAGGAACCUUAAAUUGAUCAAAAGGAAGCUAAUAAUGACAAAAAAGUAACCGAUCAAAAAUCAUUAAGCAUAAAAAAAUAUUGAAUUUAAAUAACUAAAAAUGCCAUCGGAAAUUGAAAUUAAUUAUUUAACAUAUAGCAUGAAAACAAAUCUUCACUAUUGGUGCUAGGCGGCUGUCGUUUAGCUUGGUUCUAAGAGGUGGCAGUCAGUCAACUUCGAGACGGUGCGUUCGAAGUCAACUAAGCUGCAGCAGAGGUUGCAGGGGGCAGAUUGCAGCGAAGUCGCGGUGGAGCAGAGGUCGCGUCGCGGUGGAGAAGAGGUCGCGUUGCGCUGGCUUGGCUUCACGGUGGUGGGAUGGCUGGGCGGGCUGGCCAGCUGUGUGCGCAUUGUAUAUGAUUGUUUUUCACUUUUUUAAUAUUUUCUUGUGCAUUAGUUCAGAUUAGAUUAGUGAGUUUGUGUGUGUGUUUGCAGUUGAUUUGGUUAAGAUAUUUAGGUUAAAAUAAUUUUUUUUAAUAAAUUUUUUUUUUCAAAAUGUCAACAAUGCCCACAACUACCCAAAUGGCAACUAAGCAGAGUAAAAACGUAGGGGUUUUUUUUUAUAAAUAAAUAGAUUCUCGUCAUCUAUUUGCAACAAACUCAAAUCUCGGGGGAGGUUUUUAAAAAUUACCCUAAAAUUAAAUAAGCAUUUAUUAAUAAUCACUUUGGUAUACUUAUCUAAUGACCAUAAGUGUUUAUUUAAUCUCAUAAGUUCUUAUUUAAUCUCAUGAGCUCUUUUCAAUUUUUUUUGUUGUUUGUUUUUUAGUAGAGUUUUUGAAAAUUAAAUAAACUAUUUUGUCUCUACUAGAAAAAACUCAAAUUUUAGAUUUUUGUGAGUAAAUGUUUAAUUUUUUAAAAAAAUAUUAAAAUAUCUAAGAUAUCUUUCCUUUAUUUCAUAAUCUUAUUUCAUUUUUUCAUAACAUAACUUUCAAUAACUUACCUAUUAAAAUAAUUUCACAAUUUCUAAUAAAAACUCUAAUUGACAAUUAACAAUUUUUUUUUGUUUGUAAAAACUCUAUUUAUAAAAAAUCUAAUAAAAAUUCUAUUUAAAUAAAUUAUAUUUGAAAAGGUGUACUAAACCAACCUAAGAUAAAAACAAAAAUUUUUACAUCCAGACAAUUAAGCUUAAAACAAUUUCAAAUGAAUUUUAGACUAAUCAAAGUACAAUACGUACCAAGUUUGGUAACUUAUUGACAUCUUCUCAUAUAACCUUCGAUCAAGUCGAUUCUCACCUGACGACUAAUUGGUACAUCACCGUUGUUCUCUAUACUCGCAUGCAUCCGAUCACAAAUCUCACUCCAAUUGUCGUCUUUCUUCGGCGUUUUAGCACAUCCUUCUUGAAUUUCCCGCAUUUCGUUCCCUCCUGUUACAAGUCUCCGGUCAGGUCAGUUCUCUUGACGAUUAAUUCGGCAAAUCUCGAAUCUCUUCUCGCGUCGUUUCACUUCAAUUUUUUGUGUCUCCUUUCAGUUUUAGUGAUUGAAUCAAUUUUAUUGCAGUCUGAGAGAAAUUAAGUAAUGCUCUUGGAUUUAAAUUUUUUUUGCUUUCGACUUUAGAUCUCGAAAGUCAAACUCUGCUACGAAUCCUUAGAUUCUCAAUGUUUAUAAUCUUAUUUGUGUUUGACCAGGUAACUGGAUCGUGAAAUUCGUCGUUUUGUAUCAAUUCAAGCUUUCGCGAGCUCAUGGAAUCACCUGGUGAGUUGUGGUGAAACGUUAUCGUUUCAAUUUUCGCUUAAUUCUUUAUUGCAUAUUUUUUCUCUAACAUUUCAGUUUAAUUUAGAAAAGAAAGAGGACCCAAAAAGAGAGAGAGAGAGAGAGACUCUACCAUACUCAAUUCCUUGCUCAUUCUGAUUUGGCCUGAAUGUUGGCAUUGACUAUUAUUUGUUUUCAUUUCGAUUUAAUUCUCAUUUAGACAGUCUUUACUAACGGUCAAUAAUAGUUUAAGGAAAAUGAUAAUAGGGAUUCUGCAAUAAUCUUUUUAAGGAAAAUGAUAAUAGGGAUUCUGCAAUAAUCUUUUUAAGGGAUGUAUAACUUAUUAAUCAGAGUCCUGUUAUUAUGGUUUGACACUACUGACAUAUUGUGUUGGUAUUUAUUUGUACUUCCCUUGGUUGAAUUAUUUGCUGUCCCCAUGCCAUUCGAUAUGGUGCUACUUGGUUUUUGAUCAUCCAUGACGCUAUAUAUAUGUAAAGGAUGAAUUGAUUGUUUUGGCUUGUAUUCUCACAUUUUAUGAUUGAUCGAUGGAAAGGUCUUCAUGUAUUAAAUUCAACCUCACAAGCGUAAGAUUGACAGAUUCUGGGCAAAUUUUCAGGAAAAGAAACUAGACUUCAUGGAAGCAAUGAAGCUUGAAAUUGAACGUCUGCAGCUGAAAGGGAUAGAGCUUUAUUGUCAAUUGGAACUGAUCCUGCCUCUAUAAAUCCAAAUGUAUUGCUUGAUGAAUCUUACAUGGGAAGACUGUCGAGUAGCAACCACUCUUGCAUUACUUGGCCAAACUUCCCUAGAAGACAAAAUUGUUGGUGCAAUGGCCUUGAGAAUAGUGAUGAUAGUGUUUUAGACUUCUGGAAUAUUACUAGAAUCGGAGAGAGUUGUUCUGGUGGCGCGUGCAAGGUUCGUGCAGAAACUAAGGUGCCUGCUCUUGCUUCCUCAACUGCAGCAUCUGUUGGAGCUUCACAAUCCCCUUUGUUGUGUUCUCUGUUGUGUUCUCUGUUGUGUUCUCAAUGUGAAAGAAAAGUUUGCAAAGUUUGUUGUGCAGGAAGAGGAGCUCUACUGUUUUCAAAUUAUAAAUCAAGGGAUGUGACCAACUACAAUGGCUUCUCAAGUCAGAGUGGAUCAAGCCAUGGAAGCCAAGUUGAUGUAUCUACCAGUCGUUCACUAACACUGGAUGGCGUUAUCUGUAAACACUGCUGCCAUGAGAUUGUGCUUGAUACAAGUUCACAACACCAUUACAAAGGAUUCAAAAUUCCCACACGAAAACAUCAAUGUACAGAUUAUAAACAAUCCGAAUUGGACACAAGAAAAACCCUUCAAUGGAUUGCUUGCCUUCCCAAUGCUAUAUACUGUGCAAACUGCGCACUGUCCAAGAAAAUGUUUUCAAUUUAGUGUAUUUUCAAAAUGCUUAUUUUCUCAGAAUAUAUAAAAAAAAAAAAAGAAUUCUUACAUGUUUCAUCAGCAUGAUUAAAAUCAAAGAAGAAAGCGAGACAUAAUGUCUCUGACAUAAUAAAAUUACAAAAAUUUAAAAAAAAAAAAGUUAAAACAUGUAAUCUUCAUAAGCAUAUAAUAAAAUAACACUUCCACAAAUUACUACAAUUUCAUGCAGUAGAGAUUGAAGAGUUGAAUUCCACUUAUAGACACCGACCUCUUAUUUUGUCUAAUGUUAACAAUGAAAAUAACAACAGUAAUGAAAACAACAACAGAAUACAACAACAGAAAACAACAAUCCGCUCUGCAAAUUCUCUUGGGACUUGGUUCCAAUUCCUCUUCAUCCGAAGUUCCACUCGAAUCAAAUUCACUUGCAGCAGUUCCACUCGCGCUUGGCAAAUCAUCCAAUUUCCAAACUUCGGUAGCAAAAUUGAGAGUAAAAGUGUUGGCUUUGGUCUCGCUGGGAUUUGCAUAUACUGGACAUACUCCGUAACGUUUUACCUUGUGACCCUUUUGGUUUUGGUAACAAUUAUUGAAGAACUUAAGUGAGACAGUUGUAUGAUGGUAACCAUCAGGAAAGCCAACAUUCAAGCAAGGUUUAAAACCAAGUAUGACAUGAUCUGAAUCAAGGGAGUAUUUAUUUCUAACACUUGUGGUUGCGGGCCCACUGAAACCUAGAUCAACAUGUUUGGUUUCAGAGAGAGUCUUUAUUUCUAAGUCGAGUUGAGAGCGGCCGAAAACAUUGCAGCAAUAACAAGAACCAACUUUCUUAAAAUUAAGAACCGCACAAAAAGCAAACCCGAUUAAGUUUCUGCAAGAAGAGUGCGGUGGCAGUUGAAUACCUAUCGAAGAUCCUGAACUUUGAUUGUUGAACCAGUCAGGAAUUUCGCUCCCAGGUAAAACAAUUAGGGAUGUCCUGAGUUCAGAAAGUUUCUGUGAAAUGACAUUUAAAAAAAGAAAAUUGUAAAAUGAAAACCAUGAUUUCAGAUAUAACAAAGAGGGACAGAGUAAACAAGAGAGGGAACUUGAUGCGUUCUAAAUGUUCCAUUUUCUCCAAGAUUUCUGGGAAACGCUCAAGGUUCAAGCAGCCAUGAAGAAAAAGCUCAACCAAAGAUUUCAAUUUACAAAACCUAGUUGAAAUCCUCUUCAGCCGUUCGCAAUCCCUCAAAUCCAACUUUUCAAGAUCAGUUAGGCACUCUAUUGAUGAUGGAACUUCUUCUAUUGCAGACUGGCUUAAGUAUAGCCGUGUAAUUUUCCCAGAAAUCUGUGGAAACUCUACGAGAUUAACACAAUAGGAGAAAUUAAUAGUUACUGGACAAACAAAAUGAAGAUUGCUUGGAAAAGACCUAAGACUUUUGCAGCCCACAAAAUCCAACCUACUGAGAUACUUGAAAUUCUGGAUAGAUGAGGGAACACAAGCCAUUUCUCCUUCCCAAAUUUGCUCAACUUUACUAAAACGCAAAUUCAGUCCAACAAGGUUCUUUGGCUUGAAAUUUGAUGGCAGUGUCCUUAAUGGAUAUGUGUCCCAAUGAAGAUAUCUCAAUUUUUUAGGAAGAUAAUCUAGGCCAUUUGGAAGCUGCACUUUAGAGUACGAAAGUUGCUCUUCAAUGCUCAUACUUAGAAGCUUUUCAAUCUCAUACUUAGGUACAUAAAAUUUGAGCAAUCUCAGAUUAGACAUAUUUGUGAAGGCUCCGGGGUCUAAAUUGAUGCCUUUUAUUUUGGACAAAUCCAAAAAUAUGCCUUCAAUUGCAUCGGUCCCCUUAUUAAAAAAAAAAAAAAAACAAAGAAUGGGUAAGCCUAAAACAGAAAAGAAACAUUCGUAAACUUUAUUAACUAAGAGCUCCUAAAACAAAACAAAUUCUACGAUCUUUGAUCUUAUUUUUUUAAUAUAUUAAAUAUCUAUAUGCGAGAAAAGAAAAUUUUGGGAACCAUUGCAAAAUUAAACUAACCGAAAAAAAAAAUCAAAAUUUCUCUAAUUUACAAACCUGUUAUCUUACUAUCUAGAAGUUGAGAAGACAGGGCCUAUUUGAUUGGUAUAAGAUUUCGAUUUUUUUUUUAGUCCAUAGAAUCCAAAAUGUUAGUUCAAAAUUAGGGAAAAAAAUGAAAGUUAUUUUUUUUCCACUAGUUGUAAUUGUAUCCAAGUCAAAUUGAGAUAUGACCCUUUUCGAAAGGAUUUAAUCAUCUUAUAGCCUCCUUAAAGGAGUGAUUGGAGGCCUAACUAGGUAGGCCAAUCAGUCCAUUUUAUUAGCGACUAUUGCUUAAAAACAUUUAUACUCUAAAACACACUUACUUUUUUGAAAAAAAAAUAUAAUUAUAUUGAAGUAGAACCAGGUGGGCCAAUCCUCAUGGCACUCACUUUGUUCUGACACUCUUCACUAAAUUUGAAAAAAAAUAAAAUUAUACUCUUCACACUCUUAUUCAACAUUCCAAAAUUGAUAAAAUCUGGAGUUUUCAUUAAAAAUUUAAAAUUUGAAGACUUGUUCUCUUGACACCCUCAGUCAUUAAUUUUACCUAAUUAUGGUUUUUAUGAUUUUGGUUGUUUUGUUCAUAAAAAUGAUUUUACUAAAGGAUGUUCUGGUAAUAAUAAAAUUUAUAAAAAAAAACAUGGUUGUGCUGGUAUGAUUGGAAAAAUAUGAGUGCAUAACUCCAAACAAAUAAAAGAUAUAUAAAAAAAAAUGGAGGAUUCUUACCAUAUUAUGCUUUAGUACGCGGCGGAUUUCCUUAGGAUCCCACAACCUCUUGCGUUUGCCUGGCUCUUUCUCAGAUUCUUGGCGUCGCCCCAUUUCUUGCAAUAUAUCAUGCAUUUGCAAGCGGUUAUAUGACACUGUUAUGAGUGACUUAUCAACAAGGACAUCCAGUCCAACAGACUCAGAAUCAUCAAGAAUCCUUGCCACAAAAUCUUUAUCCUCUCCCUCAAAGAAACACGCAAUAUCUAGAAAUAUGCUCUGCACCCUGGGCGUUAAUUCAUCAAAACUAAUCUUUAAUUUCUUAUAAAUAGCAUGAAUAUCAGAUUCACAAAUCCGAUUUAAGUCGUGCAAUACUUUUCCCCAAUGGCUUUUCCCCUUGAGGGAGGAACCCAACACUUUAAGAACUAAUGGAUUGCCAUCAGCAUACUUUACAACUCUCCGUGAGUCAGGUUUGAAAUCUUCAGGACAAUGCUUUUCUUUAAAAGCGAAGUUACAAAAAUGCUCGAAAGCCUCAUGAAAAUCCAUUCCAUUAACCCUAUAUAUUUUCUUCUCCUCCACUCCAAAUUUUUCGAGGACUCCUUUAUCCCUAGUGGUUACAACAAUUCUACUUCCUGGAACAAAUUGAUCAAGCUCUCCAAUCAGACCCUCUAAUUGUCCAACUUCAUUCACAUCAUCGAGUACUAUCAACACCUUCAUACGCCGGACCCUCUCUUUAGUAAAAUGUGGAAUAUUGGCACCAGCUACUUCAAGUUUUUCGCUUAAUAUUGUUGAAAGCAUUUCCUUUUGUAGGUCUUCUAGGCCACCCUCUGUUUCUGAUUUUCUCCUAACAUUUUUUGCAAAGUAUUUACCAUCAAACUCACCAGAGAAUUGAUUGAAAAUAGCUUCAGCAAGGGUGGUUUUGCCGAUACCACCCAUGCCCCAAAUUCCAACAAUUUGGACAGUAUCCGACAAAUCCAUACACAAAAAUGGUUUAAUCUGCUCAAUUCGUGAAUUUAAUCCAACUAGGCCGUUGGAUGAGUCCGUUGAGACUGUUAUUUUUUCCAACUUCUUCAAAACAUCUUCGACAAUUUUGUUUACAAGUUCCGCAUCGUGCCUAAUAUAAAGGUGCAAAGAUGCAAAAACAUUGAGUCAAAUCGGGCCAACACAGAAACAGAGAUAAGAUGAAUUAGGAAAGAGAGUUACCUGAAUUUCGUGGAUUCGUGGCCAGCAAGACCGGAUGUUUCUCUCAGUGCAUCCCUCCACCUCUGAACCAUUUCUGGCUUCUCUUUGAACUGUUGUUCGAGCUUACCAAAGCCGACCCCAAAAAUCCCAGUUUGAUGCCGCACAUCGGACGGACUUACGCCAUAGAAAACCGGAAUAAUGAUUUGGCCGUUUGUGUGCUUGCAUUCAAGAAUCUCGACAAGUUCAUACAGGCACCAUUUUGAAGAAGCGUAGUCCGUUGAGAAAAUGACCACCGAAAUUUUUGAACCUUGGAUUGCGUUCAAAAGGGCAGGUGAAAUCUCAUCUCCGCGCCUAAGCUCUUCAUCAUCAAUAAAUGUUCUGAUUUUCUUUCUUUUAGACAAAGCAUCAUAGAGAUGGCAAGUAAAGAUCGCACGAGUGUCCUCCCCUCUAAAAUUGAGGAAGACUUCAUAAAUGCAAGGAGAAGAAGCCAUGAAGGAAAUAUUAGAAAUUUGGUGACAGAAACAGAGAAUUAAUCUUGAGAGCUGAGAGAGGAGAUGUAAGAAUGAACAUGUGUGAAUAUUCUUGCGAGUACAUAGUAAAUAAUUGAAUGGCUCGAGCUUUCUUAGUUUCCUGGAAAUUUCCUGGAGCUUUCGUAUACAUGAUUUGUCAAGUCAAGAAACAUAGUCAUGAUAAUGGGGCAGACCAGGAAGAAAAGGAAAUUGGAAUUUUGUACAAUUUCUCCAGCGAGGAACUUUCACUGUCAUUACCUCACCGUUACAGUUUGGAUUAGGGUAAUUUUUACCCCGCACCCAAAUGUUUUGACAUACAGCACAACGCACCCAAUUCUUUUGCCCAUGAGCACCGCGCACCCAUUUCCGUUUAUUUUUCAGUUAACUGUAACAGAUCAGGGUAAAAUUGGAAUAACGCAUCAAAAUUUAAAAAUAAAAAAAUAGGUAAACUCGAUGUUUGCGCCAAAAUAAUUUCACAUCACUGUGCUUAUGUUCACUGCGUUUGCGUGUGAGACCAAGAAGCAUGGCCACACCUCCAUUGAUGCCAAAAUCGAGGAGGUGGGUGAAGAAGAAUUGGCGCCAAAAUCAUUCACAUAUGAUGUGCAAGGAAAUUAUUUCAGCCUUUAAAUACUUUUUUAUUACAGCAGCAUCAGCUAUUGCUCUGUUUCGAAGAUCUGCUCAAUUUCUAAGACAAUAGUUGGUUUGAGAGUUUAAGGGAAGUGAAUCCACUGAGCGUGCUAUUGAAGAAGUGGAGGUCAGUUUCAUUUCUUGCUCAAUUGUUUUAAUUUAUUCCAUUUUGUUUGCAUGUCAAUUAUUUACACAUUUUUAGCUGGAUUUUGCUUAUCUAUAAAACUUGAAUCAUUGUUAAUCAAAUCAGCUAUAAUUUACGCCUCAAUGUGGUUUGUAAGUUUAAGUUAUGUUGGAUUAUACCUGAAUAAUGUGGUGUUUGCGUUAUUGAUUUCAAUUUCUAUUGAUGAUUUUGAGUAUACAUAUUAGUGGAUGAAAGUUUUUAAUUAGGAUGAUUGGUCACGCAUAUAUGUCAUAGCAACUGUGUUUUUUUGGGUUAUGGUUGUACUGUAGAUCAGUAGUAGUAGUGAUUUGGAUAUAAACGCUAGUGCUUUUAUUGUAAAUGAUAGUGAUGAAGAUCCAGUGUUACAGAAUUUGAUGUAAAAGUUAUUGGUUUUUGGCUAAAUAUCUUAGAUAAAUAUGAUGCUCAUGCAAUCAAAUCCAAUGCUUAUGCAAUUUACACCAUGUUUAUGAUAAGUAAUUAAAAAAAUAAAUGACUAUUCCAGGUGAAAAUGGAUGAUGAUGAUAUUACAACUGUUCUUUGUACAUUCAAGGGCAAGACAUAUAAUGUUGGUGUAAUUGAUCCAGAUAAGUUUAGUAGAGUUUCUGUAAUUAACAAGGUUUUAGUUAGAGUCUAUGGAAGAAAGAUGAGGCCUGAUGAGAAGUUUACACUAAGUGUUUGGGUACCAUGGGUCUAUAAGGAAGUAGAGAUUAUGUCUGAUCAUGACUUAAUAUUCCAGCUGAGAGAGCAUAAUAAGAUGUUGUUCUACUGCAUGCAAUUGUAUAUUGAAGAAAUCCAUGUACCUCAUGAGUUUGUACCUAGAAGGGCUUUGUUUCAGCACUCAGCAGAAGAAAGCUUACAAGGGUAUGCUGAAACAAACUUUCCAGCCACUACUGACCUGCACAAACCUUAUACACAUGCUACAUCCACCAACACAAAUCCUUAUGAAAAUGACAGUAAUGACCAUUCGAACCAUGAACCCCCUGUCAAGAACUCCAGCAGCAUAAUGAUGCAUAAUGUUGCACUUGAUAGCAUCCAAUCACAGACCAAACCAGAUACCAACCCUGACCUAUAUCAAGACUUUUUGGAUACCUAUUUCAGAUCAUCACCACAACAGAAAACACCAUCAGCUGCCCAAACUAAUGCCGAAAAUAGUGAUAGUGAUAACACAUCUUCAUUUGGUACAAAUAAGACUCCUACUGAGCAGCUUCAACAAAACUUUGCCAUCUCUUCUGAGUUGUCCCCUUUAUUGCAGCAACAUGGACAUCAUGCAUCCCAAAAUGAACCUAUACCUUUUCACCAACCUGAGUUCUCAUCUCAACCAAUAACUCAAAACCCUCAGUCACAAGUUGUACAAGCAGAAAACUUCCAGCAACCAGAAGCCACUACACCAGCACUAGUAGAUUAUAACUCAGAUGAUAGCCAUUAUAGUGUAACUGAUAGUGAGGAAGAUCCAGAUCAUCCAUUAGGUGCUCCAAACAUUAAUAAUACUCCUAGGAAACCUUCUGUUAAUGUUGACUUAGGCUCUAUGCCUUCUGAUGAUAGUGAUGAAGAUUGUAUGCUAUCUGAUUGUGAGAGUGAUGACAAUGAGUUUGGGGAAGAAUCUGAUGAAGAGAUUGAUCAAGUGCUGGUCAGAAUGGAUGCUGUUAUGAGAGAGAACAUGUACAUUCCUAGUGAUACACCUGUUCAAUUCUUUAUUGGGCAGUGUUUUAGGAACUUCAGGCAGCUGGCAUGGGCAAUAAGGACUUAUGCUGUGGAAAACAAGUUCAAGGUUUAUAAGCACAAGUUUGAAAAAUCCAGAGUAACUGUUGGAUGUAAUUAUUUCAGGUGCCCAUGGUUUUUACAUGUUGCAAAAACUAGAUUUGGACAAACCUUUAUUGUUAGGAGGCUUCACAACGUACAUACAUGUCAGAGAGACUUAAAGAAUCCUGAAUGCACUGCAGAGUUCAUUGUUGCCAAGUUUGCUGCAACUAUAAUUGAGCAUCCAGAUACAAAGGUUGGGUGGAUUCAAAGUGAACUUAGAAGGAUGUAUGGAGCUAAGAUACACAAGUAUAAAAUUUAUAGAGCAAAGAAGAAGGUUUUACAGAGACAAUGAGCUGAUUAUGAGUCUAGUUACAUGUUGAUCAGAAAUUAUGCUCAGGCCAUACUUACUAAGAUGCCACAGGCCUUGGCAUUGGUUAAGGUUUUCAGGAUGCAUGGUCAACAACCUCAAACUCACUUUGACAGCACUGUUAUAUCUUUCCAUGCCCUCAGAGAUGGCUUCAACCAAGGUUGUAGACCCUUCAUUGGUAUUGAUGGAUGCCAUUUGAAGGGUCCAUAUAAGGGUGUUCUUUUAUCAGCAGUUGCUAUUGAUGCCAACAAUGGAAUCUUCCCACUUGCAUUUUGUGUAUGUAGUGUCGAGAGUACAACCAGCUGGACAUGGUUUCUAAGCCACUUUAGGGAAUUUUUACAAGAUACAAGACAACUGACCUUUAUGUGUGAUAGGCAGAAAGGAAUUCAGAAUGCUCUUGCCUUAGAGUUUCCUAAUGCACAUGUUAGAUUCUGUGCUAGACACAUCUUAGCAAAUAUUAAGUUAAAACAUCCUCAAUCUGACUUUAAAGCAUAUUUCUGGGCAGCAGCAAGAGCAUCAAACAGAAGGGCAUUUGAUGAUGCUAUGCAAAACAUAAGAGCAGCACAUGAGGGUGUAUAUGAGACUCUUAGGAGGAUACCACCAAAUUUCUGGUCAAGGCAUGCCUUUGACAAUAAUUGCAAGUCUGAUCAUUGCACUAACAACGUAACUGAAUCUUUUAAUGCAUGGAUUGGGAUUCAAAGAAAGUUGCCAAUAAUCUCAAUGCUGGAGUGGAUUAGGAAGAAGCUGAUGAAAAGAAUGAUUGGAAGAAGAAAUAAGGCAGAGUCUUGGGACAGUGAUAUACCAAGAAGAAUUUAUGCACAAAUGAUGAAGAAUUUACAGAUUGGCAGUGCAAACCCUAUCUGUAGAGCUAGUAAAUGGCUUUAUGAAGUGGAUGAAAAUACCAAGACUUAUAUCGUUGAUCUUGAACACCAUAUGUGUGACUGCGGACAAUGGCAAGUUAGUGGGAUUCCAUGUGUACAUGCAAUGCCUUGUAUUGUGAAUAGUCAAAAAGAUCAAGCUCAGUUCAUUAGCCAAUGGUUGAAGAAAGAUACUUACCUAAGGUGUUAUUCUGGAUUGAUUAAACCAAUUCCAGAUAGAACGUCAUGGGUAGAUGCUGGUGGUGAUGAAAUACUGCCCCCUUUAGUGAGAAGACCACCUGGACGACCUAAGAUGACAAGAAGAAGAGAAGCUGAUGAGGUACCAGCACAUAAUAAACGAUACAAGAUGCAAUGCACUAUUUGCAAGGGAUUUGGACACAACAGAAGGGGUUGUCCUGUUAACCCUCAUAAUGCUCACAAGACAACAAGACAAUAUAAGGUGAGUGUGUAUGCUUGUAAGAGAAUAUUCAAUUAUUUUUUGAACCAUGUUCCUCCCAUGUGAUGACAGCUAAUGUGCCUUGUUUGUUUGUGCUUUUUUAUAGAAUAACCUGAAGAAGCACGUGACAAGGACAAAUGGGGAGCAAAGUGAAGGUAUAAGAGUAAUUUACUAAGUUAUAUUACUAUAUUACUUUACAGCUGUAUUAGAUAAUUAUAUAGUUGUGUAUCACCAAACUAUAUUAAAUUAACUUAUUUAUUUAACGUUGCUUUAUUGGUAAUUUAUAAGGCCAAGUUCACGGAAUUACCUCAACUAUUUUGGAAAGCCAAGACAAUGACAUGGUCCAAGUAACUGUCUCAGGCCAAAACAUAACAAAGAACCAGCAGACUGCAUCUAACAAACGCAAGAUUGGCAAUCAAGCAGGGCCAUCAAAAGCAAAUGAAGUCAUUGGCAAGAGCAUGAAUGGGGUCAUAUCUGUAGCUCCAUGGGUAGGUGAACAGGGAAGAAAAGUAAUGUCAGCCGCUGGAUUAACCUUCAGCAAAGAGGAUGAAGUCGGCAACUAUACUGAAAUGAAGCAUUUGGACAAAGGGAAGGCACCAGCCUUCCCUUCGUAAAGGGUAAAACCAUAGUUUUCUAUUGAUAUAAAUUAAUAUUGGUUUUGGAAAUGAUAUUUAUAAUUUGUAACUUGUUUUGUAGUGAUUCUUUGGCUAUGAUGGAGACAUUGGCAGCAAACUUAUUAACAAACAGUGGAGGCAACAUUAUCAUUUUUUGACACCUUCCACAAUGCCACAUCAACCCACCAGGCACAAGGUUAAGGUUAUCUGGAUGCUGAUUUCAUUAGGAUCAAGUGGCCAAGUAAUGACCAGGCAUGUCAUUGUUUUCUUUUUCUUUUUUAUUUUGGAGCUGAAAUUGGUGGAAGUUGUUGGACAUUAAGCUUAAGCAUUAUAGAGCUGGAAGCUGUGAUGACCUACUAUAAGUAUGAUUGGAAGGGUUUAUGGCAUUUUGAAAGUUUUUGGGAUUAAGAUACAUAUAGGACUGAUAUCAACCAAACCAACACUUUUUUUUUUUGUUUUUUGGUCACAUGUAUGUAAACACCAGAUUGGAUGUGACUAACAUUGUAAGUUGCUGCCAAUAUGCAUUUAUAGAUAAAAUAACUUAUUGCUAUUAUUGAUAUCAUAUUUGAUUAAAUGGUAUAUGUCAAGAAACGAAUGCAUUUUAUUGAUCAUAAGAUUUCAUUUUACACAUUGUUCUAGCAUUCCUUACAGUACAAUACAAGCAAUACAAGUAUAGUUAUCACUAUAAUCGUGAUUUGAUACUUCUUAUUUUUAUGAAGUAAACCUUCAAUAUUGAUGAACCUGUUGUGGAAGUCCUCAAUGUUAAAUUGUUGAAUCUCACUUGCCCUGUCUGCAGCUUCUUCUUCAAACCUUUGUAACGCUGCUUCAAUUUCUAUAGCCUCACCUGUAGAUGGUUUCCACCAUCUAAAGAAACCACAAGAUGGGUCAUUAGGGCAUGUGUAAUAUAGUUUGUUGGGGUUUGUUUUUGAUUCUGACACUUUGAUUUCUGCCCUUCUUCGACAGUAGCAUACUGUGUUAUAGAACUUGAUGAUGCCCCCAUUGAUUUUAGGUAAAUCCCUUCUUCUGUUAUAAGUUGAUGAACUUGAUGCAUUCCUUGAAGUGGACAUUUUCUUCAAAUUUCCAAUGUCGUGUCUGUUAUAUUCUUUUUGAAAUACAGCACAACGUAUCUGAACUUCAAGUUGUUGUGCUUGUUUUGUGUGUGAAUGAAGCUGCUGUUGAAGUUGUAUUGUUUCGGUGGGUAAAACCAAAUGUUGUACUACUGUAAGUUGUUGCUGAGUAAAAAAAAUGGUGGAGUUUCCAGGUGAGUCAAUGAAAAUCACUGAGGUGUGAAGAGGGUAGGAAUUUAUAUGUGUUAAACAUCACAGCUUGUGGUGAUGCAUCAGCUCAAAUUUAUCAAUUUCUUUUACUGUUCUUGUAACCAUAUAGCCGUUAUUACUGUUGCUCAGAUUUUAUAGCCGUUGGAUUUUUGAUGCGCAUGGUAAUAAACCAAUAUGCUAAGGGCAAUAUAGUCAAUAUAAUUUAACAGUUAUAGUUGGUCUUCGUGUGUAAAUACACCUUUAAAUAAUGGCCAGUGGUAAAUUCCUUAGUUCAAUGACUCACCUGGAUGCAUUUGAAUUCAACGCAAGGGUAUAUUUGUCAUUUAAUCAAAAUAUAGACUGAUCCGUUACAAUUAACUAAAAAAUAAACAGAAAUGGGUGCGCGGUGCUCAUAGGCAAAAGAAUUGGGUGCGUUGUGCUGUAUGUCAAAACAUUUGGGUGCGGGGUAAAAAUUACCCUUUGGAUUAUGAUUUGAGGGUGCAAGUAUUUACCUAGAGUUUACCUCCGCACUAAAUUCUUAAGUUUUGAAAAUUAUGAGACCUUUAUAUUGGGAGAUAUUGUAAUCGAAUCAAAACUUAAAUUUUUUAUAAUGUUAAUAUUUAAUCUUUUAAAAAACAAUAACCUCGCCGUUACAGUUUGGAUUAAGAUUUGAGUAAGUAUUUACCUAAAUUUUACCUCCGUCUGUAAAUUCUUAAGUUUUGAAAAUUAUGAGACCUUUAUAAUCGAAUCAAAAUUUUGAAUUUCAAUAUUAUUAUUCUUUAAAAAAAAUUUUGAGAUAACAGAGUGAUUGAUAAUAUAGGAGAACUUGUCUAGGCAAGCACAUGUAUACACAGAAACGUGAUGGAUUCAAAAAGAAAUUAAAGUGAUAAUGCGAAAUCGCUUGGUGGCCCAGUAAAAUUACGACUGAAUUUUUUUUUUUUUUUUUACAAAAUUCAAGCUCAUAAAUGACAAAUUUCAUUUCCCUUUCACACGUCAUUAACUUUUGUAACAUGGUGUGUGCAUCGUCAAGUGAGGCAAAAGGGUUUCAAUUACAGUUGGAAAACAUGAACAAGAAUGCAUAAUGAAUAAUUCCUUCGAUAAACCGAAAAUUAAGCACAGAAUAAUCCUAAAAUUUAAACUCUAAUAUCUUAUAAUGUAUUGAUUAAAAAUAAUCCUAAGAGCUCCCAAUUGAAACUUUCAUAAGUAUUUUAAUUGUUUUGGAUAAACAAAUUGCACUAGGAUAAAAAUUUGGCAAAUUCAGAGGAUAAUGGAAAAUAGUUAUGCUUCAAUAGGCCAAAGAUUAGAGAACAAAUAAGAAUUAUUUAUUGAUAUACAAAAGAGAAACACUCCAAAAUUUCAAGCAAAAAUAGUUUCAUAUAUCAUUUCGAUUUUGAAAGGGAUGAGAUUUUGAACUUCAAUAGUUUCCUCUAAAAUUAAAAGGUAGCAAUUAAGCUAAAAAGAGCAAUGAAGACUUAUUGGUACCUUAUUAAAGGUAAACAUUAUGGAACUUUCAAUGUCAUUAUCUCACUGUUCAAUUUUUAUUGAGAUUUGUGUAAGCAUUUACCUAAAUCUUACCUCCGCCUUUAAAUUCAUAAGUUUUGAUUAAUUAUGAGACCUUAUAUUGGGAGAUAUUAUAAUCAAACUAAAACUUAAAAUUUCAAUAUCAUUAUUCUUUAAAAAGAAAUUGAGAUAUCAGAGUAAUAUCACAUAGAAAAACUUGCCCACGGACGGUAAGCCAAAAGUCUAGUCAACCACACGCAUAAAGCUAACUAGAACAAGAGAACAGAGAAACGCGUGGGUCCCUAAAAGAAAAGGCAAGCACAUAAAUAACUUUCAAAAUGCCCAAGCAAAUACCGAUGAAAAUCACUGUUUAAGAAUAAUUUAUUAUGUGGUUGAAGCUUUCUUUUUAUCAAUCUUCUUUCUACCCAUUAAUUUUCCCACGACUUUCCCGUUUCAUUUCUUGAAUCUCCAUGGAUUAACUUUCAAUAAACCAUAAAAUAAACUAAGGAAUCAUUUUCUCGAAUACAGCUAUGAUUUUAAUAAAUGGGCGGACCAUCUAGAAUAGUAUAUAUAAUUCUGUUUAAUUAAUAAGUUGAAAAAACCAUCAAGAGAAAUUCUAAUAUUAUGAGCUUGACACGAAUUCUUCACUAAUUCCAAAACAAGGAGCUGUUUUAUAAGAACUGUGGUUGGAUUAUUAAGUUUUACAAUUUGAAUAUAAAUAAGAAAAUAAAAUCAGUCGCGUUGAUGUUUUCGAUACAUUUCGCUGCUAACUUUUUUUUUUUUUUUAUUACAUGAGACUAUUGCUCAAAUUACAACUCAUAUUACAUGAGAAUAUAACUGAUAUUUACAAAUCAGACUAUAACUGGGACCAAUAUACAUCAAUACUAAUGGAGCGCUGCCCAGAUUUUAACCCUCUCAAAUAUUCAAGGGAUGUCUACACCUCACACUUGGGUAAGGAAACAGACUGUCUUCACUUAAAUUUACUUGAGGAAUGAAGACCCCCACAAUACAUUGUGGGGGUUCACCACUCGACCAAAGGCCGAGUGGCUCAUUUCGCUGCUAACUUAAUUAAUUACUUUACUUCAACUUUAUUUCCUUAGGGGCACUUUAUGGUGGGUCCAAGAUGGGACCUACAAUAAUCAAUCCUAAAAUUUAGUAUGGUUACCAAAUAGCUAGUAGCUAGUGUUAUUUUGUGUUUGGUGGAAGAGAUUGAAUAUUUAGUUUUAACUUAACCAUUCAACUAAUUAGAAAAUAAAUAAAAUUAAAUGAAAUGUUUAGAUAUCAAUUUAAAUAUUAAUAUCGGGGAUAUAAAUUAGUUAUAAUAUAGUUCAUUACAUAAAAUUGAUUAAAUUAAUAAUUACCCGUGAACAUAGAUGUAUAUGCUUUCCAAUUUCCAAAGUGCUCAAAGCACUUUUCUCACCAAACUUUCCUCUGAAUUUCCCGUAGCUGACUCCUUUGUUUGCGUUUUGUGAAAUUUCUAGGAACUUUUUUCGAUUUAGAAUAUUGUACAUUUUUCUUUUCAGCUGAGAUUAAUUUAACUUAUAGAAAAUCUUAUCCUUUUUUAAUAUUAUUUAAAUAAAAUUUGUCUAUCUUUUAUUUUAUUAGUCUACUUUUUACCCAUUAAUUAAGACUUUUCAAUUUCUUUUUUACCUGAGGUUUUCAGUGACUAUCUUUCAAUAAACCAUAAAAAUUACUUAGUCAUUUAUCGAACAAUUAGAUGACCAUAUUUCAAAAUAUCAACUAGAAGUUGUCCUGAAAUAUUUAAUUAAUAGUUGAAGAAUUGUGAUUAGUGUGGGCAUCUACAUAAAAAUUAUAUUAAAACACCGCUAAAAGAUAAAAAUAAAAUAAAAUAGUACAAACAUACACCCAUAGGUUAAAACAAAGAAAAAACACGAACCAAUACACUAAAAUGUUUUAGCUGUAGUUAGUUUUCAGUUUCAUUACUUAAGUCCCACGUGCAUGUCACGUGACUGAGGUCAAAAAAUGAUUGUCACAUUAAAGUUCAAAAUACGGAGCAGGGUAAUUAAGGAGUGGAGCUAUUGGCACCCCUCCAUUAUUCUUACAAAACUCCACUUUAAAUCAAAAUAUAAUUAAGAAUAAUUGAAAAUUAAACACUUAUAGAUUUCUUUACAACAUGUUGAGUGAUAAAAAAGCACCAGUCGGGCAUGUCCCCAUUUCUUACCCGGUGCCGAAUCUCCACGGUCGAAUGGUAUGAGUAGACUCUUGGUGAUGUCUUCUAUGUGGAGCACGUAACAACAGACCAGGAACUAGUACCAACCAAAAACGAGUACUGAUCGAAACAAGCAUGACCAGAAACGCAUACCGACCAGAGACUUGUGGGUCCGUAAAAGAAAAGGCAAGCACACAAAUGAAAAAGCCAUUACAUUUCUAUUUUACAUGUCAUUCCUAAUUUUUGUAACACGAUGUGGCAGCAUAUGCACAAUCAAAUGAGGCAAAAGGGAUUCGACUAUCGUGGCAGAACAUGGACGAGGACGCGUGAUGAAUAAUUCCUUCGAUAAAACGAAAAACAAACGCAGAGAAAAGAAUUUCUUAUAUGACAAGAAAUUAAAGUAAUGUGACGGAACAUGAUGAAGAAAUUGCAGAUCGAUCAAUUAUCCCCAUGGACUCCUAUAAAUUCAACCAAAAUAACAAUUCCAAUAUUACCAAAUUCUUGAGUUAAAUUUAUUCAAUGCUUUUUUUUAAGAGAAAUUUUUUCCAAUGCUACUUUCCCUUUUUUGGGGAAAUUAGAACUGCGGCAUGUAUAGAAGACAUUGAGGUAUAAAGCAACAUUAAUUUCAUGGGUUAUGCGUUAUACGCAUAAUAUAUUUUCAGUCCAAAUUCAACUAUGCAAAGAGGCUUGAGAACUUAAAAUUAAGCACAAACUAAACAGACGAAGUAAAUACAUGAUUAUGCAACAUAACAUUAAUUCUCUUAAUUUAUAACCGUUUUGCCACAUGAAUCUUGCACAGUUAAUCCUAAUUGAAGACUAAAAAAGAACAAUUGGAACAAGGUUUUGAAAUAGAAUGAUAGACAAUCGAUAUGAUCCAUUUCCAGUCGUCAACGCUAAUUAACUGCAGUUUCUAGACUCCUAAUUAUACUAGCCAUAAGAAACUGUUUAGAAAACUGGUGAUCAGAUUAGAUUUUGAAAUGAAAUAAUGUUCAUUUUCCCUUCGUUACCCUUUUAUUUAUUUAUUAUUUUUAUACCAAAGAAUUCUAUCAUGAAACGAAUCAAUUUAAUCACCUUUUCCAGCAGCACAAUUUUUCUUUUAUAAAAUUUGACCACAGAGACAAAGAAGAAUUAUUCAUACCUUCAUCAGUAAGGAAAUACUUUUCGGUAUGGCUAGGGUGAGAAAAGGCUUUCCACAAACACUUGUACUUUGUAUUCCUGUAAAUUUUCUUUAAAGUCAAUAAAAAUCAUAAGUUCUUUACAAUAACCAUCUCUUUGAUAAAAAAAGUGCCGUAUUCCUUUAGAAUUUAAAACCGGCAAAAUCGAAUCAGUGUCUUUGAAGAGACAUAAUGGUCAUAAUUCUUUAAAGAGUUGGCUAUGGAAAUCCUUAUCCAAGAUUCUUUUACGCCAUAUUCUUUCGUAAACCAAAAUUCAUUUUGGAAUACUCUGUUGAGAAUGUCAAAUAAAACGGUAUUGAAGGAAGUUUUCAAAGGCAGAAUCCGCACUUGUCAAAGGGAUGAUCUGCAUUUGUCAGAGACACAAUCUGCGUCGAAUGAAUCGACACAUUUCCUUUUGUAUUCGCAUAUGUAAUUUUUGAAAAAAUGUAGCUUCUGCAUCUAUAAAUAACGCUCAGUGUAUAAUGUUUUAUUCAAAAAAAGAAAACAAGUUUCUUCAUACUCGUCGUCCGAACAUACAGAGACCGUCUCUCAUAACUUCAGCCGAAUACUUAUGAUGAUGAUCAUUUGUGAUUUCAUCAGGCAUAGGGUUGAUGGUGAAAAAUUUUGUAUGUGUGAAGAAUUGAGCUGUGGAUAUAGGGGACUUAAGUGUAAUCGAAAGAGAGUUAUUAGGCCAUAGUGUAGAUUGCAUUCAGUUUAUGAGUCGAUAUGCAAAUAAUUUGUUGACGUGGCGAAAUUUGUUAUGGUCGUUACUAUUGUUUCUGGAAAUUUUCUAGAAACCUCAGCAUAAAAGGGGCUUUUGGAUAGCCUCUGGUGUGCGUGUGAUUUCUCUUUCGUUUCCUCAUCAAAUUCUGUAAUUCUUGCUUUGAUAAAAAGCUUGUAAUCUCUUCUGUAAUUGUGAUCAGUGCGUAAUCAUUUUGAGCGAUAAAAGCUUGUAGGUUUUUCCUUCAAACAAUGUCGUUUUGGUCAGUUUGUUAGUUUGAUCUGUUGGUGGAAUUUUCUUUGGUUAUUUGUUCUCAAAUUUCAACCUUAUAUAAAGUUUGAACUCUAAUGGCUUAUAAUGUAUUGAUUAAGAAUAAUCCUAAGAGUUUCCGAUUGAAAUUUUUAAUGACUAUUUUUAUUGUUUUGGAUGCACAAAUUGCAUUAAGAAAAAAUAUUGUCAAAUUCAGAGGAUAACGGGAAAUAAUUAUGCUUCAAAAGGCCAGAGAUUAGAGAAUAAAGAAGCAUUCAUUACUGAUAUAAAAACUGCUUCUAUUUGGAUUUUGAAAGGGGUGAAGUUUUGAACUUCAGUUGUUCCUCUAAAAUCAAAAGCAAUAAUUAAGCAUUCUCAAUUAGAAAGAGCAAAGAAGACUUAUUGGUACCUUACUGAAGCUAACAUUAUGGCACGGUUGUUCAUAUGUAAUGGCUGCUCUGUUAUGCUAGCUUCUCUGUUUUUGCUUCUAUUUUUGCUUACAGUUUUGAAGAUAAAUUCUUGCUCAAAUAACACAUAAUUAAAUAACACUAAUAUGGCUCAUGAAAUCCUAUAAUAGCUAAUUACGCAACUUUCUCCUCCUCCUCAAUUCUGUCUUCCCCUGCUCGGACACUAACUUCAAAAUUCAAUGCCCCGAAAAACAACACAAGAAAUCUUUGAGUUAGUUCGUGACCAGUUUAUAUAUAGUAGCAAUUGAAAAAAGAAAAAGAAGAAAAGAGUUAAUUAUUUUUCAGACCUUCACUUAUUAGGAAGUUUGUUCUGCUAUUGGGUGAGAUCAAGCUCUCAGCAUAUACUUCCACAUGAUACUUUCUAACAUUUUCUUGAAAGCCAUCAAUCAUUAAAUCUUCAUACUUUUUUCCAUCCUUUGGAUCAAUAAGUACAAAUUUCUCAUCUAAAAAAGACAAAAUAAAAUCACUGUCCUUCAUGGAAUCAGAAUUGAGCUUACAAAAACCGAAGUGGACAGUUCCAUUCAGAUUGGUCGCCCGAGAACAAUGAUGAGAAGACUUAAAAUCAGUUUCAAAGGUUUUCCAAGUAUUGUUCCUCUAAACCACUUGUAUAUUUUACCAGAACUCUUGGUUAAGAAAAUCCUAGUCCAUGGAGUAUGAUAUAUCAAUCAUGCAACAAUGACCUACAACAUCUAUGUGGAUUGAUUUUUGCAAAAUAAAGAACAAUGCUGACUGAGGAAUAAGGUGCAUACCCGAUUAGCAAUAUCUCAGCAAGUAACCAACAAUUUUUUAUCUGAUAAGAAAAAAUUACAAUUUCUUGAAUAUACAUGAAACAUUUUGCAGAAAGAACCAUGUCAUAAUUAUUAGUCCAACUGAAGAAUUAUCAAUACUUAUCACAUGAAACGAAAGAUACCCGAGUUCACUUAAUGAAAUUCUCUUUUUUUUUUCUCUAACAUUGAGAUAAGCAAAAACUUUUAACUAAAGACAAUCAUCUAGUGAUCUCAAACAAAUGAGGUUAGUAUGAAACCAUCAUAAUUUGUUCGCUCAUUGCCUAAUUUUAUUAAUGCAAGAGCCUGGAAGCAACUCAAAAAGAAAAUAACCGACAUAGGAAGUGUCAUCUCAUAUCUCACCAAUGAAUGGGAACAGCUUGAUGUGGCUGAGCAAACUGGCAGAAUUGUCAUUUUAACACACGUUCAAGAAACUCAGCAAAUUCUCAUAUCUGUUUAAAUUCCACAGCAAAGAUAGUUACAAGAAAUCUAAUCAAAAUUUAAAAUGUCAGAAGGCAAAUCUUCCAAUUAGGAUCAAAAGAAGAUAAUUAUAAUUUGUCAUUUCAAUUCUGAAUGUACAAUUUUAUUUUUUUAUGUGUGCAUUAAUUAAGAUUCUACCUUCUCUGCAAAAUUGUGAUGGACUUGGUAAAUAAUGAAUUGUAUCGACUUGAAUUUUAUACAACUUAUUGAGAUAAUAAUACGCCAAAUUCAACACCGUCCAUCCCAAAUCACAACAAGAAACUCAAACUUUUAUCCCCUCAAGUGGGUUCUUGAAACUGAAGCUUUAGUGCCAGUACAAUUUUGAAAGAUUGUGAUCAAACUAAAACAUCAAAUAAAAUAAGACGUAACAAAAACACGUCUUCAGAAAAUUAGUAUAGGAAUAAGAUAAGCUACACAGACCUACUUCAAUGAAUUAGAAAAAUUAUGAUAAACUUGAUGCAUUUCGAAAAACAACAAACAAAUAUUCCCAGGAAAACAAAAAAAAGACAACUUUGUUUAAGCUUAGACAAAAAUAACUAAGGACAUAUGAAUGCAUCAUAAUAGUAUCUCUAUGGGUAAUUUUCAGAAAUCUCCCCUAAGGUAUGGUGUAUUCUUAGUUUGAUAGAAAAUAUCUAAGUAUUCUUAUAGACCUCCCCUACUGUUAGUAUUCCAUUUCGUAUAUGUUAGGUAGAUGAGGGUAAGAUCGUAAUUUGAAUAAGUUAAUGAUAAAAAAUCCAGAAAUUUUAAGAUUUUCACAUUGGCCUCUGGGCUUUAUUCAUCUCUUUCAUCCACCAAAACCAGAAAUACAACUCACCUCUCUCCUCCACCUAAAUCGAAGCAAGGUAGCUCAAAACUCAUUUCAAAAAAUUGAUCAAUUACUUGGGUCACAAACUAGAGACAAUGACGACGAAGUUGAUGACGCCAAUAUCGACGACGAAGCUGAUGACGCCAAUAUCGACGACGAAUGAUUCGCAACUGCCAGGUAAGAGAGUAUAGUAGGUUUCGCCAUCGAACGCCCAAUCAUCCAGUUGUUUUGGAGCCGCGUUAUUUUUAUUAGCUAAAAUUAGAAUUUUUAGUGAAAAAUUGAAAGUGGGUCUCAAAAUUUUUUGAGAGCGUAUAUGUUUCUCCUGAUUUUUCGAUCGAUUCGUGUUAGUUGCAGUUAAAUGAUUAAUCCAAUUCGUGUUGAAGAUAGAGCUAACUCGAAUAUCUCUAUAGUCCUGUAAUUGAUUGAAAAUGGGUCUUGAAAAUUGUUUUAGAUUUCAGCUGUGUGCUUCUGAUUUUUUCCAUGGAUUCAUGAUAGAUGAAAAUGGUUGAUGAAGAUUUGCUUGACAUGUAUAUAGAUGGUAUUUUGUUAAAGGGGUUUUAAUUUUUUCCUUUUUUGGUGGUUUCGAUUGUGGUAUUUACAUGCCUUAGGUUGAGAAAAACGAAAAUGGUUUGUUGCACUCUUUUGUGUUGGAUCAGUGAGUUUAGGCGAUUUGAAAUGGUUUGCGGCAUUCAAUUGAUUGUUUUAUUUAUGUGGUUUGAUAUGGGAAAAGUAUAAUAAAAUUCAAUUGUUCCAUAUGUCAAUUUGGAUGUUUUGAAAUUAUGAACUACAAAAAGUUAAAAUUAAUUUCUUAUUAUAUUUUCAAUUGAAAGUUACUAUUGUCUUCUUUUUAGUACUUAGUAUGCAUUUUUCCCCAUCUUCUAGUGGUGGUGUUGCACCCAUUUUGAAUUUGAUCGGCAUCUUCUUCUGUACAUGCAUGUUUCUUGGACUCCAAUUUUUGUUUCAUAUGAUGAAGCUAAUUUAAUUCCUCCUUUUUAAUAUCAACUUUGUUCAUCUAGGUUUGCGAUUUUGAUCUUUCUCAUUUGAAGGCAAACACAUUUAUGUCAUCAAAAUUUCCAAUAUUUUUUAUUUUAUAGUAUCCAAACUGCUUAUGGCAAUAUGAAAUUGAGAAUAUUUCUUUCAUCAUGUUAACCUAAGUGGAUGGUGGAUGAUGUUUGUGUAAGAGAUUUAAGUUAUUUGUAUUAUAGAAUAUGUCUUAUGUUUUGAUUUGCAAUUUCACCAUUAAAUUGGCUUUGUAAAUGAUUAGAAGCUAAAUGCAUAAAAUGAAAACAAUAGUAACAUUUCUGAGUGGGGUAUAAUCAGAUGCUAACAUGGCGAUCCAUGACUUGUAAUUUCUAUUGUCGUUAUAAUUGGACUAGAUCGAGGUAAACUGACUUUUCUUGUUCUGUUUUUUUUUUCAUUUCUUUGUUCUAGAUUUUUCUUUCUUUGUUUUACUUCUGGUUUCUUCUUCAGCAUAUUCAAUAACUAGCAUGAGCAAAUGGAGAGGAAAAGGGUAGAAUAUGCUUUUAAAAAAAAAGAAAAGAAAAAAAGAGAUAGCUCUAAUUCAAAAAUAAGGAGGAGAAAAGGGCAAUGAUUGAAGUUGUGGAGAAGAAAUUCUUAAUGCAUAGGAGAUGACAACAAAGUGUUGCAACUGGGAGCAGUUUUAAAGUGCUAUUCGAUUGCUUUUGUAAUCAAAUUGUCUUUUGUACCUAUUUAUACACACACAUAUUUGUAUUUGUAAUUUGAAUUUUACAUUUUCUCAAGACAACUAUGUUUAUUUUAAAAAAAAUCUAAAUGUAACUAAAAUAUUAAAGUUUUUGUACUUAUUACUCCAUUUGAUGAUUUUUUUUAUUUUUUUGCUGACGAAUAUUCCAUGUCAAUUUUUUUCCCUUCAGCUCGUUUAAGGUGUUUUAUUGUCUGAUGUGAUAUUUGGUGCUCGGGAGGAAGGGUGUUUUAAGUCUUUUUUGGUGUCAGGGGCAAUUUUGUCUUUACAUCAGUCAACAAAUAGUCAAUGGAUGGAAAUGCAAACAGCAGGGGAGGUGUCUGAUAAUACACGGAUACUUUCUAUCAAACUUAUAAUACACAAAAUCUCAGGGGAGGUUUUUGAAAAUUACCCAACUGUGCAAAAUUAUGAAAAAAAUGAGCUAAACAUAUAUAGCAUUUCAGAGGAGUGCUUACUUGACAAAUCACUAAUACAAAGCUGCGAAUGGGCAUUCGGAAUGUUUUGAGAGACUCGUAUGGAUAAAAUAUGUAGUUAUUUAAGUAAUGACAGAAGGAGAAUCGUGUGGCUUGUCAAAGCCGUUAGCUCCAUCUCAUUUGCCUCGUCCUCUCGUUUUGUUUCUGUGGGGACAUAUUUGAUAUUUUGGAUUUUGUCUAAAAUUCGUCAUGUUUUUGGAUACUAACAUCUGCGCCUCUAGACCAAUAGCCAUUUGAUUAAGUGGGAGAACCCUUACACUAGUGUAAGAAUUUGAACUUUUAUAAAAUUAUUUAUGAGAUUAUUUAUAAUUUUUUUUAAUUAUCAAAUAAUUGAGUAGAGUCAGUUUAAUCCUUACGAAAUAUUUACUAUUCAUAAAUAUCUUUUUUUUUCUCUAUCUUACAAUUGAAUAUUCUCUCUCUACUCCAACAUUAUGUAACCUAAAUAUUUAAUUUCACUCUUUUUUAAUUUAUUUUUUUGUCUUUUCUUAGUAUAUUAUAAUCUUUAUUUCAUGUUUUCUAUAUAUAAGAAUUUUUUUAUAUCUAUUAAAUUUUGUGUUUAGUGAAAAUUAAUUUCUUGAUAUUUUUAAUUUUUAUAAUUGAUAAAAAUAUAUCAAUGUUCAUUUUUAAAUGAUGGGUUUUGUUCAUUUUAGUUUGUUAUAUUAAUUUUUUGUAGGUAAAAGAAUAUAUUUGAAUGAAUUGAAGGAAAAUUGUGAAAUUGAGAAGAGAAAGAGAAGAAAAAGUUAAUUAAAUAAUUUUUUCAAAAAUUAUUUAAAUAAUAAAAUUCUUAAUUAAAAACAAAGAUGGAGAGAGAAAUUUAGUGGGUUCAAAAUACUUAUUUUAAAUCCAAAAAAGAACCAAUAAAAGAAAUCAAAAGAUGAUUCUUUUCUUUCUGACAUAUUUCUCUGUACUUUUCUCUCUCUACUGAUUCACAAUUUUUCAUACUUCUAACUAUCAUUUUAUUCAAGUAUUUUGUAUUUUUAAUGACAAUUAUUUAAUUUUUAGUUAGUUUUGAUAUUGAUUAGAGAUUUAAAGUGUAUUUUAGAAGACUUCCGGUCUCUUGAAAAAAGGAAAAAUGGAGAAGAAGAAGUGUUCUUGAUUUUUUGUAGGCGUUAAAGUUAAAUGGUUUGAAAUGAUAUUCUUUUUUAAUUUCACUCAUUAAUCUCAUUCAAGAUAAAAUUAUAAAUGCAAAUAAAUGGGGUUUCAUAAGUAUUUUUAAUAGUGUUAAAAGGUCUACUCACUAAAUAAACAUGUUUAACCCAAACCAAUGCGAUUAGUAAGUUAUUGGGUUGGGUUAAUCAGGUUAAAAAUCAAAAUUAAAAAUUAAAUAAAUAAAAAAGGUAUAAAAACUAUCUGUUACUUGAAAAUAAAAAGAAUUUCUAAUUGUUAGUUCUAAUGUCCCAUAUCCAAAACAUGCAUAUUAAAUAAAUAUUAUAAGUUAGAAAUACAAUAUCCAAGAAAGAAUGAAUGAAAUACCAUAUUUUUGUUGAGAAUUAAGAGUGUGAUUUUAAUUUUGAUAUUGGAGUCUAAAGUGCCACGUUUAAAUAUUCUCUUUUAUAAAAUAAUAAAAAGAGGUUAAAAAUUAGGUUAGCAAUUUAGCCAUUUAGGGUUUAGCAAUUAAGGAUGAACAUAUUAUUGUUGUUGUUGUUAUUAUUAUUAUUAUUUAUAUGUUUACUAAUCCAAUCCAAUCCAAUUAUUAACGAAUUUGAAAAAAUUGAUUCAAUCAAGCCAUAAUAAUUCAUUCAACUCGUCUAAAUUGGAUUAGGUUGAAUUUGGUUUGCCACCCUUGUUUUGAGCAACAAACCUCAAUGUGAUUCCAUGAGCUCUUUGAUUGUUUAUAAAAUUGUUUAUGAAAGUGCAAAAUAAAUUAUUGUAUACAUUAAAAUGUGCAAAACAAUGAAUUAUAUGUACGAACGAGUGCAAACACAUUUUUCAAUAAGAAGUUAAAAGAUAUUUAUGCAUGAAAAAGCCUACGUUUGUAGUUAUUCUAAAUUUUAAAAACAAAAUUUACAUUUAGAUCCCUAAAAUUUACGUAUAAGUACAAAAGUUUCAAAUAUUGUCUAUUAUUUUUUUAACAUGCCUAUUCCUUGUGGAUAAUUCUAUCUCAUCACUAAUGUUGUUUCUUGCUUACAAUUUGUAUAGUGUCUCAAAAUAGACAAUAGGGGGAUUUUGAAUUUUUUAAGUCUCAAUAUAGUCUCUAAUCUUGUGAGAAAGAUUUUCUUUCAAUAAUUUGGAGGUAAACAUAACAUAACUUUUUGGACUAAAGCCUAACUCUGCUGGUUAUGGUGGUAUCCUUUUCAAGACCUGCGUCUUUAGAUUCGAGUUUUAUAGUGUGCAUGCGUAUUUAAUUAAUAAUUUUUUAAAACAAUACAUCAAAUAUUAAUAUCCAUGACAUAAUUUAGUUCUUAAUUUUUUUUUUAAAUACAUCAAAAACAUAAUUUUUUUAACAACUUAUAGGCAUGACAAAUUUCAAGAUAUAAAUAUCAGUCAAAAUAAGUGAAAGAAAUAAUGGUGCCAAUUCUAAUUUCUUAACUAAAUUAAUUAGUGCAUGAGCCCCGAAUACGACACGAGAGUUUGAUGGGCUAACAUGGCACAAGAACCUGAAUAAAUAAUUGAUUUAAGAAAUAAUUCAAUGAAAAAUAUAAUUGAUAAGAAUUCAGUAUUGAAAUGAGUUUUUUAUGAAACACUGAAUUAAUGAUUAUUAAGCAAGAACAAUAAAAAAUAAAUAUUAAUCAUUGAUAAGUUUCAACAAAAGCUUAACACAAUCCUCAAUCCUAAUUCAAAUUAUAAAUGUCAUUCAUAUAUUCAUUAUAAUCAACAACAAAGGUUAUAAAUGUUUAGAAAUUCUAGAGGGAAGGAAGCUAUCGCUGGGCAAUCAACAACUAAAUUUGAUGUAAUUGUGGCACGAGAUGGAAUAUGGAAACUACACCAUAAUUUCAAAUGCCGCCAUAGACAUUGACUUAUCUACAAUAACAAUGAUCUAAUUAAAAUAAAAAUAGAGUUUAUGGGCAUUUAUUAAAAUAAAAAUAGGAGUGAAGUAAAAACAUUUAGAUUUUAAUGUAUGUACGGAAAAAUUUAUCUUUAAAAAUACUUUCUUAAUGUGUGUGUGCAUAUUGAAAUACUCAAACCAAUUUUGGUUAUAUAUAAUUCAACAAAAUUUAAAAUAUGAAAAAUAUAAUGUAGUUAUAGUGGAUAAGCAAUAAGUGAGCACAAUAUAAUUAAUCAAAUACUAUGCUAUCAAAAGUUAAUUUUAGAAAUUCCAAAUCCAAUAGCUAACACAAUUCUUUAAAGAAAUAACAAGGGGCAUUGGGCAAGAGUAAUGAAUGCUUAGUGGGUGCAUUUGAUUGAUAGAUAUAUAAAGGGCCGAAACUUGAUAUUAUAUUACUUUUACAAAAUUUAAUCCAAUCACAUAUUUAAUGAAAACAAAAUGAGUUAGGAUUGUUUAUUUAGAACCCACAUUUUAAUAAGGCUUCAUUUGAUGUAGUUUUUCAAACAUUGAUUAUUUGAGUAAUUACAAAGUACAAUACGUACCAAGUUUGGUAACUUAAUUGACAUCUUCUCAUAUAACCUUCGAUCAAGUCGAUUCUGACCUGACGACUAAUUGGUACAUCACCGUUGUUCUCUAUACUCGCAUGCAUCCGAUCACAAAUCUCACUCCAAUUGUCGUCUUUCUUCGGCGUUUUAGCGCAUCCUUCUUGAAUUUCCCGCAUUUCGUUCCCUCCUGUUACAAGUCUCCGGUCAGGUCAGUUCACUUGACGAUUAAUUCGGCAAAUCUCGAAUCUCUUCUCUAUCCCUCUCGUUUUCUCGUGUCUCCUUUCAGUUUAAGUGAUUGAAUCAAUUUUAUCGCAGUCUUAAGAGAAAUUAAGUAAUGCUCUUGGAUUUAAAAUUUUUUUGCUUUCGACUUUAGAUCUCGAAAGUCAAACUCUGCUACGAAUCCAUAGAUUCUCAAUGUUUAUAAUCUUAUUUGUGUUUGACCAGGUAACUGGAUCGUGAAAUUCGUCGUUUUGUAUCAAUUCAAGCUUUCGCGAGCUCAUGGAAUCCCCUGGUGAGUUGUGGUGAAACGUUAUCGUUUCAAUUUUCGCUUAAUUCUUUAUUGCAUAUUUUUUUCUCUCUAAUAUUUCAGUUUAAUUUAGAAAAGAAAGAGGACCCAAAAAGAGAGAGAGAGAGAGAGAGACUCUACCAUACUCAAUUCCUUGCUCAUUCUGAUUUGGCCUGAAUGUUGGCAUUGACUAUUAUUUGUUUUCAUUUCGAUUUAAUUCUCAUUUAGACAGUCUUUUUUAACUAGCAAUAAUCUUUUUAAGGAAAAUGAUAAUAGGGAUUCUGCAAUAAUCUUUUUAAGGAAAAUGAUAAUAGGGAUUCUGCAAUAAUCUUUCUGCAUUGUUCAAGUUAGUAGACAAUGAAUAGGGUGUUUAUGUUUACCUCAUUUUGAACCCUGAGGGCUUCGUUGAGUAGUUGAUCCAACAUAUCCAGCACCGGUUGAUGUGAGAACAGGAUGCCAUUUAGAUAGGCUUAAACUGAUUUUGGAGGUUUGUAUUCAUUCUAUUGUAUGUCUUGCUUACAAAUUUUUUAUUUUUUAUUUUUAAUUUUGUAUAAUAUGCUCUUUGUUGGUAAAUCUCAUUUGACUUAGAAGAGAUAGUUUUAUCCCAACAGUGGGAUAAAUCAUUGAGAUGCAUGGCAGUGUGAAUAUAGUAGACAAAAUCAUUGAGACAGAUGGUGGUGUGAACAUAGUAAACUUUGUCAAACACAGCUAAGAUAAACAAAUUGUUUCAUUAGCCUUUAUCUUAUCUGCUGUGAUGAUUCAAAUUAAUGCUGUUUGGUAGGUUGCAAAAAACGAAAUGAGCUGACUGUUCAUAUUAUUUAGUCAGAUCUAUUGCAAUAAGUUGAAGUUCACUGUCACAUGGGUUGGGAGUAGCGUGGGCUGUGAGUAGUAGAAUGGAUUUAUGGAGUUGAUACAAGUGCCCAUAAUCUAUCAUGUCAUUCUAGGAUUAAAUGGAUUGCACAUUACUGUAAAGAUGGAGGUUAAAUUUAUAUAAUUCGGAUUGAUUGUAAAAUGGGAGGCAGAGAUGAGUUAGAAAAAAAAUGACCUGUGUCCUUUUUGAGCUGUUUCUAAAUCUCCCUGGUGUGCUUCAUGCUUAACACGUGUCUGUCCAAAUAAUUUUGCUUAACCUGUGCUUGUCUACUUCUUGUGCUAUUCUGUGCCUGGUCCUGAGCUGUGUUGGUAGAUUGACAUAAUUUUGCUCUGCUAAAUGUAUAACUUAUUAAUCAGAGUCCUGUUAUUAUGGUUUGACACUACUGACAUGUUGUGUUGGUAUUUAUUUGUACUUCCCUUGGUUGAAUUAUUUGCUGUCUCCAUGCCAUUCGAUAUGGUGCUACUUGGUUUUUGAUCAUCCAUGACGCUAUAUAUAUGUAAAGGAUGAAUUGAUUGUUUUGGCUUGUAUUCUCACAUUUUAUGAUUGAUCGAUGGAAAGGUCUUCAUGUAUUAAAUUCAACCUCACAAGCGUAAGAUUGACAGAUUGUGGGAAAAUUUUCAGGAAAAGAAACUAGACUUCAUGGAAGCAAUGAAGCUUGAAAUUGAACGUCUGCAGCUGCAUCUUUCUGCAGCUGAAAGGGAUAGAGCUUUAUUGUCAAUUGAAACUGAUCCUGCCUCUAUAAAUCCAAAUGUAUUGCUUGAUGAAUCUUACAUGGGAAGACUGUCGAGUAGCAACCACUCUUGCAUUACUUGGCCAAACUUCCCUAGAAGACAAAAUUGUUGGUGCAAUUGGCCUUGAGAAUAGUGAUGAUAGUGUUUUAGACUUCUGGAAUAUUACUAGAAUCGGAGAGAGUUGUUCUGGUGGCGGGUGCAAGGUUUGUGCAGAAACUAAGGUGCCUGCUCUUGCUUCCUCAACUGCAACAUCUGUUGGAGCUUCACAAUCCCCUUUGUUGUGUUCUCAAUGUGAAAGAAAAGUUUGCAAAGUUUGUUGUGCAGGAAGAGGAGCUCUACUGUUUUCAAAUUAUAAAUCAAGGGAUGUGACCAACUACAAUGGCUUCUCAAGUCAGAGUGGAUGAAGCCAUGGAAGCCAAGUUGAUGUAUCUACCAGUCGUUCACUAACACUGGAUGGCGUUAUCUGUAAACACUGCUGCCAUGAGAUUGUGCCUGAUGCAUUGAUGUUGGACCAUGUUAGGGUCUUGAUUAGCUUGCGAAGAAGUUCCUGUGCAGACAACGCAGUCAUACAAUGCUUUGAAUGAGGUUGUUGGAUCCUGCUUAAAGGAUAGUGUUUCUGAAAGGAUUCAGUCUUCCGAUAACGUGCAAGCUGCUGAAGUCCUUCACCAAUUAUGUGGUGGACAGGAAUCACUUGCUGAAUUUCCAUUUGCUAGCUGUUUGCACUAGGUAUGUUCUUGGUUUGUAUUCAGUUCUCAUCAUGUUAUGUUUUCCUUUUAAAUUUCUUUUCUUGAUUAAAAUUUUUAGAAAUAUGUUUUAGUAUUUGUUCUUAUGAUAUAUGCCCAGAACAUUCAUCCCACUUAUCCAUGAGAAUCCUUGUCUGGUUUGAUUUUCAAUUGAGACAUUUUUGGGAACCCUGAGCAGGUUCCAUAUGCUAAUAAUCUUUGAGGUAAGGUGUUGUAGGAUGCCUUGAGAAGCUAAAAACCUAUUACAAGGAAAAGCUCUUGCAUUGUUUUGUGGAAUCUGUGUUGUGAAAAUAGGUAGAGAAAAAGUUUAUGGAAUAAUUCUCUUAUUUCAUAUGUUCAUGAGACUGUACACAGUCUUUAUAUAGGGAUACAAGAGACUAAGAAAGGAAAGAAAAAAUUAAAGCAGAAUAUUACACACUGAUUUCUAGGAAGCAAUAACUCUAUAUUUACACCAAAUAUACACCUAAAUAUAUAAGGAAAACCAAAUCAAUUUGAUUUGGUCAACCUUUCAACACUCCCCCUCAAGCUGGUCUAAAAAUGUCUUUCAUGGCCAGCUUGCAAACCAAUUUCUCAAAAUGUUUCUUAGGUAGUCCCUUGGUGAGUAUAUCAGCAAUCUGCUCAUUUGUAGGAAUGUAGGGCAUGCAGACCAAACCACUGUCCAGUUUUUCUUUUAUGAAAUGUUUGUCCACUUCAACAUGUUUAGUUCGGUUGUGGAGUACUGGAUUAUGUGCUAUUGCAAUGGCAGAUUUGUUGUCACAAUAUACUUUCAUAGGUAGAGAAUUAUUUGCCUUAAGUUCUUCAAGAACUUUUUUGAUCCAAAAAACCUCACAAAUUCCUAGAGCUACUGCUCUAUAUUCUGCCUCUGCACUACUUCUUGCUACCACAGUUUGUUUCUUGCUGCGCUAAGUGACCAAAUUUCCUCCGACAAAGGUGCAGUAACCCGAAGUGGAUCUUCUAUCGGUUACACUACCAGCCCAGUCAGCAUCAGUGUAGACUUCUACUUGUAGGUGCCCGUUUUUUCUAAACAAAAGACCUUUACCCGGAGAUCCUUUUAAGUAUCUAAGGAUUCUAUAUACAGUUUCAAAGUGUUCUGGUCCUGGAGCAUGCAUAAACUGGCUGACUAAGCUCACUGCAAAGGCUAUGUCCGGGCGUGUAUGUGAAAGGUAGAUUAAUCUACCUACAAGGCGUUGGUACCGAUCUAUGUUGGUCACAUCUUCAAUAUUAGCUGGCUGUAAUUUCAUAUUAGGAUCUAUGGGUGUCUCGGCUGCUUUACAUCCGAGUAAACCUGUCUCUUCAAGCAAAUCAAGAACAUACUUGCGUUGAGACACAACAAUCCCAUCUUUUGAUCUAGCAAACUCCAUGCCCAAAAAAUACUUCAGGUUGCCUAAGUCUUUGAUUUCAAAGUCACGUGCAAGCACUUUCUUUAAUCUGCAAAUCUCAACUAAGUCAUCACCAGUCAAAAUUAUAUCAUCUACAUAUACAAUUAACACGACUAAUUUCCCUUCAAUAGAAUGUUUGUAAAACAUUGUAUGAUCUGCCUGACUUUGGGAGUAGCCGUGUCCCUUUAUAACAUUACCAAAGCGUUCAAACCAUGCUCUAGGAGACUGUUUGAGCCCAUACAAAGACUUAUGUAGUUUACACACUUUACUGUUGCCAUGAUUUCCCUCAAAACCUAGUGGUAAAUCCAUAAAGACUUCUUCUUCUAGCUCCCCAUUCAGAAAAGCAUUUUUAACAUCUAACUGGUAUAGAUUCCAAUCAGAAUGUACAGCCAAUGAGAUAAGGACCCGGAUGGAAUUUAUCUUUGCAACGGGGGCAAAAGUUUCUUGAUAAUCAAUUCCGUAGGUUUGAGUGAAUCCUUUUGCUACAAGCCUUGCCUUAUAUCUCUCAACACUCCCAUCAGCAUUACAUUUAAGUGUAAACACCCACUUUCAACCCACAGUUUUCUUUUCUUUUGGUAAAUCCACAAUCUCCCACGUACCAUUCUUCUUUAGAGCAUUCAUUUCCUCUAAAACUGCUAACUUCCAAUCUGGGUGGUCUAGGGCUUCUUUUAUGGUUUUAGGAAUUGGUAUUUGAGAGAUUUUUGUGGUAAAGGCUCUUUGUUUAUUGGACAACUUUUCAUAGGAAACAUAUCUAGCAAUGGGGUGCUUAGUACAGGUUCGGGUUCCUUUCCUAUGUGCUAUGGGUAAGUCAAGAUCAGGAAAAAAAGUGCUGAAAUGUUUAGGAGAAGAAAUGUUACCUGAAUUUUCUGAGGAAUCAGUGCUUGGAGGCAACGAUUGAGGCUGUAUCGAGUUUAUGAGAGGGUCUUUACUGUUGUGAUGAUACUUUCGAGUAUAAACACGCAGCUCUGGUGGUGGAAUUUUAUCUUGUAGUAUUUCUCCCCCUGUCUCUGGUACAUUAACACUUGGUUCCUGUAGUUCAAGGUUUCCUAGGUUUUCAUUAUUAGAAAUAUCAGUUUUUUGAGUUUGAGUUGGAGUGCCCAGAUCAGGUAAAAACUGAUUAGGCAUAGGUGUAGAAGUAUGCCAAAAAUGAUCUUCACUAUUUUCUUUCUCCCCCUGAAGAGAAUUUUGGCCAAAAAAAGGUUGAUUUUCGAGAAAUAUAACAUCCAUACUGACAUGGAAUUUCUUUGUUUGAGGAUUGAAACAUUUGUAACCUUUUUUAUUAGGUGCAUAGCCCAAGAAAACACAUUUUUCAGAUCUAGGAUCCAAUUUAGAUCUAAGAUGGUUAGGAACAUGAACAAAUACAGUGCACCCAAAGACUCUUAACUGAAUAUUGGAGGUAAUCCUACUAGAAGGAUAUAUAAGUGUGAAGUAUUCUAAAGGUGAUUGAUACUUUAAAACACGGGUAGGCAUCCUAUUAAUCAAAUAACAUGCUGUUAAAACAGCAUCACCCCACAAAUAUUUAGGAACAUGCAUAGAGAGCAUGAUAGCCGACUAACUUCAAGUAAAUGGCGGUUUUUUCGUUCCGCAAUUCCAUUUUGUUGUGGAGUAUCACGACAAGUGGAUGUGUGAAUUAUACCCUUUUCCUUACAAAACACCUCUAGAUAAUUAUUAAAAUAUUCAGUACCAUUAUCUGUAUGGAGUAGACUUAUUUUUGUUUGAAAUUGAUUUUCAACCAUGUUAUAAAAAUCUUUGAAUAACCCCUCAACUUCAGAUUUUUCUCUCAUUAAAUAAACCCAACAAAGCCGAGUAUGAUCAUCUAUGAAUGUUACAAACCAUUUUUUUCCAGUUAAAGUGUUGAUUUUUGAGGGUCCCCAAACAUCACUAUGAAUUAAAUAAAAAGGUUUUGAGGCACGAUAAAUAAGUGCUUUAUAUGAAACUCGAUGACUUUUAGAUAAAAAACAACUUUCACACUGAAAAGUAGUACAAUCAACAUUUUUAAAUAAAUUUGGAAACAAAUAUUUCAAAUAAGGAAAGCUAGGGUGUCCUAGUCUAAGGUGCCAAAGCAUUAUUUGAUCCCUAGCAGAGUUUGAACUAAUACUACUGCUCAAACCUUGAGUUUGUUUAUUCCUUGAUAAGUAGUCAUCAAAAUAGUAAAGACCUUCUCGCAAACUAGCACUGCCAAUCAUCGUCCCCAAGUCCCUGUCCUGAAAUUCACAAUGGGAGUCAAAAAAGACAGCACAACAAUUAGAAUCUUUGGUUAAUUUACUGACAGAUAACAGAUUGCAAGAAAGUUUAGGGACAUGUAGCACAUUUUUAAGCUCAAUGGUUCCAGAGAUUUUUAUUGAUCCUUUUCCAGCUAUGGAAGAUAAGCUUCCAUCAGCAACUCUUACCUUUUUGUUACCAGGGCAAGGAUAAUAGGAAUCAAAUAAACUAGAAAUGCUAGUCAUAUGAUCAGAAGCACCCGAAUCAAUAAUCCAUGGUGCAGUAGUUGAGUGGCUAAAUAGAGCAUUAAUAAUACUACCUGUUUGGGCUAGUGAACCACUAGGAGUACUAGGUGGAGGAUUAGAAGUCAGCAGCUUUAUGAGAUGGUCAAUUUGCUCCUUGCUGAGAUUUUUUUCUAGAUUCUCCACUUCAUUGGCAGACGCACGGCUAUGCUUGCUGUUUUUCCAAUCUGCAGGCUUUCCGUGGAGUUUCCAGCAAGCCUCCCGAGUAUGGCGUGGUUUAUUACAGUAAUCACACCAUACUCGAGGUUUUUGUUGCUGUUGAGUGAUGGAGCGGGUAGCAUUAUCUGCUGUAACAAGGGCAGAUUUUUCCACAGAGACAACGGAGUUCUUUUUUCCCAACAUAACACCUCGACGACUUUCUUCUCUCCUUACUUAAGAGAAAACAUCCUCAAGAGUAGGAAGUGGCUUUCUCCCAAUAAUUCUUCCUCUUACCUCAUCAAAUUCAACAUUGAGCCCAGCCAGGAACUUGAAGAUUCGCUCAUUAUUGACAGUUUGUUUGUGGUGUUUAAAAUCUUCCAUGCUCUCCCACUCGUAGUCGUUGAAUAAGUCCAGAUCUUGCCACAAUCUCUUUAGAGUAUUGAAGUAUUUUGUUAUACUAUAAUCUCCUUGACGGAUAUCUCCAAGAGCAAGCUGCAACUCAUAGAUCUGGGACUGAUUUCCAUAGUCAGAGUACAUCUGACUCACAUUAUCCCAGAGUUCUUUUGCAGUAGAGUAGCACAUAUAAUUUGCACCAAUGUCUUCAUCCAUGGAGUUGACUAACCAUGCCAUAAUCAUGGAGUUUUCGGCAUCCCAAACACCAUAAGAGGGAUCAGAUAUUUCAGGAGCCUUAACAUCUCCGGUAAGAUAACCAAUCUUCCCUCUUCCCCUAAUAUACAUUCUAACCGACUGAGACCAUCUUUGAAAAUUUCCUUCAUUCAGCCGGAUAGUUGUAAUCUGGACAGAAUGAGAUUCAGAAUGGGAAAUUUUUGGUUCUAGUCUUUUUGAGGUGACUGUGGUUUCAGAAGAUUGGUCAGACAUGGUAGGGAAGAGAUCAGAAAGAAAGGGAGCCUAGCUCUGAUACCAUGUGAAAAUAGGUAGAGAAAAAGUUUAUGGAAUAAUUCUCUUAUUUCAUAUGUUCAUGAGACUGUACACAGUCUUUAUAUAGGGAUACAAGAGACUAAGAAAGGAAAGAAAAAAUUAAAGCAGAAUAUUACACAUUGAUUUUUAGGAAGCAAUAACUCUAUAUUUACACCAAAUAUACACCUAAAUAUAUAAGGAAAACCAAAUCAAUUUGAUUUGGUCAACCUUUCAACAUGUGUGCUAGCAAGUCAUGUCUCUAAUAAUUUCAUAGUUUGCUUGAUUGGAAUUUUUUAUCUUGAUAUGGAUUGUUUAUUCUAGAUUCCUUGGUGCUGUAGGUUGAAACAGCAAAAGAUUCAGCACCGAUUUUGUCACUGCUUGCUCCAUUAAAUUCUGGAUCAAGGCACUCAUAUUGGAGAGCUCCACCUUGUACUACUUCUGUUGAAUUUGUUAUUGUUCUCUGUUCUGUUUCUGAUGUCAGUGGGGUUAUCUUGCUUGUUAGUCCUUGCGGCUAUUCUGUGGGUGACACUCCGAUGGUAAGUGCCAUAUUUAUUCCCUUAUUUCCUUGUUGUUCAAUAAAUUUGGUGAUAAGCCAAGUGGCCUUAAUAAUGAAGCCCAGUACCAGGGGUGGUGGGUAAUCGAUAUUCAACUUGUGAAUAUUCCUAAGCAAGCACUGAAUCAACAUAGACCUCGGCAAAAGUUCUCCAUGCUAUUAUAACGAAAGUCAUAUUUUGAAAUGAUUAAAAGAGUCCCUGUGUAGUGCUAUUUCCAAAGAAAUUGCAGCUGGAGGUUUAGUUUCAUGUAGGUUAGUUUCCGAUAAUAAACUUUCCAUUUCAUUAAUUGCUGAUGAAAAAACCAAGUAAGAACAGUUUUGUUGCUCGUCAUUUAUGUAUAUUUUGGUAAACUGUAAUUUUAAAUUCUCAACGAUCUUCCCUUUGUAGGUAAGAAGAUGGUCCACUCACUUGAUAUUUAUGAUUGUAGAUCAGGUUUCUAUUGGUUUGCCUUUAUCAUUCGGAACCCAAGUUUGAUAUUAACAGAGAUCACGUCAAUAAUAUCCUAUUUGGGUAGAUGUGGGUGAGGAUUUAAAAUCAAAUUUGAAAUUGAGGGCAAAGAAGAGAAAAGAAACCGCAAUAAUUAAACAAAAUAUUAGGAACUAUUCUGAUGAGUUUUAAUCUCGAGAGGAACAAUUUUCAAAUGCAAAAUUUAACUGCUAGAGAAAUUGUAGCUUUUUGUCAUUAGUUAAGAGGAAAGAGAAUAAGAACUAUCUGGCCCUUUCCUUCAUGAAUGUGUGUUGAGGUUGCUGUAUUAUUUAGUCAGUAUUUGUAAUUUUCUUCCCUGCAGUGCUCUCUGCCUCCUGAAUUUGCUACUGAGUCCAUAUUUUUCUUUGAGCUGUUGCUUCCUAUUGCUGUUACAGGUACAAAUCUGGGCAAGCAAUAAGAUACACCGGGAGGACAGGUCAUCAAUGGGAAAAUGGGAUGUCCAAUCCCUCAUCACAUCUUCUUCAGAUUUGUAUGGUCCAGAAAAGUCUGCUAGUGUUGAAAAAUUACCUAGGCAUGUAAAAUUUACUUUUAAGAAUCCUGUUAGGUGCCGCAUUGUUUGGAUCACAUUACGUCUUCAGAGACCUGGUUCGGCUUCAGUUAAUUUCGGGAAUGACUUCAGUCUUUUGUCUCUUGAUGAAGAUGAAAACCCCUUUGCACAAGUAGACAGACGUGCUUCAUUUGGAGGAGCAGUUGAAAAUGAACCAUGUAUUCAUGCCAAAAGAAUUCUUGUAGUCGGAAGCCCAGUAAAAAGGGAGGGGCUUACCACAUCACAGAGCUCUGAGCAGCUAAGUAUUAGAAACUGGUUGGAUAGAGCUCCACAAAUGAGUAGAUUCAAGGUAUUAGUUGCUUUCACUCUUUGUUCAUUCAUAAUUCCAGCUUUCUGCUUGAUGCCUUGCCUCUGAUAAACCUCUUUUUUCUCUUCAGGUCCCAAUUGAGGCCGAGAGAUUGAUGGACUACGAUCUCGUCUUGGAACAGUAUCUACCUCCAGCGUCACCUUCGCUUGCCGGAUUCCGUCUAGAUGCUUUCAGUGCAAUAAAACCUAGGGUUACCCAUUCACCUUCCUCAGAUUCAGAUAUCUGGGACAAAUCAGUAACAUUUUUAGAAGACAGGUACAUCUCUCAAGCUGUGUUGUAUUUACAAGUAUCCGCACUCCAGGAACCACAUAACAUGGUAACUAUUGCGGAAUAUCGACUGCCGGAGGCUAGAGCCGGAACGCCAAUGUACUUUGAUUUCCCACGACCGAUACAGUCCCGACGAGUUUCAUUCAAGCUUCUUGGAGAUGUUACAGCAUUUGCAGAUGAACCUUCAGAACAAGAUGAUUCAGGAUUGAGAGCUCCACUUGUGGCCACAGGUUUGUCUUUGUCAAACAGAAUCAAGUUAUAUUAUUAUUGUGAUCCUUAUGAGCUCGGAAAAUGGGCAAGCCUUUCUGGAGUUUGAUCGUUAUUUAUAUGUCAGAGAAAGGGUUUUGGGUUUGAUUUUGAUUUUGAUUUGUAAUUUUUGUCAGUUUAUUGAAAUUUUUUGUUGUAUAAAAGCAGAAUGUAAAGGUAUAAAAAUUCAUUGAUGCUGCAAUGUCUGUGCUUUUGAGAAAGAAAGAAUUCUAUGGCUUUUCUAUGCCAUUGGAUUUUCCACUGCCUGUAAACUUGGGCUGUCGAAUGCUCUGUGAACCUUAAGGGCUAUAAAGUAAUUUUCAAGACUGAAGGAUUUAUUAAUCGAGUUCAAAAGAUUGCAAGUUGGUGAGCGUUGGCAUUUAAAAAAUCAAUUGUUAUUCUCUCAAUAAUCUCUGUCUUCUGCCGACACCCCAUGCUCAGAAACCCAUUGUUCCGACGGACGUGUAACACUUCUAGAAAUUGUUUUGAUCUCUCCUCGUGAAGUGUUUUCUUUUUCGAGUGAAGGUGGUUUUCUACUUGCAUACGUCGGGGGUCUUAUGAUAUGUAAUGUGUGAAAUUUCUUUCUCAUUUUACCAUAAAGAAAAAUGUUGUAAUAAUCUAAAGCUCGAGUCUUAAAUUAUCUUAAAUUUAUAUUUAGAGUGGAGCUAUUCGCAAUCCUACAUUAAAAUUACAAAUAAAAAUAAUUGAAAAUUAAACACUUAUAGAUUUUUUUUACAACAAAUUAUUUAAUUCAUAAUCAAUCCUUUAAAAAAAAAAAUCCAUAUGUUACUUGCUAUCUAACUAAAAUAAAUUUUACAAAUUUAGAAUAAUCUAUUGAUUUCUUUUGAUUUCUUAUUAAUUAAAUAUUUUUAUACAUAAAAUUGCUUUGAAAUUAUAAUUUGAAAUAUGUGUUAUUUCAGCCAAUGAUUAACACUAAAAAACUUAUCACCCAUAUAACUUUUUAAUUUGUGUGUAGGGUAAUAAUAAAAUCAAAAAUAAUUAAAAAAAUAGUACAAUAAUGAGUUUUAACAAUAAAACAAAUCAAAUGAAAAUUGAAAAUUUAGAAAAAAUGUAUCUAAAAAAGGGAACGUUUUUUAAAAUAAAAUGAAUAUAACUAAAAAGGGGUUUUAUGAGAAGAGCAGAGGGGUGCCAAUAGUCCAACUUGUAAUUAAGAAUCUCCCAUUAUAUUGUCAACCAAAAAGACACUUGAAUAAGAAGAAGAAUUUAUCAGUUUGAUUUUAUUUAUAGAUCCAACAUUUCUCAUAUCCUAAACGCCUUUCCGUAUCAAAUUAAAACAGUAGUCGCAAAAUCGUAGUAUUAAAAUCGUAGUGCACAUUCAAUUAACCAACUAAUAGUCUUUGGUAUAAGAUUUUAUAUUAGCUAGCCAAGUAGGUUGUCCAUCCCACUCAGACAUGAACGAAAGCUAAAUUCAUCAAAUGGUGUUAUACUAUUAAAUAUUUUUAUAUUUAAAAUUACUUUGAAAUUAUAAUUUCAAAUUAAAAUAGUAGUAGCAAAAUCGUAGUGCACAUUCAAUUAACCAACUAAUAGUCUAAGAAGCAAAGAGAGGAUUACAAGUUCACAACACCAUUACAAAGGAUUCAAAAUUCCCACACGAAAACAUCAAUGUACAGAUUAUAAACAAUCCGAAUUGGACACAAGAAAAAGCCCUUCAAUGGAUUGCUUUCCUUCCCAAUGCUAUAUACUGUGCAAACUCCGCACUGGCCAAGAAAAUGUUUUCAAUUUAGUGUAUUUUCAAAUUGCUUAUUUUCUCAUAAUAUAAAAAAUAAAAAAGAAUCCUUACAUGUUUCAUCAGCAUGAUUAAAAUCAAAGAAGAAAGCGAAGACGUAAUGUCUCUGACAUAAUAAAAUUACAAAAAUUUCAAGGAAAAAAAAAAGGUUAAAACAUGUAAUCUUCAGAAGCAUAUAAUAAAAGAACACUUCCACAAAUUACUACAAUUUCAUGCAGUAGAGAUUGAAGAGUUGAAUUCCACUAAUUUUAAUAAUGAAAACAACAACAGAGGAUUAACUGAUGCUUUGACUUAUUAGCAGGUUGCUUUGACUUAUUAGUUCUGCAGCUAAGUUAAAUAAAAUAAGCUAUUUUCAAAAGCAAAAUGGAAUACAUAGAUAAAAACAUCAUCUUAAACAAAUCACAAUCUAGAAUUAGAGCAUUUUCGACAUACCUAAGGAACACGAAUACGUGAAAACGGGUGAUUUAUUUGUUAAGGAGUGUUGAUUUGGUCGUCUCUGCAAAUUCUUUAGGGACUCGGUUCCAAUUCCUCUUCAUCAAAACUGUAAUAUAAUUCCCCUUCAUCAGAACUCGAAUCGAUGCAAUAUAAUUCCCCUUCAUCAGAACUCGAAUCAAAUUCACUUGCAGCAGUUCCACUCGCGCUUGGCAAAUCAUCCAAUUUCCAAACUUCGGUAACAAAAUUGAGAGUAAAAGUGUUGGCUUUGAUCUCGCUGGGAUUUGCAUAUACUGGACAUACUCCGCAACGUUUUAUCUUCUGACCCUUUUGGACCUUUAUUAUGUUUCGGUGACACUCAUUGAAGAACUUAAAUGUGGCAGUUGAAUGAUGGUCACCAUCAGGAAAGCCAACAUUCAAGCAAGGUUUAAAACCAAGUAUGACAUGAUCUGAAUCAUGGGGGUCUUGAAUUGAGUGCAAAUUGUAACCCAGAUGAACAUGUUUGGUUUCAGAGAGAGUCUUUAUUUCUAAGUCGGAUCGACAGUAAACGUAAAAAUAACGAAAACGAUCAGAAUAAAGUUGCUUAAAAUCAAGAACAGCACAAAAAGCAAACCCGAUUAAGUUUCUGCAAAAAGAGUGCGGUGGCAGUUGAAUACGUAUCGAAGAUCCUGAACUUUGAUUGCUGAACCAGUCAGGAAUUUCGCUCCCAGGUAAAACAAUUUGGGAUCCCCUGAGUUCAGAAAGUUUCUGCGAAACGACAUUUAAAAAAAGAAAAUUGUAAAAUGAAAACCAUGAUUUCAGAUAUAACAAAGAGGGACAGAGUAAACAAGAGAGGGAAUUUGAUACCUCGUUGUAUGCAUUUUCAUAGCCCAGUCUCAGUGAUGCUGCAAUUGCCAUACGUAGUGAAUCUGCCAAAAUCUUGUUGUUUGCUUUUCCAUCAAGUUUCAAGCAGUUAGUAAACUCAAAACAAAUUGGUUGUGGCGUCACAUAUUCCGGAUGCCAUUCACGAAGGUCAGGAGAGGGUUUGGAUAGCUUUUCGAGUACGGAUGCAUCUAGUUCUUGUACACAUGACGGAAUCUCUGGCAAAGAUUGAAGCCGGUUGCAGUUCAUUGCUUUUAGUGACUGUAGACACAAUGGAAGUUCUGGUAAUGACCGAAGCAUGUUACAAUCCUCCAAGUGAAGAGUUUCUAGACCCAAUGGAAGUGCUGGUAAUGACUGAAGCAUGUUACAACGCCUCAAGUAAAGAGAUUUUAGACACAAUGGAAGUUCUGGUAAUGACUGAAGUAUCUUACAAUCCCUCAAUUCAAGAUAUUUUAGACACAAUGGAAGUUCUGGUAAUGACUGAAGCAUAUUACAAUCCUCCAAGUUAAGAUAACUUAGCCACGACAGUUGCUUGAUACUUGCAGGUAAACUCUCAAAGUUAUUUCCACUUAAAUUGCCAAUGUUAUCCGGCAACUUGUCAAGUAUAGAGCAACCACUUACGGACAAAAAUGAAAGCCCCGGUAGAUUUUCAAAUGGCGAUGGCAGCUCUGUAAUUGCCGUCCAGACUAAAUAGAUGCAAUUUAAAUGUUCCAUUUUCUCCAAGAUUUCUGGGAAACGCUCAAGGUUCAAGCAGCCAAAAAGAAAAAGAUCAACCAAAGAUCUCAAUUUACAGAACCUAGUUGAAAUCCUCUUCAGCCGUUUGCAAUGCCCCAAAUCCAACACUUCAAGAUCAGUUAGGCACUCUAUUGAUGAUGGAACUUCUUCUAUUGCAGACUGGCCUAAGGAUAGCUCUGUGAUUUUCCCAGAAAUCCGUGGAAACUCUUUGAGAUUAACACAAUAGGAGAAAUUAAUAGUUACUGGACAAACAAAAUGAAGAUUGCUUGGAAAAGACCUAAGACUUUUGCAGCCCUCAAAAGACAACGCACUGAGAUACUUGAAAUUCUGGAUAGAUGAGGGAACACAAGCCAAGUUUGUAUAAUCCAAAAGAUUUGUUUCAACAUUUGGGGUUUCUAAUGGGCCUGGCAUCUUAAUGAAAUGUCGAGAAUGAUUGAGGUUAAUAGAUUUUAACUUGAAAGCUUCCUGCAAUAACAGAUAUAUAAAGACUAUAUUAAUUAAAAAGCAACAUUGAAUUCAACAAUUAAUUGCACGUAUGUUUAAAGAAAGAAAAAAAUUAAUGUUUUAGUUUUAGUACAAAACUUACCUUUUCUCCUUCCCAAAGUUGCUCAACUUUACUAAAACGCAAAUUCAGUUCAACAAGGUUCAUUGGCUUGAAAUUUGAUGGCAGUGUCCUUAAUGGAUAUGUGUCCCAAUGAAGAUAUCUCAAUUUUUUAGGAAGAUAAUCUAGGCCAUUUGGAAGCUGCACUUUAGAGUAUGAAAGUUGCUCUUCAAUGCUCAUACUUAGAAACCUUUCAAUCUCAGGUACAUAAAAUUUGAGCAAUCUUAGAUUAGACAUUUUUGUGAAGGCUCCUGGGUCUAAAUUGAUGCCUUUUAUUUUGGACAAAUCCAGAAAUAUGCCUUCAAUUGCAUCGGUCCCCUUAUUAAAAAAAAAAAAAACAAAGAAUGAGUAACCCUAAAACAGAAAAGAAACAUUCGUAAACUUUAUUAACUAAGAGCUUCUUAAACAAAAACAAAUUCUGCAAUCUUUGAUUUUAUUUUUUUAAUAUAUUAAAUAUCUAUAUACGAGAAAAGAAAAUUUUGGGGACCAUUGCAAAAUUAAACUAACCGAAAAAAAAUUCAAAAUUUCUCUAAUUUACAAACCUGUUAUCUUAAUAACUAGAAGUUGAGAAGACAAGGCCUAUUUGAUUGGUAUAAGAUUUCGAUUUGUUUUUUAGUCCAUAGAAUCCAAAAUGUUAGUUCAAAAUUAGGGAAAAAAAAUGAAAGUUAUUUUUUUUCCACUAGUUGUAAUUGUUUCCAAGUCAAAUUGAGAUACGACCCUUUUCGAAAGGAUUUAAUCAUCUUAUAGCCUCCUUAAGAUACAUUUAAGCUAAAAGGAGUGAUUGGAGGCAGAACUAGGUGGGCCAAUCAGUCCCUUUUAUUAGUGACUGUUGCUUAAAAAAAAUUAUACUCUAAAACACACUUACUUUUUUGAAAAAAAAUAUAAUUAUAUUGAAGUAGAACCAGGUGGGCCAAUCCUCAUGGCACUCACUUUGUUCUGACACUCUUCACUAAAUUUGAAGAAAAAUAAAAUUAUACUCUUCACACUCUUAUUCAACAUUCCAAAAUUGAUAAAAUCUAGAGUUUUCUUUAAAAAUUUAAAAUUUGAAGACUUGUUCUCUUGACAUCCUCAGUCAUUAAUUUCACCUAAUUAUGGUUUUUAUGAUUUUGGUUGUUUUGUUCAUAAAACAAUUUUACUAAAGGAUGUUCUCGUAAUAAUAAAAAUUAUAAAAAAAACAUGGGUGUGCUGGUAUGGUUGGGAAAAUACGAGUACAGAACUCCAAACAAAUAAAAGAUUUAUAUAAAAAAAAAUGGAGGAUUCUUACCAUAUUAUGCUUUAGUACGCGGCGGAUUUCCUUAGGAUCCCACAACCUACUACGUCUGCCUGGCACUUCCUCAGAUUCUUGGCGAACAGUCUCUUGGCCCAUUUCUUGCAAUAAAUCAUGCAUUUGCAAGCGGUUAUCUGACACAGUUAUGAGUGACUUGUCGACGAGGACAUCCAGUCUGUGAGACCCAGAAUCAUCAAGUAUCCUUAACACAAAAUCUUUAUCCUCUCCCUCAAGGAAACACGCAAUAUCUAGAAACAUACUCUUCACCCUGGGCGUUAAUUCUUUAAAACUAAUCUUUAAUGUAUCAUAAAUACCAUGAAUAUCAGAUUCACAAAUCCGAUUUAAGUCGUGCAAUACAUUUUCCCAAUGGCUUUUCCUCUUGAGAUACAGGGAGGAACCCAACACUUUAAGAACUAAUGGAUUGCCAUCAGCAUACUCUACAACUCUCCACGAGUCACGUUUGAAAUCUUCAGGACGAUGCUUUUCUUUAAAAGCGAAGUUACAAAAGUGCUCGAAAGCCUCAUCAAAUUUCAAUCCAUUGACCCUAUAUAUUUUCUCCACUCCAAAUUUUUCGAGGACUCGUUUAUCCCUGGUGGUUACAACAAUUCUACUUCCUGGACCAUAUUGAUCAAGCCCUCCAAUCAAACCCUCUAAUUGUUCAUCUUUAUUCACAUCAUCGAGUACAAUCAACACCUUCAUGCGUCGGACCCUCCCUUUAGUAAAUUGUGGAAUAUUGGGACCAGCUACUUCAAGUUUUUCACUUAAUAUUGUCGAAAGCAUUUCCUUUUGUAGGUCUUCUAGGCCACCCUCUGUUUCUGAUUUUCUCCUAACAUUUUUUGCAAAGUAUUUACCAUCAAACUCACCAGCGAAUUGAUCGAAAAUAGCUUCAGCAAGGGUAGUUUUGCCUAUACCGCCCAUACCCCAAAUUCCAACAAUUUGGACAGUAUCCGACAAAUCCAUACACAAAAAUGGUUUAAUCUGCUCAAUUCGUGAAUUUAAUCCAACUAGGCCGUUGGAUGAGUCCGUUGAGACUGUUAUUUUUUCCAACUUCUUCAAAACAUCUUCGACAAUUUUGUUUACAAGUUGCGCAUCAAGCCUAAUAUGAAGGUGCAAAGAUGCAAAAACAUUGAGUCAAAUCGGGCCAAGACAGAAACAGAGAAAAGAUGAAUUAGGAAAGAGAGUUACCUGAAUUUCGUGGAUUCAUGGCCGGCUAGAUGGGAUGUUUCUGUCAGUGCAUCCCUCCACUUCUGAACCAUUUCUUGUUUAUCUUUGAACUGUUUUUUGAGCUCAUCAAAACGGUCUCCAAAUGUUCCGUUUUGAUGCCGCACAUCAGAUGGACUUACUCCAUAGAAGAAUGGAAUAAUAAUUUGGCCGUUUGUGUUCUUGCAUUCAAGAAUCUUGACAAGUUCAUUCAGGCACCAUUUUGAAGAAGCGUAGUCCUUCGAGAAAAUGACCACCGAAAUUUUUGAACCUUGGAUUGCGUUCAAAAGGGCGGGUGAAAUCUCAUCUCCUCGCCUAAGCCCUUCAUCAUCAAUAAAUGUUUUGAUUUUCUUUCCUUCAUACAAUUUAUCAUAGAGAUAGCAAGUAAAGCUCUUACGAGUGUCCUCCCCUCUAAAGUUGAGGAAGACUUCAUAAUUGGCACAAGAAGAAGAGGAAGCCAUGAAGGAAAUUUUAGAAAAUUGGUGACAGAAACAGAGAAUUAAUCUUGAGAGUUGAGAGAGGAGAUGUAAGAAUGAACAUGUGCGAAGAUUCUUGCGAGUACAUAGUAAAUAAUUGAAUGGCUGGAGCUUUCUUAGUUUCCUGGAAAUUUCCUGGAGCUUUCGUAUACAUGAUUUGUCAAGUCAUGAAACAUAAUCAUGAUAAUGGGGCAGACCGAAAAGAAAAGCAACAAUUCAAAUAUUUGAUUCAACCAGUAUAAAAAGGAAGGAAAAGCAAAGAAAGGAAAUGUUGAAAGUAGAGUUAGGGAAUUAUAAAAAGCUGAAGGAAAUUGGAAUUUUGUACAAUUUCUCCAGCGAGGAACUUUCACAGUCGUUACCUCAUUGUUACAGUUUAGAUUAAGAUUUGAGGGUGCAAGCAUUUACCUAGAUUUUACCUCCGCACUAAAUUCUUAAGUUUGAAAAAUUAUGAGACCUUUAUAUUGGAAGAUAUUAUAAUCGAAUCAAAACUUAAAAUUUUAAUAUUGUUAAUCUUUAAUCUUUAAAAAAAAUUACCUUGCCGUUACAAUUUGGAUUAAGAUUUGAAUAAGCAUUUACCUAAAUUUUAUCUCCGCCUGUAAAUUCUUAUGUUUUAAAAAUUAUGAGACCUUUAUAUUGGGAGAUAUUAUAAUCGAAUCAAAAUUUUGAAUUUCAAUAUUAUUAUUCUUUUAAAAAAAAUUUGAGAUAACAGAGUGAUUGAUAAUAGAGAACUUGUCUAGGCAAACACAUGCAUACACAAAAAUGUGAUGGAUUCAAAAAGAAAUUAAAGUGAUAAUGUACGUGGAUCCUUAAAACAAAAAGCGAAAUCGCUUGGUGGCCCAGUAAAAUUAAGACUGAAUAUUUUUUACACGAGAAGUGUAGCUCAUAAAUGGCAAAAGCCAUUUCAUUUCACUUUUACGCGUCAUUGACUUUUGUAACAUGGUGCAUGCAUCGUCAAGUGAGGCAAAAGGGUUUCGAUUACAGUGGGAAAACAUGAACAAGAAUGCAUAAUGAAUAAUUCCUUUGAUAAAGCGAAAAUUAAACACAGAAUAAUCCUAAAAUUUAAACUCUAAUAUCUUAUAAUUUAAUGAUUAAAAAUAAUCCUAAGAGUUCCCAAUUGAAACUUUCAGAGAUAAUAGAAAAUAGCUAUGCUUUAAAAGGCCAAAGAUUAGAGAACAAAGAAGAAUUAGGUAUUGAUAUAAAAAUUAUUAAUUUUUUUGAUUUCAAGCAAAAAUAGUUUCAUAUACCAUUUCGAUUUUGGUAGGGGUGAGGUUUUGAACUUCAAUAGUUUCCUCUAAAAUCAAAAGGUAGUAAUUAAGUUAGAAAGAGCAAAGAAGACUUAUCGGUACCUUAUUGAAGGUAAACAUUAUGGAACUUUCAAUGUCAUUACCCCACUGUUUAAUUUUUAUUGAGAUUUGUGCAAGCAUUUACCUAAAUCUUACCUCUGCCUGUAAAUUCAUAAGUUUUGAAAAUUAUGAGACCUUAUAUCGGGAGAUAUUAUAAUCGAACUAAAACUUAAAAUUUCUUUUCUUUUUUUUUUUUUUUAUCAUAAAAGGGCUCUUAAGAGAGCUAAGGCAACACUAAAUGGGAGUGUGCAACCCCAUGAACAUCAUUAAUCAAUAUGUUUAGCGUAUUUGGAGGAAUAGAUUGAAAGCAAUGUAAACCCAAAGGAAAAGAAAAGCUGUACGAAGUAAGGAAAUCUGCUGCUACAUUGGUUUCUUGGUAGAUAUGAUCCACUUUGAUCAGCCAAUCACGCCGAAGGAGUUCUUCGAUGGCCUGAAUGAGAGUAAAAUGCUCAUUGACGGGAGGGUUUGAGUUAGAGAUUAACUUCAUAACACACAUGCUGUCCACUUCCACGUAAAACUUAAAAUUUCAAUAUUAUUAUUCUUUAAAAAAAAAUUGAGAUAUCAGAGUAAUAUCACAUAGAAAAACUUGCCCACGGACGGUAAGCCAAAAGUCUAGUCAACCACAUGCAUAAAGCUAAGUAGAACAAGAGAACAGAGAAACGCGUGGGUCCCUAAAGAAAAGGCAAGCACAUAAAUGAAAAAGCCAUUACAUAUCUAUUAACACGGUGUGGCAGCAUAUGCACAAUCAAGUGAGGCAAAAGGGAUUCGAUUAUCGUGGCAGAACAUGGACGAGGACGCGUGAUGAAUAAUUCCUUCGUUAAAACCAAAAACAAACGCAGAGAAAACAAUUUCUUAUAUGACAAGAAAUCAAAGUAAUGUGAAGGAACAUGAUGAAGAAAUUGCAGACUGAUCAAUUAUCCCCAUGGACUCCUAUAAAUUCAACCAAAAUAACAAUUCGAAUCUUACCAAAUUCUUGAGUUAAAUUUAUUCAAUGCUUUUAUUUUUUUAGAAAAUUUUUUUCCAAUGCUACUUUUCCUUUUUUGGGGAAAUUAGAACCGCGGCAUGUAUAGAAAACAUUGAGGUGUAAAGCAACAUUAAUUUCAUGGGAUAUGCGUUAUACGCAUAAUAUAUUUUCAGUCCAAAUUCAACUAUACAAAGAGGCUUGAGAACUUAAAAUUAAGCACAAACUAAACAGACGAAGUAAAUACAUGAUUAUGCAACAUAACAUUAAUUCUCUCAAUUGAUAACUGUUUUUGCUACAUGAAUCUUGCACAGUUAAUCCUAAUUGAAGACUAAAAAAGAGCAAUUGGAAGAAGGUUUUGGAAUAGAAUGGUAUACAAUCGAUAUGAUCCUUUUCCAGUAGUCAACGCUAAUUAACUGCAGUUUCUAGACUCCUAAUUAUACUAGCCAUAGCAAACUAUUUAGAAAACUGGUGAUCAAAUUAGAUUUUGAAAGGAAAUAAUGUUCAUUUUCCCUUCGCUGCCUUUUCUUUUCUUUUCUUUUUAUAGCAAAGAAUUAUAUCAUGAAAAGAAUCAAUUUAAUCACCUUUUCCAGCAGCCCAAUUUUUCUUUUAUAAAAUUUGACCACGGAGACAAAGAAGAAUUAUUCAUAACUUCAUCACUAAGGAAAUACUUUUCGGUAUGGCUAGGGUGAGAAAAUGCUUUCCACUAACACUUGUACUUUGUAUUCUUGUAAAUUUUCUUUAAAGUCAAUAAAAACCAUAAGUUCUUUGCAAUAACCAUCUCUUUGAUCAAAAAGUGCCGUAUUCCUUUAGAAUUUAAAACCGGCAAAACCGAAUCAGUGUCUUUGAAGAGACAUAAUGGUCGUAAUUCUUUAAAUGAGUUGGCUAUGGAAAUCCUUAUCCAAGAUUCUUUUAUGCCAUAUUCUUUCGUAAACCAAAAUUCAUUUUGAAAUACUCUAUUGAAAAUGUCAAAUAAAACGGCAUUGAAGGAAGUUUUCAAAGGCAUAAUCCGCACUUGUCAAAGGGAUGAUCUGCACUUGUCAGAGACACGAUCCGCGUCGAACGAAUCGACACAUUUCCUUUCGUAUUCGCAUAUGUAAUCUUUGAAAAAAUGUAGCUUCCGCAUCUAUAAAUAACGCUCAGUGUAUAAUGUUUUAUUCAAGAAAAGAAAACAAAUUUCUUCAUACUCCUUGUCCGAACAUACAGAGACAGUCUCUCAUAACUUCAGCCGAAUACUUAUGAUGAUGAUCAUUUGUGAUUUCAUCAGGCAUAGGGUUGAUGGUGAAAAAUUUUGUAUGUGUGAAGAAUUGAGCUGUGGAUAUAGGGGACUUAAGUGUAAUCGAAAGAGAGUUAUUAGGCCAUAGUGCAGAUUGCAUUCAGUUUAUGGGUCGAUAUGCAAAUAAUUUGUUGACGUGGCGAAAUCUGUUAUGGUCGUUACUAUUGUUUCUGGAAAUUUUCUAGAAACCUCAGCAUAAAAGGGGCUUUUGCAUAGCCUCUGGUGUGCGUGUGAUUUCUCUUUCGUUUCCUCAUCAAAUUCUGUAAUUCUUGCUUUGAUAAAAAGCUUGUAAUCAUUUCUGUAAUGUGUGAUCAGUGCGUAAUCAUUUUGAGCAAUAAAAGCUUGUGGGUUUUUCCUUCAAACAGUGUCGUUUUGGUCAGUUUGUUAGUUUGAUCUGUUGGUGGAAUUUUCUUUGGUUAUUUGUUCUCAAAUUUCAACCGUAUAUAAAGUUUGAACUCUAAUGGCUUAUAAUGUAUUGAUUAAGAAUAAUCCUAAGAGUUCCCGAUUGAAAUUUUUAAUGACUAUUUUUAUUGUUUUGGAUAUACAAAUUGCAUUAAGAAAAAAUAUUGUCAAAUUCAGAGGAUAACGGGAAAUAAUUAUGCUUCAAAAGACCAGAGAUUAGAGAAUAAAGAAGCAUUCAUUACUGACAUACAAAAGAGAAACACUCCAAAAUUGCAAGCAAACUAGUUUCAUAUACUAUUUGGAUUUUGGAAGGGGUGAAGUUUUGAGCUUCAGUUGUUCCUCUAAAUAGCAAAGAAGACUUAUUGGUACCUUACUGAAGCUAACAUUGUGGCACGGUUGUUCAUAUGUAAUGGCUGCUCUGUUAUGGUAGCUUCUCUGUUUUUGCUCACAGUUUUGAACAUGAAUUCUUGCUCAAAUAACCCAUAAUUAAUUAACAUUAAAAUGGCUCGUGAAAUCCCAUAAUAGCUAAUUACGCAACUUUCUCCUCCUCCUCAAUUAUGUCUUCCCCUGCUCGUACAAUAAAUUCAAAAUUCAAUGCCCCGAAAAACAACACAAGAAAUCUUUGAGUUAGUUCGUGACCAGUUUAUAUAUAGUAGCAAUUGAAAAAAGAAAAAGAAGAAAAGAGUUAAUUAUUAUUCAGACCUUCACUUAUUAGGAAGUUUGUUCUGCUAUUGGGUGAGGUCAAGCUCUCAGCAUAUACUUCCACAUGAUACUUUCUAACAUUUUCUUGAAAGCCAUCAAUCAUAAAAUCUUCAUACUUUUUUCCAUCCUUUGGAUCAAUGAGUACAAAUUUCUCAUCUAAAACAGACAAAAUAAAAUCACUGUCCUUCAUGGAACAUAAUGGCUGCAAUGCCUGAACUGAAUUGGCUAAUGAAACAUAGUCUUCUUUUCUUUCUCGACAUGGAACAUAGUCUUCUUUUCUUUCUCGACACAUGUCUCUGUACUUUUCUCUCUCUACUGAUCCACACUUUUUCAUACUUCUAACUAUCAUUUUGUUUUUUUUUUUUGAGUUGUGAUUUAUUCAAUUAUUUUGUAUUUUUAAUGACAAUUAUUUAAUAUUUAGUUAGUGUUGAUAUUGAUUAGUGAUUGAAAGUGUAUUUUAGAAGACUUCCGGUCUCUUGAAAAAAGGAAAAAUGGAGAAGAAGAAGAAGUGUUCUUGAUUUUUUUGUAGGCAUUAAAGUUAAACGGUUUGAAAUGAUAUUUUGUUUUAAUUUCACUCAUUAAUCUCAUUCAGGAUAAAAUUAUAAAUGCAAAUAAAUGGGGUUUCAUAAGUAUUUUUAAUAGUGUUAAAAGGUCUACUAACUAAAUAAACAUGUUUUACCCAAACCAAUCCGAUUAAUAAGUUAUUGGGUUGGGUUGAUCAGGUUAAAAAUCAAAAUUAAAAAUUAAAUAAAUAAAUAAGGCAUAAAAACUAUAUGUUACUUGAAAAUAAAAAGAAUUUCUAAUAGUUAGUUCUAAUGUCCCAUAUCCAAAACAUGCAUAUUAAAUAAAUAUUAUAAGUUAGAAAUAAAAUAUCCAAGAAAUAAUGAAUGAAAUACCAUAUUUUUGUUGAGAAUUAAGAGUGUGAUUUUAAUUUUGAUAUUGGAGUCUAAAGCAAUAGAUAGUACAAUGAAAUCAUGAAUGCUACGUUUAAAUAAUCUCUUUUAUAAAAUAAUAAAAAGAGGUUAAAAAUUAGGUUAGCAUUUAGGGUUUAGCAGUUAAGGAUGAACAUAUUAUUAUUGUUGUUGUUGUUGUUAUUAUUAUUAUUAUUAUUAUUAUUAUUAUUUACAUAUUAAUUAAUCCAACCCAACUCAAUUAUUAACGAAUUUGAAAAAAAAUGACCAAAUUAAUCCACAAUAAUUCAUUCAACUCGUCUAAAUUAGAUUAGAUUGAAUUUGAUUUGCUACACCUACAUUGAGCAACAAACCUCAACGCGAUUCUAUGAGCUCUUUGAUUGUUUAUAAAAUUGAUUUAGAGUACAUAAUGGAGUGUAUCGACAAUGAAAGUGCAAAACAAAUUAUUGUAUACAUUAAAAUCUGCAAAACAAUGAAUUAUAUGUACGAACGAGUGCAAACACAUUUUUCAAUAAGAAGUUAAAAGAUAUUUAUGCAUGAAAAAGCAUACGUUUGUAGUUACUCUAAAUUUUUUAAAAAAAAUUUACAUUUAGAUCCCUAAAAUUUACGUAUAAGUACAAAAGUUUCAAAUAUUGUCUAUUAUUUUUUAACAUAUGCCUAUUCCUUGUGGAUAAUUCUGUCUCAUCACUAAUGUUGUUUCUUGCUUACAAAAAACAAAUGUCAUCUCCUUUUACAAUUUUUAUAGCGUCUCAAAAUAGACAAUGGGGGGAUUUUGAAUUUUUUAAGUCUCAAGAUAGUCUCUAAUCUUGUGAGAAAGAUUUUCUUUCAAUAAUUUGGAGGUAAAGAUAACAUAAUUUUUUGGAUAGUGUGCAUGUGUAUUUAAUUAAUAAUUUUUUAAAAAAAUACAUCAAAUAUUAAUAUCCAUGACAUAAUUUAGUUCUUAAUUUUUUUUAAAUACAUCAAAAACAUAAUUUUUUUUAACAACUUAUAGGCAUGACAAAUUUCAAGAUAUAAAUAUCAGUCAAAAUAAGUGAAAGAAAUAAUGGUGCCAAUUCUAAUUUCUUAACUAAAUUAAUUAGUGCAUGAGCCCCGAAUACGACACGAGAGUUUGAUGGGCUAACUUGGCACAAGAACGUGAAUAAAUAAUUGAUUUAAGAAAUAAUUCAACGAAAAAUAUAAUUGAUAAGAAUUCAGUAUUGAAAUGAGUUUUUUUGUGAAACACUGAAUUAAUGAUUAUUAAGCAAGAACAAUAAAAAAAUAAAUAUUAAUCAUUGAUAAGUUUCAACAAAAACUUAACACAAUCCUCAAUCCUCAUUCAAAUGAUAAAUGUCAUUCAUAUAUUCAUUAUAAAUCAACAACAAAGGUUAUAAAUGUUUAGAAAUUCUAGAGGGAAGGAAGCUAUCGCCGGACAAUCAACAACUAAAUUUGAUGUAAUUGUGGCACGAGAUGGAAUAUGGAAACUACACCAUAAUUUCAAAUGCCGCCAUAGACAUUGACUUAUCAUAAUAACAAUGAUCUAAUUAAAAUAAAAACAAAGUUUAUGGGCAUUUAUUAUUUUGCCAUUCCUCAUUUGCAAAUAGGGAUAUAAUUAUAAUUUUACCUAGUCAAAGCAAUCGGUAGUUUUCUUCAUUAUAGGAGUGAAGUAAAAACAUUUAGAUUUCAAUGUAUGUACGGAAAAAUUUGUCUUUAAAAAUACUUUCUUAAUGUGUGUAUGCAUAUUGAAAUACUCAAACCAAUUUUGGUUAUAUAUAAUUAAACAAAUUUUAAAAUAUGAAAAAUAUAAUGUAGUUAUAGUGGAUAAACAAUAAGUGAGCACAAUAUAAUUAAUCAAAUAUUAUGCCAUCAAAAGUUAAUUUUAGAAAUUCCAAAUCCAAUAGCCAACACAAUUCUUUUUUUUUUAAAAAAGUUGACACAAUUAAUAAAAUUAGCGACAUGAAUUUCACGCCAUUGAUAAUCAGCAAUUAGUAUUACUUUCUAAACUUGCUUCAACUGGUCGUUGAUGUCCGGGUCACCAAAAGUAUAAGCGAUAAUAAGGGGCAUUGGGCAAGAGUGAUGAAUGUUUAGUCGGUGCAUUUGAUUGAUAGAUAUAUAAAGGGCCGAAACUUGAGAUUAUAUUACUUUUACAAAUUUUAAUCCAAUCACAUAUUUACUGAAAACAAAAUGAGUUAGGAUACUUUAUUUAGAACCCACAUUUUAAUAAGGCUUCAUUUGAUGUAGUUUUUCAAACAGUGAUUAUUUGAGUAAAGUUUCCUCAAUAGAGUUUUUAUCAAAUAAAUUUUAUUUAUUUGGUUGUCGAUAAGAACUUUUAUUAAAAAUUAUAAAAUUAUUUAAAUAAACAUAUUUUUUAAAAUUACAUUAUAAAAAGAAUUAAAUAAAGUUAUAAAAGUAAAAUAUAUUUUAGAUAUUUUAAUAUUUAAGAAAAAAAUUUUGAAUCUCUACUUUCAGAAGCUCAAAUUUUUAGUUUUUAGUUGUAGAGACAAAAUAUCUUAUUUAAUCUUUAAAAGUUCUGCUAAAAACAAUCAAAUAACUAUAAAAUUUUUAAUAAGAGUAUAUAAAAUUAAAUAAGCAUUUAUUAAUAAUCACUUUAGUGUACUUAUCUAAUGACCAUAAGUGUUUAUUUAAUCUCAUAAGUUCUUAUUUAAUCUCAUGAGCUCUUUUCAAUUUUUUUUGUUGUUUGCUUUUUUUAGUAGAGUUUUUGAAAAUUAAAUAAACUAUUUUGUCUCUAUUAGGAAAAACUCAAAUUUUAGGUUUUUGUGAGUAAAUGUUUAAAUUUUUUUUAAAAUAUUAAAAUAUUAAAGUAAAAGUUGUAGAGACAAAAUAUCUUAUUUAAUGUUUAAAAGUUCUGCUAAAAAUAAUCAAAUAACUACAAAAAUUUUAAUAAGAGCAUAUAAAAUUAAAUAAGCAUUUAUUAAUAGUCACUUUAGUAUACUUAUCUAAUGACCAUAAGUGUUUAUUUAAUCUAAUGAGCUCUUUUUAAUUUUGUUUGUUUGUUUUUUUAGUAGAGUUUUUGAAAAUUAAAUAAACUAUUUUGUCUCUAUUAGGAAAAACUUAAAAUUUAGGUUUUUGUGAGUAAAUGUUUAAAUUUUUUUUAAAAUAUUAAAAUAUCUUUUCUUUAUUUCAUAAUCUUAUUUCAUUCUUCACAACAUAACUUUAAAUAACUCACCUAUUAAAAUAAUUUCACAAUUUAUAAUAAAAAUUUUAAUUGACAAUCAAAUAACAAAUUUUUUUUUAUAAAAACUCUAAUAAUAAAAAUUCUACUUAAAUAAAUUAUAUUUGAAAAGGUAUACCAAACGAACCUAACAUAAAAACAAAAAUUUUUACAUCCACACAAUUAAGCUUAAAACAAUUUCAAAUGAAUUUUAGACUACUCAAAGUACAAUACGUACCAAGUUUGGUAACUUAUUGGGGUCCGCUUGUAAUACAGCGUCUGUAUCUCAUACAGCCAAAUUUAAUAAUUUAUUAAGAAAAAGGGCAACCAUUAGAUAGAAGUAGAUACAUCCAACGGUUAAAAUGUUUGAUUACUCAUUUUGGCGACCGGAUAUGCCAGUUAUUAUUUCAUCAAUUAACUUACCUAAAAAAUCACAGCCGUUGGAUUGAGAUGCCUCUCUUUCCCUCAAAAUAACAGCCUUCGUAUUCUCUCUGCUAUUGUUUUCUCCUACAUCCAGAAUUUUGGAUGAAUGAACUUGGUAUUCAACAAUAUUCACCACCCAUCACAGCAAAGAGCAAAGAUGUAGUCAAAGGAGUGCCAUUUAUUCAGGCUAACUCGAUCUGUCACUCUCGCUUCAAUUCGUCACUCAUUUUCUCGCGCUCAGCUUCAAUCUAUCACUCUCAGCUUCAGUUCGUCACUCACAGCUUCAAUUUUUCACUGUCGUGAAUCAUCUCUCUUGCUGUAUCUCUCUCUUAUGUCUUCCAAUAAUUUCGGUGAGCUCUCUCUCUAAUUUAAUAUAUGAUUAAAAAUCUUAUCAUCUUAUCAUGUCAUUUAAAUAUGCUUGAAGUUUCAAUUUAGUUUAUGAAUAUUACUUGAAAUUUCAGUUUCAAUAAUUUGAUUUUGCAAUUGAGAAAUUAUUACUUGAAAUAUUGAGAUGAUUUCUAGGGAUUGAUAAUUGAAUGAUAAUUGCUAAGGCUUGUCAUUUUUUGUUUUUGAACAGAUAGAGUUACAAUUAAGUCAUACUGCAAUAUUUUAUCUUGAGAUUCUAUUAUUCACAAAAAGAAAAAAAUCAUAAAUUGAAAAAAAAAAAAAAGAGGUUACGAGCAUCAAGCAACUGCAAGUAAUGGGGUUUGUUUUGAUGAGCUGCGAAUUGGGGCCUGUCAUUUUCUUGAAGUAUCUUCAAUAUAAGUGGAAGGAGAUUUCUUCUCUCCAAAAAAUUAUUGUAUAUUUCCUUUUAAAUUCUAGAUUCGCAUGUAGCUGAUUUUUUAUGUUUGAAGGAUUUUAUUAAAGAAUGUGCUGCUGCUAGUGGCAUGAAUUAAUGUAGUCUCGCUAGUAUUCGUGAUUUGGGGUAAGGAUCGAAUUGAACAAUUAUAUUUCUAUUAUUCUUAUAUUCGAAUCCAGUGAUAUUGUGGUGGUUUUAUGAUAAUAUUCAAUUGUUUUGUGCCUCAAAUCAGCCAAUGAGUUGGGUAUGUGCUGGGUAUAUGCCGUAUGGGCUUGUUGUUGAAUUUGCUUGACCUUGGAUGUGAUUCUUGCCGUGUUUAUAAGAAAUAGACACAGGUCUUUGUGUGGUAAUAGAAUUGUCUAAGGUGCCUUACAAUAAAUUUAAGAGUCUUAAGUAACUAUGCUUUGUAACCUUAAACCUUUAUUUGUACGACUUGGUGUUCUUGGUUGUGAAAGAAUGUUAAAUGUUGACCUAUUUUCAUCGGUGAAGAUAAAUGAAGUUAGGGAAGGUUUGUAAUCACUAUAACCCUGACAAUUUUUUUGGUGGGCCGUGAUAAUUUUAUUCAUGGCAUGUACUUUGUUUUUAUCAGAAGGCCCUGUUUGCUUGUAGUCUCAAAUCUAGGGUAAUAUUUUAAAUAAGUUCUGCAAUAUAUGUUUUGCUAUUUUUCUUUUUUGUUUUUAUUUUAAUUAGUUUUAGUAUUACUUGGAGGGGAAUUCUGAUCUGCUGAAGUUUAUCAAGCUGGUGCAGUGGUGCAGCAAGCAGACCUUUAUCUUAAUCUUAUGAUUGUGCUAAGUGGAAUUUUGUGUAAGUUACAACAAUAUAAUUUUUUAAAGAGCUGACAAGACGCUCUCUCUUUUUUUUGGAAUGUUGAGCAAAACUUUUCUUUCUUAUUAGGUGUUUAUAAUAAUUCAUAGCAUGGGUUUUGUCAUAUUGGUUUCAAUGCAUUGAUUUGAUCUUGGUUACAACCCAUCAGCCCUUACUCCUCAUUCCCAGCAGCUUUUAAUGCCUUUUUUUUAAGCAUUGUACUUUGUUUCAUGAUGAAAUUUGUUUAUAUGACGCAAAGUUGAGGACACGGUAAUAGUCAUUAUUUUAAUUUAUGCAACAAAGAUCAUUAUCCAUUAAAUUUUAUGUUGUUGAAAUAUUUAGAUUUUGUAAAUUUUGUUGUAAGAAAUGAGGGCUCUUGAUCCCAUCCCUUUAUUAUAUACAAUUUUUUUUCACUCUGUCAUUCAUUUAUUGUGUGUUAGAGGUAUUAGUCAUGUGCAAAAGUAAAGAUCUUUAUUUUGUUAUUUUUGUCAUCUUGUGCUUCAUUGGUAUAAAUGAGGAAAAAAAAGAAUAAAAUAAAAUAAAAUUAUAGUUUGUGCAUGAAUUCCACCAUAUAUGAAAUGUUUAAUAGAUUAAAAAGUAAGGAGUACACAGUGACUUUGAAUAGCAGGUGGGGGAACUCAUUUUGUUUUAAAAAAAAUUAAUACAUAUUGAUAGAAUAAUUAUCCUUCACUUAAUUAUUUAAAAAUUUUAUUUUGGAAGAAUACAAAUGGACAGUCACCAAUGAAAGCGUAAACGACUACCAGGGGGCUUACAGAAAAAAUUGCUCCUAUUCUAAAAGUAGAUGGUCAGGACAAAGUUCCAACAACUUCAACUUAUGGAUUUGUCUCUUACUUGUAAGGUAAUCUCUUCUUGUAGGGUGUUUAAUUGAAUUAAAAACAGAAUAUUAUUUGCAUUAUAGAGUACAGGCAUAAAUUCAUUAUCUAUGUCAGUUCAUUCAUGAUUUUACUCCAAAUGGAGUAAUAGAUCACCAUUAAUUUAUUGAUACAUCGUCCAUGUUUGUUUUCGUCUUCAAUUUUUAUAUUACAAUAUCUAAUCUAUUUAGUAUUCGUAAAAAAACAUACGAGAAAAAGUUGGAAAAACACUUUAGGGGUGAUUGUGUACACUUUCGUAUGGCACAAAUAGCGUUAGGCUUUGUUUUUUAAGUGGACGACGUGUCCAUUUUUUGUGUUACAUCUUACUCAUUAAUAUAUUUUUGAGUUUCUUAUGGAAAAAAAAUUGAAAAAACACUUUAAGUGAAAAAAAUUUGUAUUUCAAUUUAUAUGUAACAGUGAAUUGGAAAAUAAAUUCUACCAAUAAUUAAAAGAAUACUUUUCUUUUAAUUAUUAAAAAGAUAAGGUAGUUACUCAUUACCCAUAUAAAUGGACAGUUUUAAUUUGUUCCAUAUCUAUACAACAGAAGAGCUUCAGACACGGUUUGCAGCGUUCCACGAUCACUUCCAUUCUAAGCAGCAGCGUCUUCCGUCUUUUUGCACACCAACAGCAGAUUCUAGAUGGCCAGAAGCUCAUCUGCCGCACUCUCGGGAUUUCGCUGCCAUCCUCAUCUUCAUCUCCACUACCUCCUCAGUGAUUAUCCCCUGGUUUUAUGCUCAGAAAUUAUGAUUAUUAUGUAUCUUGUUUUCAGAUUUGUCAAUACUUGUUAUAUUUUGAUUAUGCAUUAUGGACAUUUUUCAUAAGAUAGCUUAAUUUUGUGGUUUGUGUUGACGAUUUCCAUGUAUGGAUGUUUGGAUAGGUAAUUUCGCCUUCCAUGCAUUCUUCAUUCCUGCAUCCUGUGGGAGAAAAUUGGAAAAAGUGGUUUUUGAUGAGAAACGGGGAGAAGGAUGAGAUAUAUAUUUUUGAAGUGUCACAUUAUUUCAAAAACAAACCCCAAAUUUAAUUUCUCUUACCGAUCAUGAGUUAAAAUAUAAAAAUUAACGUUUACUCAUCACACUGUUAUAAGUAUCAAAGCAUUACUUAUAGAAAAAUUAUCGUCACCUAUCCUACAUUUGUGAUUGAAUAGUGGCACAAUUUUAAUUGGGAUAUUUAACAUUACUCUUUGUAAUUGUUUGGUCUUAUUUGAAGUUUGUAAAUUUUUCAUAACUAUGACUUCAACAGCAUAUUUCAGGUUGCAUUUAAUCGUUGCUAUAAUUAGGUACUUUGAAAUAAUUUAUUGGCCACGAUUACAGUCAUUGUUAUUAGUCACCCCUCUUUUUUCUCUUUUGGCCAACCAGCUCUUGGAUAUUUGGGAACCGAUGACAAUAGUUGGGAAAUUAUGUAAUAUUGGUGUGUUUGCGAAAUAAAUCAAGAGAUUUGCCUUGCCGAAGUUAAAAGAGAUAUUGUGGCCUGAAUUUUUUUUUUUUUUCUCUAGGGGCCAUGGCUCUCAAGGACAAGGCAUGAAUCAUGCAUUAUAAUUGCUCGAAAGGGUUAGUAAAAUAGCAAUCUAAAAUACCCAAGUUGGAUCUGCUGUUGAAUCACAAAAAGAACAUAAUUGGGAUAUGAAGUCAUGGUUGCAAGUGUUGGACCCUUAGGUUACGUUUGGCACGUAGGAUUGGAUUGAACUAAUUACUAAAAUUGGAUUGAAUUAUAUUCGAUUGGAUUAAACUGGAUUAUAUUAUAUAGUUCUAUGGUUAGUACAAUAUCGGAUUAAACUAUGUUAAAUUAUAUUUAAAUAAUAUUAAAUAGCAUUUAAGUUGGUAUUUUAAUAUUAAUAUCAAUUAUUCAUGAAAUUUCAUAAUCAUAAUUAAAAUAAAUUUAAAAAACAAUUACCAGGAAAAUUAAAUAUAUUGUAAAUAAGUUACUGGGUAGUCAUAAUACAGUAAACAAAUGAACAUAGAUAAAAAAAUUAAAUUUUAAAUAAUUUUUAUCAAAUUUUAAAAAAAAAUUAUAUAAAAUCAAUUAUUUAAUGGUAUUAUUAAUUUUCAUGAUUAUUUUUAAUAGUAUAUAACAAUGAUUAUUAAAUUUAAUACAAUCAAAUAAUGCAAUAAAUAAUUAAACAUUUAAUUUUAUCAAUAAAUUACUAAAUAUACAAGUGGUGAAAAUUUAAUCUCCAGAGUUAGUACAAGUAAAGGUAUUAAUUUAAUUAGAUCAUAGAUAAUAAAUAAAAAUAAGUUUUAAGUAAAUCAUAUUAAAAAUUAAUUAAUUAAUUAAUACUAGGUGUAAAUAAAAAAAAUGAUAUAAAUAAAAAUCUCAUAAAUGGACAACUUUUUUCUUUAAUCUUAUCCCAACUAAACCCAUGCGUAAAUUAGGAUUAUCAAUUCCAUGAUUUUAGGAUUAAAUUUAAAUUACUACCCCCUUAAUCCAAUCCAACUAAGCUUGCCAAACAUUGGAUAAAUAUUUAAUUCCAAAAUUAGUCUAAUCCCAUACUUAAUCCUAGAAUCCAAACAUGGCAUUAGCACCUUAUAUAACAAAGUGUCACUGAAAUACAGCAAAACGUUAUAAACAAGAACUUAUUUCUGUACAAAAUGUUAUUUACUUUUUGUGAACUUCCAAAUACCUACUAUAUGAUUUGCAAACCCUACAAAAGUCUACCUUGCAUGCUCUUUCUAACGUGAAAUUUGAUUUUUAUUAAAUUUUUGAUGUGUUCACUAAUAAAUAAUUGGAAUCUAAAAAAAUUAGAAAAAAAUAGAAUUAGAAUGAGCUACAAUAAAAAUGAGGAAUAACAAAAAAAAUGAUAUUUGUUGAGAUGAAUGAAACACAAUUGAAAUACUCUAUAUCGCUCUUAAUAUGUUCACUUUGUGAACAUAAAUUAGAAUUAGUUGUUAUAACUUAGUAAUUUAUCCUCAAUCAAUUAUUAUCAUUAUUACUAUUUGUUAUAAUAAUUGUAAUUAUUAUUUUUGAUAAUUUUAAUACUAAGAAAAUUAUUGUUAGGGGUGGAAACACCAUAUAGAGAAGGAACAAUUAAAUUUAUAAAAUUUAGUGGGGAUAAAAUAGUCACUUAAGACAGCAAGCGUCUCCCAUUCUCACCUCCACGAGCAUGAAAACACUAGUAAUCAUUCUUAAAUUUUGAUGGAAUCUGUUGCUUUUAUUCUAAUAACGAACGCAAAACCUAUGGAAUUAGUUGGAAUAACGAAUGCAAAACCUCUGGAAUUACAAUUGAAAUACGUCAACCCAAAAUGGAGAAAGCACAACUAAAAUUAGAGACCUACAAAACCAAAAAUAAACUUAUAGAAAACAAACCCGGUACCUAAUCUCAAUAAUUGGAAUCUCAACCAGUUAAUGGAAAUAUUCAACUCAAAAUUAGGGAAAAAUUAGAUGAAACACGUGAACCAUUGAGAGAGAAAGUAUGACGAAAAUUAGAAACUCAUUUAACGAAAAAUAAUAUUUACUUGGAAUCUAACCCAUGAUACUGGUACCUAAGGAACUUUAUAGGAAUAUGAAACGCAAAACCAGUGGACCAAUAAGUUGAAACAUGUGAACCAAAAAAUGAAAAACUAUAACCAAAUCUUGAGACUAAUCAAACCAAGCAAAAGUAAUAUUGAUAUUUAACCCAUAUAAUUGGAAUUUUACCAAAUUAGUUGGAAUAACGAAUGUAGAACUUGUGGAAUUACAAUUGAAAUACAUCAACAAAAAAUGGAGAAAGCACAACCAAAAUUAGAGACCUACAAAACCAAAAAUAAAUUUAUAGAAAAUAAAUUUGGUACCUAACCACAAUAAUUGGAAUCUCAACCAGUUAAUGAGAAUUCUCAACGCAAAACUAUAGGAAAAAUUAGCUGAAACACAUGAACCAUUAAGAGAGAAAUUAGAACGAAAACUUGGAACUUAUCCAACGAAGAAUGCUCGUGACUUGGAAUCUAACAACAAAUAUUGGUACUUGACUAAUUUAGUAGGAAUAUCAAAUGCAAAACUCAUUGACCAAUAAGUUGAAACAUGUAAACCAAAAGAUGAAAAAGUAUAACCAAAACCUGAGAAUAAUCAAACCAAGAAAAAGUAAUAUUGAUUUUUAACCCAUAUAAUUGGAAUUUUACCAACUUAAUUGGAAUAACGAAUGCAAAACCUGUGGAUUUACAAUUGAUAUACGUCAACCCAAAAUGGAGAAAGCACAACCAAAAUUAGGGACCUACAAAACCAAAAAUAAAGUUAUAGAAAACAAACCUGGUACCUAACCUCAGUAAUUGGAAUCACAACCAGUUAAUAGGAAUAUUCAAUGCAAAAUUGGGGAAAAAAUUAGAUGAAACACGUGAACCAUUAAGAGAGAAAGAACAACGAAAACUAGGAACUUAUCCAACAAAGAAUGAUAGUUACUUGGAAUCUAACAGUAAAUAUUGGUACUCGACGAAUUUAAUAGGAAUAUCAAACGCAAAAAUAGUGGACCAAUAAGUUGAAACAUGUGAACCUAUAGAUGGAAAAGAAUUACCAAAAUUUGUAACUAAUCAAACCAAAAAAAGUAAUAUAGAUAUCUAACCCAUAUAAUUGGAAUCUCGACAAAUUAGUUGAAAUAUUAAACAAAAAACUAGUGGAAUAAUAGUUGAAACACAUGAACCAAAUGUGGAGAAAGUUUAACCAAAUUUUGAAACUUAUCCAAUGAAGAAUGCUAGUUACGUGGAAUCUAACAACAAAUAUUGGUACUCGACGAAUUUAAUAGGAAUAUCAAACGCAAAAAUAGUGGACCAAUAAGUUGAAACAUGUGAACCUAUAGAUGGAAAAAUAUUACCAAAAUUUGGAACUAAUCAAACCAAAAAAAGUAAUAUCGAUAUCUAACCCAUAUAAUUGGAAUCUUGACAAAUUAGUUGAAAUAUUAAACGAAAAACUAGUAGAAUAAUAGUUGAAACACAUGAACCAAAUGUGGAGAAAGUUUAACCGAAUUUUGAAACUUAUCCAACGAAGAAUGCUAGUUAUUUGGAAUCUAACAACAAAUAUUGGUACUCGAUGAAUUUAGUAGGAAUAUCAAACGCAAAAAUAGUGGACCAAUAAGUUGAAACAUGUGAAUCUAUAGAUGGAAAAGCAUUACCAAAAUUUGGAACUAAUCAAACCAAAAAAAGUAAUAUCGAUAUCUAACCCAUAUAAUUGGAAUCUCGACAAAUUAGUUGAAAUAUUAAACUAAAAAUUAGUGGAAUAAUAGUUGAAACACAUGAACCAAAUAUGGAGAAAGUUUAACCAAAUUUUGAAACUUAUCCAACGGAGAAUGCUAGUUACUUGGAAUCUAACAAAAAAUAUUGGUACUCGACGAAUUUAGUAGGAAUAUCAAACGCAAAAAUAGUGGACCAAUAAGUUGAAACAUGUGAACCUAUUGAUGGAAAAGCAUUGCCAAAAUUUGGAACUAAUAAAACCAAAAAAAGUAAUAUCGAUAUCUAACCCAUAUAAUUGGAAUCUUGACAAAUUAGUUGAAAUAUUAAAUGAAAAACUAGUAGAAUAAUAGUUGAAACACAUGAACCAAAUGUGGAGAAAGUUUAACCGAAUUUUGAAACUUAUCUAACGAAAAAUAAAUUUAAUUGGAAUUUAACCCAAAAUAUUAGUGUUUAACGAGUUUAGUGGGAAUAUUAAACAUAAAACUAGUGGAUCGGAAAAUGGAGAUAAGCAAACCAAUUAGUGAGAAAGUUGAAUCAAAAUUAGGUAUAUGUGAAAUUAACUUGGAAUGUCACCUAAUAUAUUGAUAUUUAACCAAAAGAAUCGAGACAUGCUCAUUUUAAUUUUUUUAAACUUUUGUUGCAAUUAAAAAUAAUUUUUUCACUUAAAUAUUGUUUGUGUUAAAUAUUUACAAAAUUUCCUUAAUUUUUCCUGUUUCAUUUUAUUUUUUCUACAUUAAAAAUAAUUUUUUAAAAAUUAUUAAAUGAACAACCGGUAAAAUACCGGUUGUUCAAGUUUCCUUUUUACUGUUGAAGGGGCUGUAUUUUAUACAGCACUGUACUAUAGGAAGACUCAACUUAUUGACAUCUUCUCAUAUAACCUUCGAUCAAGUCGAUUCUGACCUGACGACUAAUUGGUACAUCACCGUUGUUCUCUAUACUCGCAUGCAUCGGAUCACAAAUCUCACUCCAAUUGUCGUCUUUCUUCGCCGUUUUAGCGCAUACUUCUUGAAUUUCCCGCAUUUCGUUCCCUCCUGUUACAAGUCUCCGGUCAGGUCAGUGAUUGAAUUUCCCGCAUCUCUAUCCCUCCCGUUUUCUCGCGUCGUUUCACUUCAAUUUCUCGUGUCUCCUUUCAGUUUAAGUGAUUGAAUCAAUUUUAUCGCAGUCAUAAGAGAAAUUAAGUAAUGCUCUUGGAUUUAAAAUUUUUUUGCUUUCGACUUUAGAUCUCGAAAGUCAAACUCUGCUACGAAUCCAUAGAUUCUCAAUGCUCAUAAUCUUAUUUGUGUUUGACCAGGUAACUGGAUCGUGAAAUUCGUCGUUUUGUAUCAAUUCAAGCUUUCGCGAGCUCAUGGAAUCACCUGGUGAGUUGUGGUGAAACGUUAUCGUUUCAAUUUUCGCUUAAUUCUUUAUUGCAUAUUUUUUUCUCUAAUGUUUCAGUUUAAUUUAGAAAAGAAAGAGGCCCCAAAAAGAGAGAGAGAGAGAGACUCUACCAUACUCAAUUCCUUGCUCAUUCUGAUUUGGCCUGAAUGUUGGCAUUGACUAUUAUUUGUUUUCAUUUCGAUUUAAUUCUCAUUUAGACAGUCUUUACUAACGGUCAAUAAUAGUUUAAGGAAAAUGAUCAUAGGGAUUCUGCAAUAAUCUUUCUGCAUUGUUCAAGUUAGUAGACAAUGAAUAGGAUGUUUAUGUUUACCUCAUUUUGAACCCUGAGGGCUUCGUUGAGUAGUUGAUUCAACAUAUCCAGCAACGGUUGAUGUGAGAACAGAAUGCCACUUAGAUAGGCUUAAACUGAUUUUGGAGGUUUGUAUUGGUUCUAUUGUACGUCUUGCUUACAAAUUUUUAAUUUUUAAUUUUGUAUAAUAUGCUCUUUGUUGGUAAAUCUCAUUUGACUUAGAAGAGAUAGUUUUAUCCCAACAGUGGGAUAAAUCAUUGAGAUGCAUGGCAGUGUGAAUAUAGUAGACAAAAUCAUUGAGACACAUGGUGGUGUGAACAUAGUAAACUUUGUCAAACACAGCUAAGAUAAACAAAUUGUUUCAUUAGCCUUUACCUUAUCUGCUGUGAUGAUUCAAAUUAAUGCUGUUUGGUAGGUUGCAAAAAACGAAAUGAGCUGUCUGUUCGUAUUAUUUAGUCAGAUCUAUUGCAAUAAGUUGAAGUUCAUUGUCACAUGGGUUGGGAGUAGCGUGGGCUGUGAGUAGUAGAAUGGAUUUAUGGAGUUGAUACAAGUGCCCAUAAUCUAUCAUGUCAUUCUAGGAUUAAAUGGAUUGCACAUUACUGUAAAGAUGGAGGUUAAAUUUAUAUAAUUCGGAUUGAUUGUAAAAUGGGAGGCAGAGAUGAGUUAGAAAAAGAAUGACCUGUGUCCUUUUUGAGCUGUUUCUAAAUCUCCCUGGUGUGCUUCAUGCUUAACACGUGUCUUUCCAAAUAAUUUUGCUUAACCUGUGCUUGUCUACUUCUUGUGCUAUUCUGUGCCUGGUCCUGAGCUGUGUUGGUAGAUUGACAUAAUUUUGCUCUGCUAAAUGUAUAACUUAUUAAUCAGAGUCCUGUUAUUAUGGUUUGACACUACUGACAUAUUGUGUUGGUAUUUAUUUGUACUUCCCUUGGUUGAAUUAUUUGCUGUCUCCAUGCAAUUCGAUAUGGUGCUACUUGGUUUUUGAUCAUCCAUGACGCUAUAUAUAUGUAAAGGAUGAAUUGAUUGUUUUGGCUUGUAUUCUCACAUUUUAUGAUUGAUCGAUGGAAAGGUUUUCAUGCAUUAAAUUCAACCUCACAAGCGUAAGAUUGACAGAUUGUGGGCAAAUUUUCAGGAAAAGAAACUAGACUUCAUGGAAGCAAUGAAGCUUGAAAUUGAACGUCUGCAGCUGAAUCUUUCUGCAGCUGAAAGGGAUAGAACUUUAUUGUCAAUUGGAACUGAUCCUGCCUCUAUAAAUCCAAAUGUAUUGCUUGAUGAAUCUUACAUGGGAAGACUGUGUCGAGUAGCAAACACUCUUGCAUUACUUGGCCAAGCUUCCCUAGAAGAGAAAAUUGUUGGUGCAAUUGGCCUUGAGAAUAGUGGUGAUAGUGUUUUAGACUUCUGGAAUAUUACUAGAAUCGGAGAGAGUUGUUCUGGUGGUGGGUGCGAGGUUUGUGCAGAAACUAAGGUGCCUGCUCUUGCUUCCUCAACUGCAACAUCUGUUGGAUCUUCACAAUCCCCUUUGUUGUGUUCUCAAUGUGAAAGAAAAGUUUGCAAAGUUUGUUGUGCAGGAAGAGGAGCUCUACUGUUUUCAAAUUAUAAAUCAAGGGAUGUGACCAACUACAAUGGCUUCUCAAGUCAGAGUGGAUCAAGCCAUGGAAGCCAAGUUGAUGUAGCUACCAGUCGUUCACUAACACUGGAUGGCGUUAUCUGUAAACACUGUUGCCAUGAGAUGGUGCUUGAUGCAUUGAUGUUGGACUAUGUUAGGGUCUUGAUUAGGUUGCGAAGAAGUUCCUGUGCAGACAACGCAGCAUACAAUGCUUUGAAUGAGGUUGUUGGAUCCUGCUUAAAGGAUAGUCUUUCUGAGAGGAUUCAGUCUUCCGAU